CAUAGUCAUAGCCAAUACUCAUCAUUUCCAAGUCAAAACACAAAACAAAAAGGAACCCAACUCGUUCAAUUUCUGAGCUUCUGAGGGCAAAAUAACCAUAAGCUGAAUCAAGAAAAAAAAUGAAGGAAAGCUCAGAUGGGUUUGUGAGGGCAGAUCAGAUUGAUCUGAAGAGCUUAGAUGAGCAGCUGGAAAGGCAUCUCAACAGGGUCUUGACUUUGGAGAAGAACAAGAUCAUGAGAGACCCUGAAACCAAUUCCAACAGCAUCCACCUCACUACCACCUCCAACUCCAAUUCAACCACCACCACAACCACCACCUCCACUUCCUCCAUGACCCUCUCCAUCCCCAGGCGCCACCGCCAGGAGUGGGAGAUCGACCCAUCCAAGCUCCUCAUCAAGUCUGUCAUUGCUCGUGGCACCGUCCACCGUGGCAACUACGACGGUCAAGAUGUCACCGGUAAUCCCCUCCUGUCAUUUUAGCUCAUCUUUCAUUUGGGUCCUUAAAAAGUUGUCAAGUUCCUCACUUUUGUGACUUUCUCCCCAAAAAUUCAACCUUUUUCUUUCAAUUUUCGAUACCCCUUUCUUACAAUGUUAUCUUUUUGUUGUAUUUAUUUUCUGCAGUGUAUUAUGGAUGUUUUUAGCAAAAACCCAUUUGGUUUUUUACUUUACUUUAAUUGAAUUUUGGGAGAUAAUUGAAGAUCUUAGUUAAUUUCCACUUUGGGUUUUCUACUGUAAAAUGUAGUUUAAACACAAAAGUAAGGUUGAUUAUGGUGUUGUCUUGCCAUUAUUCACUUUGUUUAGUCAGUUUAAAUGUUGGAUUAGUUGAACUUUGUGGUUGAUCUUGCAAGUCACUACAAGUUUCUUACUUUAUAGUUUAUAUACAUUUAGGUAUUAUAUAUAUAUAUAUAUAGCUAUUUGCUACCAUGGAGACAUGUUGGAGUUUGUUUAAUAACUCUUGUUCUGAUAAACCAUCUAUAUUCCAUUCAUAGAGUUUAUCAGAAGAGACAGUGAAUUGGGAGUGGAAAUUCCUUUCUUCAAACUGAAGAUCAGGAGGUGUUGGUCUGGGAUACCAGUUUUUGGUUAAGGAUGUAGGAUUAGUUCUUUUGACGUUAAGACGUUUUACUUCAAGGUUCUGAAAGGCUUUUUCCAUUUGAUGGAUGGAAAUAACACUUUCAUCUUCUGAACUUUGAGUGGAGGAAGGUGUUUCAGAAUCAUGUGGGUUAUUAAUCACACGAACUGAUUUCUCUUUUUCUAGCUUAUUGAGCAUUUGUUCUAUCUUAAUAGAUGUUGAGGUUUUUAAAGAGGGUGACUCCCUAAAACUGGUUAAGGGUAUUUCUUUACUAAGAGGUUUGAUCGACAAAUUGUCAAUUUUUGUUUCAAUUUUAUCCAACUGUUUUCCUAUGGUAUGUAGGCUUUGGUUGGUAAAAUUGUUUUGUUCAAUGACAGGUUUGACACCUGCAUCUUCCUUUGGAAGUUUGAACGGUGAGGCUAGGAUUUGUGUAUUCGCAGUACUAAUAAGAAUAGUUUCUUUUGGCGGGUGACUGGAGGAGACAAUUGUCUUAUCUUCUUUAAGCCAAUUUUCUUUGGUUAUUACCUGUACUUGUUUUUCAGACUCGUAAUGGUUCUCAACGAAGUCAAAGAAAAAUAUUUCAAGUCUGUUAGUUUGCAUGAAAUCUUUCCAUGCCUUAUGGAUUUUUAGUUUUUCUUCAGUAGUGUACUUACUCCUGAAGAAGUUUCGCCGAGAGACAUUUUCUAAGGCUUCUAUGUCCCUACAGAGUUUUUUAUGAUCAUAUUUAAAAGGUUCUUGUCUGGUUAAGACCAAUAGUUGGUGAUGUACUAGUUCUGCAUCAAAGUCAGAAGCAGUUGGUGAUGUUUGUUCUUCCUUAGUAGGAAUGGAUGGGGUAUGGUAAGUAGGCUGGACUACUUGAGCGUUUGUCUCAAGUGAUUGAAGUUUAAAAUUUAAAAGGUCAUUUAUUAAUUCUUGCUGGGUGAUCGAGGAGCCUGUAUCUACUGAUUUUAAUUGCUUAUUAGCUAAGGAAUUGAUUAAUUCUUGGUCACGACCUUGCCUAUCGUUUGGCAUAGAUCCAGAGAAAGAAUUCCUACUAGAAACAAAAGAUUUAAGUGAUUUAUUAGAGUCACAAGACUUUCUAGCAGGACGAUCAAAAUUAAUUUUAACCGUUCCGUCAAAGUAUUGUUCUAUGUUGUCUAAAUUGACGAGACUGUUUUGGAUGGCUACCUGCCGACUUUCAUUUAUCUGACACCAAUCUGAAGGAAGAUUGAUUUCUGACCACCUAAUGGUUCUGGGUAUUUUAAUGUUGGCAUUCUCUUGAUUGGUUUGGAUCAAGAGAGUAUGAUCCUUCGGACUUUUGGUUAAAGCCUGAAAGUUCAUAUUUGUGCCAGUGACUUUAUAAUAAAUUCUGUAAAUUAAGGCCAAAGGCUGUGUUCCUUCGAGGACUUUAUAUCCUGAAAUUUUAAUAUUUAGUGUAAGUGCUUUUAGCAUGUGUGGGUCAGAUAGACUUAUGGUGAGAUCUGGAAAGCAAUCAAAAUGGAUAGGUCCAUUACAUAGACUGGAUUCAACCAUACCAAGUAUGCUAUCACUGAAGUCAGUGAAUCUAGCAUCGCGGAGACAUAAAAGGAUAGAGGUAUUAAGACCUCUACGUGUUAAUGGUUUAGCUGCAAUUUGCACUAAACCUAUAUGGAUAUAAUUAUGACCAUCUUUCCUAUGGGAAUUAAUUUGUUCUGGGGUAAAUAAUUGACAAGUUUCAUGAUCUUUACUAAGAGCAUAAGCUUGUUUAACCGUUUUGACAUGGUGUUCAGUUUUAAAAGAGGCAAAUGCCCAUUUCUUUUUAUAAAUAUUUUUUGAAGAUAUUUUUGGAAUAUUCCAUUCAGAAAAAUCGAGACUACUGUCUGUUUGAAAUUCAAAUUUUUGUUCUUCAUUGACAAUGUCAGGUAUUGUUCCUAAAUUUGAUCUAGAGCUAGUGCUGGCCAUAGAAUUAGAUCUAAACAGUCUACUCAUACCAAUAAAUAUCAGACAAUCAAAAUACAGAAAUCUUAACAAGAAAAUCUUGCUAGUGAAUCUAAUCACCAAGCUCUCUGGGUCACGCGCGCCGCUCAGGCCCUAUCCUCCGGGACUUACUGUUUGGGUGACGUCUUACUGCUCAGACUUUAUGGUAAAGAGGUAACACUAAGAAGAUUAAACAUAUUAAGAUUUACUGGAAAGUAAUUGAAUGAAAUUUAAAGAUAUAAAUGAGAGUAUUCAGAUACUAAUGCUAUAACCAACCACUUGGUUCUGAUACCAAAUGGGUGCGGAAGCCAUAUAUGUAUAUGGACAUGAGAAACUCAAGAUAUUUGAUUAGUAUCAGAUUAGGGUUAAUUGGGAAUUGUAGAUUCAUAGAAUCAAUCAAAAGAAUAUAAACAAAUAAAACUAGGUUGAAAAUAGGUGUAGUAUUCAUGCUUAAGAUAAUGAAUUAAAAUUAAUGAUGCUGAUGAUAUUCGAUUGAAAAUAUAUUUAUUGAAAAUCAAAAGACUUACAAAAGUUUCGUCUACUGACGAUUUUUAAGAACAGAAUCGGGAGCUCGCAGGCAUCCUUGAAGAUAAACUAGAUUGUAGAUGUUUCAAAAUGAAAUACAAGUGUUUGAUUAAAAUAAAAGACUCUGUUCAAUAAUGAAUACGCAGAGUUCUUCCUCUAAAAAAAAAAAACCCCCCCUAACAGGAACCGGAGAAGUCCUCUUAUGGAGAUGGGAGAUGGCAGAAUUAUUGAAGAAGCAGCGGGAUUCCCGUUUGCCAUGUGCCCUUGCUGUAAAGAGGCCGAAAGCAGAAGAUGCUGUCGAGGACUGUAGAAUCACGAGAGUGGAUGAAAUGAUAGGUGAAUAGUAAAAAUGAUUUUACUAUUCAUGAAUAGUAACUGGUCUGCUACUUGCUAACAAAUGCUCAAUAAGCUAGAAAAAGAGAAAUCAGUUCGUGUGAUUAAUAACCCACAUGAUUCUGAAACACCUUCCUCCACUCAAAGUUCAGAAGAUGAAAGUGUUAUUUCCAUCCAUCAAAUGGAAAAAGCCUUUCAGAACCUUGAAGUAAAACGUCUUAACGUCAAAAGAACUAAUCCUACAUCCAUAUAUAUAUAUGUGUGUGUGUGUGGCAAAAUUCCCAAUGCACAUAUUCAAUGGACUGCAAUGAAGGUUGCCGAUUGUCCACUGUAAUUGUACUUUUAUGGAGUCCGUGACUCUUACACGGGUUUGUGUUGAAUUUUCUGUUGAGAGCAACUUGGAUAAUGUUGCUGUAUUCCUGACUUUCAUGGGAGUUCCCCACCUGUUAGUUGAAACUUAUUCAACAACUAAAUUGGAAAAAUGCUUAUCCAUACGUAUUUAUGUUAGCGAAACUCCUUAUUUAUCAACACAUUAUUGUAGUUGCUGUCGUCAUCAUCUUCCAAUCCAACCAAAUUAUGACCUUUUCGGUUCUUUGUAUUCUUCUCUUCCUUUUUUUCGUUUUGUUGGUUCGUGAUGAUUCACAAUCGGGUUGCAAAUUUUACCGUUAUAAUGACGGCUCCAUUGUUUAUGCCAGUUAAAUUGCUUGACUGGGGUGAACCGGUGAAGAGGGUCACAGGACAGACUCAGAGAUUGCUUCUCUAAGGGCAGCUUUUACUCAAGAAGUUGCGGUCUGGCAAAAACUAGAUCAUCCUAAUGUUACUAAGGUAACUUUCCACCUCUCUUUUUUAAGAAUUUUCGGAAGUGUCAUUUGGAUUUGAUCGAUUCUUCUAACUUUUAUGAAUAUCAAAACCCGAAUGUCUUUGUUUUAAGAAAGCCUCUAGCAUAUGCAACAUUGAAGACAUUCACUAUGUCACUUCACUAGGGUUGGUUUUUCUGCGGUUAUUCAUAGGGCGUCCACGGACCACGCAAAGGUUUCUAACUUCCUAGUUAUACAAUUGUUCUCUAGUCAGCGUAUCAUUAUCCUCCUUGAUUUAUCACAGCCUAAGGUUGCAACCGUACCCGAGACAGUUGCCUUCCUUUUCUUUGGUAUCCUUCAGUUGCAUCUCUCACCACCUGAGUGAGGUAGAAGCAUUAGUUUUUGUAUCAUGAAUUUUCAGAACUUACUUAGCAAUAUCAGGUAGCAAAUAAGUUAAGCGAUGACUUUUUAAAUAUAUGCACAGUAGUGAAUACAUGCUGGCAAAAUAGCCAAAAUGGUCCCUGAGAUUUGCAUAACUCAUCACUUUGGUUCCUAACAUUUCAAAUCGAUAAAAGUGGUCCUUGAGAUUGUCCACCAUCCAUCAUUUUAUUCCUUUCAUUAAAACUCCGUUAAGUGUCCCGGGGCUUUUGGCCAGAAGUUUGGGCAAUUUUCAAAGCUUCGUAACUCAAUCGUUUCUUAACCACAUUCGACCCAUAAUAUAUCAAAAUGAAGAUAGGAAAGUGUAUAAUAAGAUUAUACCUAUUUGGAAGCCCAAUGGUUGCCGGAGAUGGCCGGAAAAUAGCCUCAAAGUUGACUGGUCCGAGGGAAAACUUGAAAGCUCGCCGGAAACUGGGUAAACUUUAAACGUUCAUAACUUCUUCAAUACUCAACGAAAUCAAGUGAUUCAAAAAUAAAAAUCAUACUUCUCGACGAGAAAAAGAGAAUGGUACAUUAUUUGAUGGCUAACUCUCUGUGUUGUGGCCGGAAAAUGGCUCGAAAGUGGUUGUCUUGGUCUCGAGUUAGCUACUUUUAAGCUGUUUUCCGGCCAAAUCACGGCGAUUCACCUGUCUAAAAAGGUACCAUUCUCUUCGUCUCGUCGAGAACUAUGAUUUUCAUUUUUGAAUCACUUGAUUUUGUUGAGUAUUGAAGAAGUUAUGAACGUUUAAAGUUUACCUAGUUUCCGGCAAGUUUUCCAGUUUUCCCUCGACCAGUCAACUUUGAGGCUAUUUUCCGGCUAUCUCUGGCAACCAUUGGGCUUCCAAAUAGGUAUAAUCUUAUUAUACACUUUCCUAUCUUCAUUUUGAUAUAUUAUGGGUCGAAUUUGCUUAAGAAACGAUUGAGUUACGAAACUUUGAAAAUUGCCUAAACUUCUGGCCAAGAGCUCCGGGACACUUAACGAAGUUUUUAACGGAAUGACCAAAAUGAUGGAUGGUGGACAAUCUCAAGGACCACUUUUAUCGAUUUGAAAUGUUAGGGACCAAAGUGAUGAGUUAUGCAAAUCUCAGGGACCAUUUUGGCUAUUUAGCCAUACAUGCUACAUUUUCUUUUGUCCGGACUUCUUACAUACGACAAUUUUCUAUGCUAUUUAACAGGCUAUAAGAAGUUCAAGACUUUAAGGGAGAUUAUAUUCACAUCCCAAAUUACUUCUCCCACACCCUUUUAAUUUUUUAAUAUUUUUCUAUCAAAUGUUAGUGGUGUGUAGAAAAUAUUAAAAAAGUAAAAGGUGUGGGAGAAGUAAUUAAGGGUGUGUGAAUAUAAUCUCUUAACUUUAAUGCUCCUCUUCAAUAAAUGCCAUUGACACUUGUGUUCAAGACUUUUCUACAGGAUCGGCAGUUCACAUUAGUUGGAUGUAUGGUCCCCCUUUGAGUUGAAAAUAAAUGGGCUUUUUGGGAUAGCCAAACUAGAUCCUUCUCAGCUGAUGGUCUCCCUUGGAUGUGUGUGGGGGACUUCAAUGAAUUAAUAUGGCCAUAUGAAAAACGGGAAGGCAAAGAGUGGGAUGUUGGUCGACGACGCUUCCUCAAAGACUUAAUCCAGCGGAAAGAACUGAUUCAUCUGGGCUAUUCAGGACCCUAGUUUACUUGGAAGCGAGAUUGGGAGGAUUGGGGUUUCAUUGAAGAAAGACUUGAUAGGGCAGUGGCAAAUAAUUCUUGGAUGGAGCUUUGGCCGAAUACAAAUGUAUCCCACGACCCUUUUAUGGGUUCUGGUCAUAGGCCUCUUAUCAUUAAUACAUGCCUUCAUUUUGUAUCAUCCCCAAAACCUUUCAAAUUUGAAGCCUACUGGAUUACAGACCCCGAUUGUGCCUCUGUAAUUUCAAACUCUUGGAAUGAAAAUUGUCAUGGUUCUUUCUCUUGGCGGUGGUUAUUUAAACAUAAUAGUUGUAGAAGAGCACUAUCAAAGUGGAGCAACUUCAAGUUUAAAAACAACCGUAAAGAAAUAAACAAGAAUCUGACAGCUCUUGAAACGAUCAAUGAAAUUUAGGAUCAGGCCUGUCGAAUUUCAACAAGAAAAGGGAUUGAAAAUCAGCUGGGAGAGCUUUGGAAAAAAAGAGGAGAGUUAUGGGCAUCAAAGGUCAAGAAUUAAGUGGCUUAAAAAUGGGGACGCAAAUACUUCGUUCUUUCACCGCACCACAAUUCAAAGAAGGCAAUCUAAUAGUGUUAGGAAAAUCAAGGGGGAUGAAGAUAUUUGAAUUGAAAAUGAGGAGGAUAUUUGAAAACAAUUUGAAAGAUAUUUUCAAUCUCUUUUUACUUCAGAUGGCUCGAAGGAUACGUGGGAGGCAUUAUGUGGUAUUCAAAAGGUCGUUACGAGAGAAAUGAAAUUAUCUUUUACUCAAACAGUCUCCAUGAUUGAGAUCAAGGAUGCUGCUAUGCAAAUGGGGGGCCUAAAAGCACUUCGCCCAGACAGCUUUCAAGGAAUAUUUUAUCACAACUUCCUCAACGAAGUAAUCAAUAGAGCAGCCUCGGAAUUUUUUCAACAUGGUCUCCUCUCUCCUGAGAUGAACCACACAAAAAUUGUGCUUAUUCCAAAAAUCCCAAAUCCUGAAACUGUUUCCCAGUUCCGUCCCAUUAGCUUGUGUGACUAUUUGUACAAGAUCAUCUCCAAAAUCCUUGCCAACCGAAUUAAACAUAUUCUCUCCUCUCUUAUAUCCCACCAUCAAGGUGUUUUUGUGUUGAAUCGGCAAAUUCAAGACAAUAUUCUCAUAGCCCAUGAAACCCUUCACUACCUGAAGAACAAGAAAACAAAGAGAAAUUGUGAGUUGGGGUUAAAGGUCGACAUGAGGAGUCGGAUCCCCUUAUUUAUUCUUGUUGUUAUCGAAGCCCUAUCUACUCGGCUAACAAAAGCUUGCACUGAGAAUGCUAUCCAAAGUAUAUCUAUUUCCCAAGGAGGACCCACUAUUUCUCAUCUAUUAUUUGCAGAUGAUUCCCUAUUUUUCUUAAAAGCCACCCCACAAAAUGGACAAAAGAUCAACUACGAUAAAUCCACCUUGUUCUUUCUGCAAACACUCCUCAACCCACCAAAGGUGAGAUUGGAGCGGUCUUAAAUAUGAUUGACUCCUCAGAACCGGGGAAGUAUCUUGGUUUGCCUACAAUUUGGGUCCGUUCAAAAAAAAAAAAAGAAGCUUUGGCAUUUGUCAAAAACCGGAUUCAACAUAAAGUUCAAUCUUGGAAGAUCAAUCCUCUAUCUUUGGCAGGCCGCGAAGUGCUCAUUAAGGCAAUGGCUUAUGCUGUUCCAACGUAACCAAUGAAUUGUUUUUUAUUUCCGCUAACCUUUUGCAGGCAAUUAGAUGCUCUCAUUGCGAACUUUUGGUGGGGCAAAAAAGAGGACGGGCGUCGGAUGCAUUGAAGGCGUUGGGACACUAUUUGCCUCCCUAAAGUGGUCGGGGGCUUGGGUUUUAGGAGCUUCUCGGACUUUAAUAAAGCUUUGCUCGCAAAACAAGUUUGGCAUCUUAUUCAGGAGCCGGACUCUUUUUGGGCAAAUGUGUUAAAUGGGAGAUAUUUUCCAAAUGGGGAAGCUAUGAAUGCAACAAAAGGAUCUUGUGCAUCCUGGGCUUAGAGUAUCCUCCUUGAGGGUCAAGCUGUCAUCGUUUGAGGAGCUCAUUGGCAGAUUGGGAAUGGUUCCUCCAUCAACAUUUGAAAAGACAAAUGGGUCAUAUAUGAGGAGGAUGGUAUACUGCGCCCCUCUACUCCGGUCUCGGAUGCUGCCCCUUGCCUGGUGAAGGAUAUUAUUGACCCCAUCUCUCGUUCGUGGGAUACUAACCAAAUCAACUACCUCCUAACAUCUAAUGCUAUCAGAAGUAUUGGGUUAACCUGUAUUGUGGAUGAGAACUCACCUGAUCGUCUAAUUUGGCCUCCAACAAAAAAUGGCGAUUAUUCGGUGAAGUCCGGUUAUAACUUUUGUCAUACUCCUCGAGCGUUGGAACUUGAUUUGUGUAGGGGCAAAUCUCAGAGCUCUCACCAAACUGGGGAUGAUUAUUGGAAGUUGAUGUGGAAGAUCAAAACUCUACCCAUGAUUAAACUUUUCUUAUGGCGUGUGGCUACUAAUUGCUUACCUACGAUGUUAGCUCUAUAUAACAGGAAAGUUGCUCCCAACCUUACGUGCCCCUUAUGCAAAGAGUUCUCGGAAUCAACGGAGCAUGUCCUUUUCCUUUGCCCUUGGACUAUCGGCGUUUGGUUUGCAAGCUCACUAAAUUAUCGAAUUGACAGAUCAAGCAUUACAACUUUUGAUGAUUGGCUUUUAGCUCUAAGGAUAAUUGCAUGCCAUAUCUUUGAUAAUCAAUCUUGGGUAUAUACCACGGCUUCUUUCAUAUGUUGGGAAAUAUGGAAAGCAAGUUGUAAUUACACCUUCAAUCUCUUAGUCUCUUCACCAGAAUACAUCGCUGCAAAGGAUCUAUUGUUGCCGGCGCAUCAAGUCCUUGCUUAUCUUCCUCGUUUCUCCAUAUUGAGGCUAAGGCAGCUCUUUUAGCAGUCCGCUCAGCGAUCCACAACAAUUUCCUGGAUGUGAUCUUUAAAUCCGAUUCGCUGGAGCUUAUCAGCAACAUUAAGGGUGACUUCAAGAAUGGAAAUUGGACCAUUUUCCCCCUGUUAAUCCAAAUUCGGAAUCUUUUUCAUCGCUUUCAUUCGGUUAGCUGGCGAUGGAUUCCUCGUCAAGCGAAUUGUGCAGCCGACUGGGUUGCUUCGUAUUGUAAAAGAGGGAUGCGCUCUGAUGUUUGGGUCAUAAACCCCCAUCCUCUCUAGUUCACAUUUUAUCCAAAGAUGGUCUCCCUUGCCCCCCCUAAAACCUUUGGAAGUUGAGAUUGGGGAGGACUGCGGAUUGGACCUCAGCCUCGCUUUAGUGCCGUCUUCUGCCCUUCUCCCCUGUCUCAGGUCUGGGUGAGACCUCUUUUGGCUUUCUCUCGUUUUGUUGAUCUUAUCUACUGCUAUUUCUUGUUGUGUUUUUAUUCCCUUGUAUUGUUGUUCGGUUUCUGGGCUAUGCCCCUAAUGAAAAGUUCACUUUUGUCCAAAAAAAAAAAAAAACUUUAAUGCUACUUCAGUACAUUAACUGUGCGCAUAAAAUAUUUGUGAUUAUCUUUUGAUUUCCAGAAAUAUGAUACACAUUGCAAUUGCUUCUUGGUAGUUUUUAUUAUAGAUUGAAUCUCGCUAAACUUCUGGUAUGUUGAUGUCUAGUUUAUUGGGGCGACAAUGGGUUCAUCAGAUCUACAAAUACAGACAGAAAAUGGUCAAAUUGGCAUGCCAACUAAUAUCUGUUGUGUCAUUGUGGAAUAUCUUCCUGGGGGUGCUCUAAAAUCGUACCUCAUAAAACAAUUUAUAUAUACUUUGUGGCUUAGUUCGAAAGGUUUUUGCCUUGUGUGUUGUCCUACCAAGAUUUCAAUAACGUUGCCACCAAUUUCUGUUAGUAUGCGAUCUGUAAAUUUCUACGUAAAUUCAUACCGGUAGCAGCUAACAGUGAGAGCAACCAAUCUCCCUCUCAACUUUAUUAAUUUGUUAGAAGAAAUAUUCCGAAUUUAAAUCUCAUGAAUAAUAAUGAUUGAAUACACAUAUAUAACAAAAAAAUCUCUACAAUUAGUUAAAUUGUAUGUUACUAUAGCUAGAUGGCAAUUUAGGGUUCGUUUGAAAGUACUUUUUGUAGAAUUAUCAGAGAGACAGGCCGAUGGCCCACUUCCAACAACACCGAUAUUGUCUCAAACUUGGUAAUUACCACUCACACAAUCUGUCAUGUGUGGAGUUUUACCACAAAAUGUCUCGGUGUUAGUUAGAGUGAGAUAAUUCUAUUUAAAUUGCUUUUCUCCUUUCCCUCUAGCCGAUGUGGGAUUCAAUACCGCCGCACGUGAAACCCCAUUUUUAUGGGUCACACGUGGAGAUCCACAUAUCGACAACCACGUAGAGCCAAAAGGACUCACCCCAUACGCAGGAUCAAGGGACCCACCCAUCAAGUGGUAGUACGGGCCCGAUCCUUGACUUUGAUACCAUGUAGAAUUAUCAGAUAAACGAGCCAAAUGCCCACUUCCAACAACACCGAUAUUGUCCCCAACUUGGUAAUUACCAUCUGCACAAUCCGUCAGGUGUGAGGUUUUAUUAUAAAAGGCUUUGGUGUUAGUUAGAGUAAAGUUAAGAUAUUUAAACUAUUACUUAGUAAAAACGCAAAAAUAACUGAAAACACUUUUGGUGAAAUUUUUUUUAGAACUAAAUCCUUAGUAAAAACGCAAGUGAGUUCUGGAGAAGCACUUGAAGUGCGUGCUUCUCUAGGAAAGCGCUUCAGGUGCUUUUGGAACCCAAACACAUUUAAAAAAAGAUUUAAUCAUUUUAAGAGCACUUCUAAACAAGAAUUCUUCAAAUAUAUACUUAUAUAACAAAAAAUUUCCGUACAAAUAUAUUUUAAUAUUUCAGAAUCAAAGCCGAGUUUUUGAAUGGAGAGAACUAAUUUGUCAAAUAAAAGAAUAAUAAUUGGGAGGGACCAUCUCACCAUUUGUUUUUGUGAAAAUAUGUCUCAGUACAAAAAAGUCUCAGUCAUAUAGUGAAACCCAGAAUGGACAAAUACUAAAUAGUCAAGUGCACGGAAUUUAGGUUAGUAUCUGUCGUGGUCUUAUUCCCGUAAACCUGUUGCUGGCAACACUUUGCUCCAUAAUACAUGACAUUACCGUACUAUAACACACAUUAUUGACAUUCAAAUUCAACAGGGGGACCCAUUAACGAAUUGUGUUACAAAAGCAAAUUAUCGUGACAGAGAAGAUUGCUGCAAGGGCUUCAUCCGGAAGCCAUGAUAUCAUGAAUAAGGGCUGGUUUGGUAUUAUUGUGCUUUGAAAAAAAACUGCUGUGAGAAUAAGCGGCUGUGCUGUGAGAAUAAGCGGUUGUGAAAUAAAUCAGCAGAGUGUUUGGUAAACUUUUUUGUAAAAGUGCUUUUGAAAAAAAAAACAGUCUGAUAGUGGGUUUUUUCAUUAAAGGAGUAUUGUAGCUCCGUGUGCUUUGAAAAAAAAGCUAGUUUUCCAAAGCUGCAAAUAGCUGCUUCACCUUUUUCCUUUGAUUUCAGCUUAUUCUCACAGCAGUUUCCAAAAUAAGCCUUUUUUUUUAGUUUACCAAACACCUAAAACUCUCACAAUUUUUUUUCAUGGGUGCUUUUUUUUUUUAAGCACCUCACUUCCAAACCACCCCUUAAGGCUCAUGAUUAAAAGCCUUUAUUAACGUUAAAUUAAUGGUUUAUAUAUAAAGUCUAGCUUGACUCAAGUAACACAUCCAGCCAAAUCAUGUAUGGUAAGACCUUAAUUAGUGUUUGUUGUUGAUAAAAUGUUAAUGGGUAAUGCUAAGGAGAUUAACUUUUAAAAUUAAAUUAUGUAAAUUAUAUGAUACGAUUGUUGAUGACUGGAUUAUUAUUGAAGUGUUGAUUAACGUGUGUAUUUUAGUAAAAAAAUUUGGUCUACCUAGCAUUAUUCAAAGUUAAUAGAAGAUAUAACACUGAAUAUGAGGUCUAACUGGCAGUUGGUCUACUAAUAUUAGCUAGUGUAUUUAUUGUUGGAAAAUACAUGGGCACUCAUUAGCAAGUACGUACAUUUUGAUUUUGUCUAAUGAUAUUUUAACACAUAUUUGAGGAUCCCAUCAGGUUUGAGUGUAAUUGUAACCUCAUACAACAUCUUCAAAACAUUUCAUUCUUAUACAUUUAGUAUAAUUUUAUGUCAAUUUCAUAAAACCGUUAAAAAAUCUGUUAAGUUUACCGUAAAAUGAUGAUGUGGACGAAAUAGGAAAAGGAACUACAAUAGUGAGUAUUUAACUAUUAUCCUUUGUUUGCUGCUUCUUUGAUGGGGGCCAAUAAAGAAUAGCCGUGUGAUACUUUUCUUUGUUAUUUGGUUUGGUGUAAAGUGCAAGUAACAAAGCAGAGCCGUGCCGCAUUUGGAGCCCAAAUCAAUCACCAAUAUAUAGAAAACUAGCAAUCAUGCAUGCGCUAACGCAUAUGCAAAAGAUAUUUUUUGAAUUACGGCAUUGUGGAUGCAAAUUUCUUCUUUCUUGAUCUUGGACAAAAUUACACCUACAAAACAAUUAACGCCUUAGGUUAAGGCCAAGAGCCUCAUGUGCCCACGAUGAAUGGGGGGCUUUGGCCGAAGAACCUCCGAUGCCAAAGUUAGAAUUUAGAGAGAAAGAGUGUUUAGAGAAUUUUGGGAUUUUUGCCAAAGUGUUGGAAUGAGUUUGGUGAAAAUAUGAGCCUAUUUAUAGGGCUAGGCUUGGCCAUUUUUUCCAAGGAAUGGCCGGCCCUUGAAGGAGUUUUUGGUUUAAUUAGCCAAUUUAUUGGCUUAUUAAACCUUAAAGAAUAAAUUGGUGGUUACAUAUUUAUUUAGAAUAAAUUGAUAAUUAGGUUAUGAAAAGGUUAUAAAGAAUAACUAAAUUAUUAGCUAAGAAGGGGAGAAAAGGGUAAGGAAAGGUAGGAAAUAGGAUGGAUCCCUUUUAGAUGGGGAUGGCCGGCCAUUGAUGUGGUUUUGGGUGGUUUAUUUGAUAUAAUGAGUGACUUAAUUGAUAUUUAAUGGAUUAAUUGGGUAAUUAAUCCAUUAAUUAAUCAAUUAACAUAAUAAUUUGGAGGUUACCUUGCAAAAGGGAAUUUGAUGAGAUAGACUUUGAAUUGUUUACCUCUUUUGGAGCAUCUUUGACUUUGUUGAAGAAAGAUUGUCGACUGCUUGCGCGUAGAGAUCCCGGUGUACCUCAGGGGUAUUUUGGGUCCUUUUUGUCCAACAAUCCACGUGUCGCCUUGUAAUUAUUUUUGGCUCCACAGGCGUGUUACGUGUGACUUACAUGUUUUAAAUGUAUUUAAUGAUAUGCGUGAAUUGACAAAAGGAAAAUCAAAUAUUUGAAGUAAAUGAAUAAUCUUAGAUCAUGCUAUAAAAAAACCCCUCACAAACCAAUCAAAACAGUUGAAUUCACAUAACAAAAUCGGUCUUUUAAUUUUCAUCUACAUUAUAUUGAAUUUACAUUAAGAAUAGAGAAAAUAAUAUUUAAUAAACAACUGAUUGAACCACAUUAUUGUUAGCCAAUUGUGAGGCUAAACCCACCCCCUCCCCCUUAGUGUAGAUAAUAUCAUUUGUUCAAAAAAAAAAAAAAACAAUCAUUUGACAUUUGACAAUUAAUUUGAGCACAUUAUUAUGCGUGUGCGAAAGAUUUUUUUUAAUUUUUAUAAUUGGCAUUACACGCUGCUUAAAAUGUUUUGAACAUGUUUAAAAAUAGAGAAAAUAAUAUUUAAUGAAAAACUGAUUGAAUCACAUUAUUGCUAGCCUACUAUGAGGUACUAAUUAAAAAUAAAAAUAAAAAACUGUACAAAAGAAUUAAUUAUUAAAAAACACUGUUAAAAUGACAAAAAUACCCUUGCAUUAUUUUGGGUUCUUUUUUAUUUUUUUUUUGUUUUGAAGGUAUUUUUGUUUAAAUAUUUUUGGUGAAGCUUAUGACCCCAAAAGUUUUGGCUUUAUAUAUAAAGAUAUUCGAUGUUGCUCCCUUGUUCACAUAAUUUGGAAAGCUACCUGUAAUAGUUUUAUGUUGUUCCUGCAUGCAUGUUGUACGUAUCAAUGUGAAUCACGUAGGGCCGUAAUUAGUAUUGAAAAAACAUGGACACCCAACACUGUUUCCUAAUCUGGAUAAAUCGAGUAUUGAAAAACAUGCACAGCCAACAAUGUUUCCUAAUCUGGAUAACUCAACGUUAUUUAAGACACUAAUUUCAUCCUUACACUUCGUCAUUUGAAAGGUAAGUCAGAAUAUAUAUUUUUAAGAAGAAAUUAGGUUCAUAUAUUUCUUUUUGUUAUUUGAUUGAUUAAAAUCCUAUUCAUUUUCAUUUUUUGGUUAAGGUCAUUGGGUAUUAAUAACAUCAUUAAUUAUUUGAAUAAUAAAAUAUUUUUAUUUUUAAAAUAUAUUCCUUUAGUGUUAAAAAUGUUACAAUUAGUAUAUUUAUAUUUAUGGCUAAAUUUUUGAUCAUAUAUUUUUAUUUUUAGUUUGUACCUAUUUUUAAUUUGUAAAUAUUUUUUAAUUUGUACCAAUUUUCUUUUCAUUUUUAAUUUGUACCCAUAUAUUAGUUUCUUUUUGUGCCCAUAUUUUUUAAAGUUUUAUUUGUGUUUGUACCCAUGUGUAUACCGUCACAUGACAUUAUAUAUUUAAUCAAUGAUAGAAAAAUUACAUAUGGUAUAUUUACGUUUUAUGCCUAAACUUUGUAUCAUAUAUUUAUAUUUUUUGUUUGUACCCACUUUUAAUUUGCAACAUGUUUUUUAAAUUUGUAGUAUUUUCUUUUUAGUUUUAUUUUGUACCCAUGUAUUAAUUCUUUUAGUGCCUAUAUUUUUUUAAAAUUCAUUUGUACUCAUAAUUUUUUAAUCUUUUAUUUGUACCCUAAUUUAUUUAUAAUGUACCCAUUCUUCUUUAUUAAUGUACCACUUUGUUAUAUGUGAAAUGUACCAAUUUUUUUUAACACUAUGGAUACAUUCUUUUGCCAUUUCUUAUUUCUUAUUUUUACAUAGUUUUUAUCCAUUUAUUCAAUCAAAAUGUUUGAAUUUUUUUAUUGUAAUGGUUUCUAAUAGUAUUAUAAUGAGGGAUUUUAAAUUUAUAGGAUUAUAAAUCUCAUAAAAUAUCAAACAAUUAAUGUCAAAAAUAUAAAAAUAUAAAUAUUAAUAGUAAUAUAAUGAGGUGUACAAAGUCAAAGGACCUGAUCAGACUUUGAAUACUAUUAAGGUUUUAAUCAAAGAAUGUUAAGGAUUAAGGACCACAUCCAAAAUAUCCCUAUUUUUAAACCAAGCUUGCUGAGGAAGUCAAUCUUAAAUAUUUUAUUUCUAGUGGAGUUGAAACUGAUACAUGUGAAUGUUAAACUAAUCAUAUAACACCAUAAUAUGUCGUCCAAAUUGAAAUUGAGUGGGAUCAUAACAAAACCAACUUCUAGAUCAUAACAAGACCACUUCUAGAUCAUAAGAAAACCACCUCUAGAUCAUAACAAAACUAACUUCUAGAUCAUAACAAAAUUAAGACUUUUUGCAUGAAUUGAUAAUCAAAAACAAGGUUUGCAGAGUAUGGGCUUAAUAAAAUUGGUUAGAGAAAUGUGUAUUUUGCUCUCCAUUUAAGUUCCCUUCUUAUAGUAUAGAAAUUUAGAGCCUAUAAUCAUUUUGUUUUCACUUUUUUAUUGACCUUGAAAGUUAUUUGGUAAAUCCUUUCUUUUAAGCAAGGAGCCUUGUAGAUUUCGUCGUUUUCUUCGAAUUCAUAUAUUAUGGGCCUAAAAUUGUAACACAAAACUAAAACUACGUUAAUUUUGAACAAUUUGAAAAGUCCAAAACAUCGACUUUCGGAAUAUGGCAGCAACAAAUAUAUAUUAAAACCUCUCUAAAGUAAUAAUCUGUAAGAAACAACCUCAAGUCAUAACAAAUUAUGGUCCUAAGUUGGGACCAGUUAUGUAUAGAAAUAAACUCCAUACUGUAAUAAAAUAUAAUUUUUCUUGAUUCCAUCUAAGGAAAUACACAUCCACAUAGCUAUAAUUUUUGCUUCCAGUUGGGGUUUGAUGCUUCUUUUUGCACAAUCAACACUAAUAAUUUCAGUUAACUGAUUUUCAUAUUGACCUUGGGUAGAUAUGACCAAGGUAUUAAAUAUCGAUGAUAUCGGAAAUAUCGGUAGUCUGAAAACACAGAAAUAUCGAUGGAAAUAUCGGGAUAAUAUCGAUAUUGAUAAAAAUAAGUAGAUUUAAAUUGAAUGGUAUAUAUAUUUAUUAAGUAGAUUUAAAUUUAUUUAUUUUGUAUGUAUAACACUUAAGAAAUUGAAUGGUAUAUAUAUAUUUAUUAAGUAGCUUUAAAUUUAUUAAUGUAGUUCCGAUCGGGUUUUUGUUAGAAAAAUAUAUUAUUGUGGGUUUUAUGUAAAAAACAAAUUGAAUUUGAAGGGAGUAAAGUGAAAUUUUCAUUAAAUUUUAUAAUGAUUUUUUUUUUUAAUAUAACUUGCGCCAUGAAGACUGUCGUCGCGCAAAGUCAAUGACUUAACAUAAGAUUGUGUAAAUAUUUUCAAUUGACAAUCGAAUUAGUUCAUUGUAUUCAUAUAGGAUCAAGGAGUGUAACUGUAAAAAAUCAUCAAAAUCGGAGUUAAAAUAACUGUUAAAUCGUGAUUUUUCAUUUAUAGCUGUGGAAAAGGUUUGUCCCGUUACUUGAUAUCUGAACGUUUGUUUUUUACGAUUUUUGGCGUAUGCGAUCUCGAAGCAUAUACAAACAAGUUUGACGGUUGGACCAUUGAAACUAGUUUCGUACAAUGUGUUUCCCAUCAAAACGAUAGAUUCACUAACAUUUAGAGUUUAUUAAUACUUUCAUGAAGUAUAACAUAAGAUUUUGUGGUAUCCACUUGUGUAACUGUUUUCAAUUGAUGAUCGAAUUAGUUCAUUGUAUUCGUAUAGGAUCAAGGAGUGUAGUUGUAAAAAAUCAUCAAAAUCAGAGUUAAAAUAAUCGUUAAAUCGUGAUUUUUCAUUCAAAACUGUUGAAAAGUUUUGUCUCGUUACAUGAUCUCUGAAUGUUUGUUUUUUACGAAUUUUUGCGUAUGCGAUCUCGAAGCAUAUACAAACAAGUUUGACGGUUGGAUCGUUGAAAUUAGUUUCAUAGAAUGCGUAUCCUAUCAAAACAAUAGAUUCACUACCAUUUAGAGUUUAUUUAUACUUUCAUCAUGUAUAACAUAAGAUUUUAUGGUAUCAACUUGUGUAAAUAUUUUAAAUUAACGAUCGAAUUAGUUCAUUGUAUUCAUAUAGGAUCAAGAAGUGUAGCGGUAAAAAAUCAUUAAAAUUGGAGUUAAAAUAACCGUUAAAUCGUGAGUUUUUGUUUAUAACCGUCGAAAAGUUUUGUCCCGUUACUUGAUCUCUGAAUUUAUUUUUUUUGCGAAUUUUUGUGUAUGCGAUCUCAUUAAAACAAUAGAUUCACUAACACUUAAGAGUUUUUUUAUACUUUCAUUAUGUAUAACAUAAGAUAUCAACUAUUGUAAAUAUUUUAAAUUGAUGAUCGAAUUCAUUCACUGUAUUCAUAUAGGAUCAAUGAGUGUAGCUGUAAAAAAUCAUCAAAUCGGAGUUAAAAUAACCGUUAAAUCGUGAUUUUUCGUUUAUAACCGUAAAAAAGUUUUGUCUCAUUACUUAAUCUUUGAAUGCUUGGUUUUUGCGAUUUUUUGCAUAUGUGAUCUCGAAGCAUAUACAAACAAGUUUGACGGUUGGAUCGUUGAAAUUAAUUUCGUAGAAUGCGUAUCCCAUCAAAACAAUAAAUUCACUAGCAAUUAGAGUUUAUUUUAUAUUUUCAUUAAGUAAAAUAUAAGAUCGUGGAGUGCAUUUUGUAUAUAUAAUAAAUUUUAUAAUAAGUUUUUUUUUGUUUGUUUGUUUUUUUUUAUUUUUAAAAUAUAUCUUGUGCGACGGCGACGCCACAGUGGGAUGGUUGCGCAAACAAUUUAUUAUAAUAAAUUUUUUCUUUUAAUAUCAUCUUGCGCGAGGCCACAAUAGAAUCGUUGAUGAGCGGUUUCUUUAAAAUUUUCCGAUUGGAAAAAAAGGGCGCCUCCCUCACUUCAAGCAUAACCUCGAAGAAGUCUCCUUUCCUAUCUUUUAUCUGAUCAUUUUGAGACAUCCGACACCCUUCUUCUUCGCUCCUCUGCUCUCUCUCCGUUUCGGUACACUCCCCUGCAAAUUCCGUCCUCUGCAGACAGAAAACCUCAAUUUCUUCGCAGCAGUACUUUCAGGAAAUGUUGGUUCAGAGGAGAGUGAUGACGUGGGGGUCGGUGGCCAAGCCUCUCCAAACACUUGUCGCCGACGCGUCGCUUUUCACGUUCACGACUCUGAUCGUUCUCAAGCUCCACCGUUCCGUCCGCUAUCCUUGGUGGUUCGUAAUUUUCUAUUCCCUCUGCUUUUUUGUUGCCUGUUGUUUGGUUGCCGAGAAACUGAGAGAAAAUAAUAGGGGAAAAACGGAAUCUUUCAUAUGCGUUUGAAUUUUUUAUUACCUGAGAGAGUAUUAGAUACCGUAGUUUUUUCGAUUUUUACUGCAUUGUUCUCGCAAACUAAAGGUACCCAUUUGUGAGUUUGUGAAGUUUUUAUUUCUUUGUUUAGAGAGUGAAUUGCUGAGAAUCCCCCUCAAUUUUCUGUAGAAUGAUCAGAGAAACGGACCAUACGGCCCACUUCCAACAACAUUGAUAUUGUCUCCAACUUGGUAAUUACCACCUGCACAAUCCGUCAGGUGUGAGGUUUUAUCACAAAAUGCCUCAGUAUUAGUUGGAAUGAGAUUAUGGUAUUUGAACUCUUCUUUUGUCAUUGAUACGGUCGAUGUGAUACAUUUCAACACGUCCACUCACCUGAGACCCAAUUAGCAUGUUACACGUGGGAGAUCCACAUAUUGACAACCAUGUGGAGCUAAGAGGCCUCACCCUACACGCGGGGCCAAGGGACCCACCAUGGCUAAGGGGACCCACCAAUCACGUGGUAGUACGGUACGGGUUUGCUCUCUGGCUAUGAUAUCAUGUAGAAUUAUCAGAGAAAUGGGCUAUACAGCCCACUUCCAACAACACCGAUAUUGUCCCCAACUUGGUAAUUACUACCUACACAAUCCGUCAUGUGUGGAGUUUUAUCACAAAAGAUCUCAGUAUUAGUUGGAAUGAGAUUAGAGUAUUUAAACUUUUCUUUUGUCAUUGGUCGAUGUGAGACAUUUCAACAUUUCCCAGUAAAAAACUUGUGGGUUCUGCUUAUUAAUUUAAAAUGUUUCCUUCUUGGGCUCGUAGUUGAUUCUAUUGGGCAUGCAUUUUCAGUGAUCGUGGAAGUUUCUUGCUCGAGAUCUUUGGAUUUUAUGUGAUGUUUUUAGUUAGUUUUUGUUAUGCUUUCUGUUUCAAGUUCUUAUGUGGACUACAAUGUUUCGGUAUCGGAAAUUUCGAUGCUUAACGAUUCCAUUUUGCAAGAUAGUUCAAACUGACCAAUGCACUGCCAAAUCUAUAAAAAACAGAGUUGAAAACAUACCAAUUUAAUUAAGAACUUAACAAGGUGCAAGCCAUUCAUUGUUUCCGUGGUUUUACUGGCGGCUGCGUUUGCAUUGUAAUAGCAGCUGAUUAGUGAAGAUUGUAAAAGAACCUUUUGAGGCUGUCUCAUGUAAGAAAACUGCAUGAUGGUUUAGGUUUUGUUACUUGUAAUUGUCUCGAGGGUUCUGAAUAUCUUUGAGGAAGCAUAACUUUCUUUCAGCCUCCAAAUUUCAGCUGACUUUUUCGGGAUUGAUUGAAUAUAUAGUUUUCUGUUUUCAUAAUAUUGCAGGAUCAUAUUUUCCCCUCUCUGGCUGUUCCAUGUAGUUGUAGCACGAGGCAGAUUUUCGUUACCUGCUCCAAACCUGCCUAAUGAUCGCAAUGUAUGAGAUUGUAUUUCCAUUUUUCUGCAUUUGUCCCCACUGCGUGUUAUCAUUUUUCCAUAGACAAUCCAAUUUAUUUAUUUAUGUUUCAAGUUGAGCAACAAAAAAGUAAAUAUUUCUUUCUUAUGGGCAGUGGGCACCUUUUCAUGCUGUCAUGGCGACACCGUUGCUUGUCGCAGUUGAACUAACGCUUUGUAUAUACCUUCAGCGCAGAUAUGGUAUACAUGCAACAUACUUAAUGACAAGGAUCACUGAAAUCAUGUUCUUUAUCUAUAACGCGUUUACUUUUUUGUUGGUCGAUAAAUGAAUUAUCAAACAGUCACUUAUGAUUACUUCUUGGUGAACUAUAAUGUGUGCAGUUGUGAGCUUGAAGAUUGUCUUUGCACCCUUGUUGGCAUUUGAACUAGCAAUUCUAUUGAUAAUGUCAGGUAUCUCUAUUUCUUCCAAUCAUAUUUCCAAACUUCCUUAAUGUUUUUUUCUUUAGGAGGGUUCUAAGUUCCCAGAGCUCGACAUGUUCAAGGACGUUUAUGUUCGACCUAGCGAUGAGAAUAGCUCCAUGUAAGUAUAUGUAAUUAUUAUUAUUCUUAUAUUUAUGAAUCGUUCAAAUAUUAUUUAUAUUUUGUUAUUAAACAUUAUAUGUUUUUUAUUAUUAUUACAGGCUGCUAUGGUGGAAAAACACACUGCUGUUCUCCAAUAAGAAGCAACAUUACAGCUUUCCUCGGAGACCCCGAUCAAGGAUGCAGGUCUUCAGAUCUUGAUUGAGGUCCAGGAUCAGAAGUUCGGUCGUCGUCAUGGCAAGGUUGUUUGGUGUAUGGGGAAGGCGCGGGUUCAUGAGACGGGUGCCUUCUCUUCCAAAUCGACCACAGGACAUGUCAACGCUCUGAAAGAGGAAGUGACAACCCUAAAAGGUCAGCUUACGGUCCAAGGCGAGUAGAUGAGCAUGAUUGUACGAGCCUUACAGAUGUCCAGCCUCCAAAUCCCGAUGCCAGCACCUGAUCUUGCUCCACCUUCGACCUCCCAACCACUUCGCUCAACUGAUACCCAGUAGCCUGAUGUAUCAAACCUAGAAGACUACUUGUAGUUUUUUUUUGUUUGGACAUCUUGUAUGUACGUUUUCAUAUAUUUUAUAAUUAAAUACUUUUUCUUGGUUUAUUAAUUAUUGUUUAGAAUUUAAUUACAAUAUUUAUUAAAAAUUAAAUAAAAAAUAUUUUUGCCAAAAAAAAAAGGGUUUGCACGACGCAAAAGUAACAUGCUUGCACAAAUCCUACUGCUACUGCCUUGACGUGACGGUUGGUGCGCAAUGAAGGAUUCGUUGGGCUAAUUUUUGUCUGAUGUUUUUUGACUUUGUGCGACGAAGGACCUGCGUCGCGCAAACUGUUUUUUGUACUAGUGCUACACACGAGGCCAAGGGAUCCACCAUUAUCGCGCGAGUCCAAAGGGACCCACCCAUCACGUGGUAGUACAAUACGGGCCCGCUUCCUGGCUCUGAUAUCAUAUAGAAUUAUCAGAUAGACAGGCCAAGGGCCCACUUUCAACAAUAUCGAUAUUGUCUCCAACUUGGUAAUUACCACCUACACAAUCUGUUAGGUGUGAGGUUUUAUCACAAAAUGCCUCGGUGUUAGUUAGAGUGUGAUAAUUCUAUUUAAAUUGCUUUUCUCCUUUCCCGUUAGCUGAUGUGGGAUUCAACACUUUUAAAAUAACUGAAAACACUUUUGGUGAAUUUUUUUUUUAGAACUAAAUCCUUAGUAAAAACGCAAGUGAGUCCUUGAAGUGCUUCUCUAGGAAGCACUUGAAGUGCGUGCUUCUCUAGGGAAGCACUUCAAGUGCUUUUGGAACCCAAACACAUUUAAAAAAAAAAUUUAAUCAUUUUAAGAGCACUUCUAAAUAAGAAUUCUUCAAAUAUAUACUUAUAUAACAAAAAAUUUCCCUACAAAUAUAUUUUAAUAUUUCAGAAUCAAAGCCGAGUUUUUGAAUGGAGAGAACUAAUUUGUCAAAUAAAAGAAUAAUAAUUGGGUGGGACCAUCUCACCAUAUUUUUUUUGUGAAAAUAUGUCUCAGUACAAAAAAGUCUCAGUCAUAUAGUGAAACCCAGAAUGGACUAACUAAAUAGUCAAGUGCACAAAAUUUAGGUUGGUAUCUGUCGUGGUCUUAUCCCCGGAAACCUGUUGCUGGCAACACUUUGCUCCAUAAUACAUGACAUUACUGUACUAUAACACACAUUAUUGACAUUCAAAUUCAACAGGGGGACCCAUUAACGAAUUGUGUUACAAAAGCAAAUUAUGAAAGGGCUGCAUCUGGAAGCCAUGAUAUCAUGAAUAAGUCCUGGUUUGGUACUGAGAUGUUUCUGAAAAAAGUGGGUAUAAAAACAAGUUAACUUUUUAUGUUUGGUAAACAUUCAACUUCAGCUUUUUUUUCUUCACAUUUUUGGAUGAAAAAAAGCCAAAAACACAAAGGUGCAAAACCCAGCUUUGAAAAACUAGCUUUUUUUGCUUGCCCGGCUUCUGCGCAAACCAAUUUCGCAAGAGGCGCUGAGGCCUUUAAUGAAAUUUUCCAAUACCCAAAAUGGCCUUUAGCAAUUAAAUAAAUUAUACAUUAUACCCGUUGACUUCAUCGCCGACCUCGCCACGUCUCUCUUCCGUCCUCUCUGACUUUGAGCUUUUUCAGAUUUCUGGGACAUGAGCGGCGGGAGGUUUGUCGGAUUUCUGGGUUUUGUCAAAAUUCGGGGCCUUUUCUUCCGAUUUCUGAGCUUUGUCAAAAUUUGGGUUGCACAAAGAAUGCUAGAUUUGCACCCUUCUGCUUGACAUCCAAAAUCUCAACGGGAAAGCCUCGACGCCUUCAUUGCUAACACCGAUGGUAAGUCCUGAAAUCGGAGUUCAUCCAUUUUUCGCGAAUUGGUUGAUGUGACCCAGCCUUCAUUUCCCCACGACCUAGCCUUCAUUAGGAUCAGGCAGAGAGAGAUACAGAGAGAUAUAGAGAGAAGGGGGAGAGAGGGAGUGAGUGCUUGAAGAUAACAAAGGUUCUGCAAAAAUAAAAUAGGGACAAGGUAAAGAAGAAACGACUCUUAGAGAAAAGAAUAGAAUAAAAAAAUUAUAAAUUGUUGUAGGCAUAAUUUACUGAACAAUUACGGAGGCCAUAGAAAGAGAAAUGCGCGGCAAUAGAGAAUAAGAAGAGAGAGAUGUGUAAUUGUGGGUGUGUGUUAUUCCACCCCAUUGUGUCUUUAUUUAUAGUAGUAGGGAAGGUUAAUUCCUUACCCCUUAGGAUUACAACAUUUAAUAGGUAAUCUACUUCUAAUAGGAAUAUAAGAGAUAUCCUUAUAUCUGUUAGGAUUUACACAAUCACAUUCCUAAUCUAGGAAUAUAAGAGAUAUCCUUAUAUCUACUAGGAUUACAACAUUUAAUAGGUAAUCUACUUCUAAGAUUGCAACACUCCCCCUUGAGUGUGUAAAUACUCAAGUAAAUGACACAUCGGGUUUUCAGUGAUGAAGCAAGUAUAGUUGAUGAAGUCGUCGGCACAAUGAGUGAAUGUGAGUCUCAUAUCAACGGAAGAAUGCAUAAAAAGUAAAACUCACAAAACCUCGCUAUGGUAAAACCUAAGGUGGGAGAAAAACCCAUAGUUUAAGGAGAAAAGUGAGAAGUUGCAUUAAGUAAAAAACUAUACGUCUUUUAGACGUAAGUAGAAGAGCUCACAAGGGUAUGAUCAGCCCAGGAUGGGUGCCUCGUUAAAACCUAGUUAGGUAGCAAAAACCCAGUGGGAAAAUGCUCAUAAUCAGGAAAAAGAGUACAUUAAGAUCAAGUGAUUAUAUUUCUGGAUACUCCUCCUGAGUUUGACAUAACUUCCAAAUGAGAACUAUAAGCAUUGCAUAUGAAUAAUUAGGCAUACCAAUUCCUCGGACAAGCUUCUGGAAGGUUGACUUUGGCAGUGACGUCUUGUAGAGGUCGGUAAGGUUGUCUGGGAUCGGGUUGCAUAACUUCAAUUUCUUGAUGCUUUGCUGAUGUAGAUGCAAUAUGUCUUGGCGUUGACUUUGCUGAUGUAUCAUGUCUUGGUCGAAUGGAUACAUACGGCAUAAUCUUCAUGGAUCGUCGUUGGGACUUAAUGAUGGAUGAAAACACAGCAAGUACUUCGGAUAUACUCAGCAAAAACUCCUAACCAUGUCUCACUUGUGGCGUAGUGAAGUGAGGUGAGUUUUGGAACGAUUCAAAGAUUUCGCAACUAAGGUCAUAUCAUGGACCUCCAAGAUAUUGCGAUAUCCCUAACGGUAAAGACAUAACCAUUUGGAGAUUUUGCCUUGUGCAGGUUUGAUAAGUAAUAUGCGUCAACAUAACUACAAGGCAAACAUCAUUUUAAGGAUCAGGGGGUUGGAUCCGCUGAGAUGCAUUUGAGAUUUGCCCAUGUAGUACCUUCAGGGUAUGUCUUUAAUACCAAUUCAAUGGAUACGUGUAGGAGCGGUGUUGCAUCUUUACCAAGAUUAAUAGCGAAGGAGAUGUCCUGUCUAAAUACAAUGAGCUAAGUACAACGAAGCACAAAGUUGAACUUUAGAUAUGAAAUUUCGGAUUCCAUAACCUCUUCAAGGGUCUCAUUUGCAUAUAACGUAUGGACGAUCAUAGGUAUACUUAAAGGUAACACAUUCGGGGUGUAGUUCGACUGGUAGACCAAAAUACCGUCAGAACAAUGCUUCAACUUCGAGUCGAGGCAUAAAUGAGUUUUCCCAAGAUCCUUCAUCUCAAAUUCCAUUUUUAGGUAUGAGGCAAUUUUCUCAAGUUCUUCCAGAGUCUUAAUGAGAUUCGUGUCAACGACAUAAACUGUAAUUCUAGCAAUUUAGAAUAAGACUUCAUAGUUUAACACGCAAAAACAUAAUUCAUAUCCCUAACUAAUCAAAUAAUCACUUAGACGGGUAUACCACAUCCGUCGGAUUGUAAGUGAAUGCCUCAAGCAAGUUAAGAGGGUGUUAUAUGGUUUUGGAACUAUUUAAACUAGUCCAUGUAAUUCUUCGGGAACUUACAUGUAAAUCUCCGUAUUUAUAUCCCCAUGAAGAAAACACUAACCAAAUUUCAUAAUGCUGCUAUCAAUCACAGGACGUUUUGAGAAAAACCUUGUGUCGUAAGACGUGCAUCAUAUCGCACUAUUUCAUUCAUCUCAAUACGCUUCCUUUCCCACUUGUAACAUAACAUGGUUAUCUUGAGCAGUGUAGGGACAACAGGUCCAAUACACAUUUUGGCAAGGAAUUUGACCUGGAUUAUAAUUUCGGUUGUCCAAUCAGUUCUACGUUAUCACUUAAUCAAAGGAACACGGUUCAAUAUCGUCGCUUUUCAUUUAUGUCGGUAGCUACCAUAUAAGUGAAAACUUCAUCAAUGAUAAUCUUAUUUCAAUUCCAUUUAGCUCAUCCAAACUAGUAUACUGGACCAAGAACUUUAAGUGUCGGGAGAAAUCCGGAUUAAUCUCAUAAGAUGGAAAUGAUUUGAGACAGCGAUCGAGUUUAGAUUCAUUGUUGUGCCGUGUCUUCCUCUUCCAGGGAAGUGAAUUAUACGAACUGAAUGAUUUGUCAUGCUCCAAGCCAAGACAGAUUAAUUGGUUCUCCGUCGGUAUACUAGAUCGUCCAACAGGGGUGUCCAAACCGUCCAACAGGGGCGGCACACCUUCCAGGGAUGUUGACUCGACAUUCGUUAAGUACGUCUAUCCUUGCAGGAAUUUUUACAGCUGGUAUAUGAUCUCGUCACUUUAGCUAGAUUAGAGGAAUACGUCUAGAGCAACAUUCUGAAAUCUAGAAUUCAUCACACUUACUUAUCAUUCAUAUGCAGUAUGAGGAUCAAGAUGAGACAUAGUGGGUAACGUCCACGCAAAUUCGCGCUGUUCUCCAGGAACGUUGAUGUUCUUAUCUCCCCCUAACGGUAGGAAGACUAUCUCAUUAAAGUGACAACCCAUAAAUGAGCGGUAAAGAGAUCGCGUGCAAGGGCUUAAAGAGAGCUAGUGUGAAGGAGAAUCGUAAUCGACAAAAGAUACACAUCCUUCUUUGAGGACCCAUGAUGGUAUGUUGCGGCGGCGCAACUUGGCACAUGGAAUGCACACACAAAUCGGUAAAUACGAAAAUCGUCAGGUUCGUACCCAGUAACCAACUGUAACGUCAUAUAGGUUGGGUGGCUAUGGGCCUCAAGGCAGACCAACAUAAUUGCGUACAAGAUUGCAUAUCCCUAGGCAGAAGCUGAAAACUUGGUACGUUUACCAAAAUUCGGGCGAUCAUUUAAAUUGCGCUUUAUGAUCACUAGGUGAGGCUAUUCGGGAUGAACAUGGGAAUUCGAUGUUCAAUUAUAAACCCAAAAUACAUGCAAUACUUUAUCGAAAACUGUCGAUAUAAACUUUCUGGCAUUAUCCAGUCUCCCGGACCUUAAGGGAUAAGUAGGGUGGUGAACCCUUAAUUGGCCAGGAGGUUUAGCAGCAAUGUGUGUGGACAAACAUGUGACUAGUUUGUCGAUUCAUCAACUAAAACCAUAAGUAUAUAUAUGGUCCGCAUUUUGGUUGGAUUAGUCCAUAUAUAUUCCCUUGAAUCCACUGUGCAAAAUGGGUGAUUUCGUAUCUUUGCGAGGGAUGAUAUAGAAAAUUGAUUUACCUAAUGAGUAGGCUUAGCAAUGUGUGCUUGUAAGCAUAAGAUCCGUACUUCGGGUAAGGAGAUGCGUCGUAGCAUCAUUGUUCGACCUAAGUGUCCCAAAAGGUCGUGCCAAAACAAGUAAAUUGCUUAAUCACCCAGCUCCAGGUCGGCCACAUAUGGUGUGUUCCUAAUUGGGAGACAACCCAUUGGCCUCAAAUCAAAGCUUCAGGCUCAUUGUUGGAGGUGGUGGAAAGAUUUCACUCUAUUUUCUUUAGUGGUUCAUUUAUGAUCAUUGUCAUCUCGAAUAUCCUUAAAAACUCAACGUUAAGGAGAAUGUAAGGUCCCUUAAAUGGUGAUUUAGUACCAUUCAUACAAAGACGAGCAUGCCAAUGCUCUUAGUCAGGUUGGAUAGACCUGAAGUCGUUGUUAGAGAUGUGAUUUAGAUGUAAAGUUAGUGUGCGUAGUACACAUUCAUCCAGACAACUAACUUUCCCACAUUUCUACCUAAUCACGUGUUUAAUUGAAUUGGUCACAUGUAUGAAGAAACAUGAUUCAAUUAACUCAUAUUUGAGGAAAAUAUCAAUAAGAUUAUCCAUAAGUAAAACAUACACCAAACGUGAAUCCAAGAACAUUGAAAAAUGUUCACAAAGUAAAUGGUUUACUAAGGGGAUUCGGCCAACAAGGCCAUCCAUGUCAAAAUUAUGCUUUUCCAAUGGUGUUUGGUGUAACAAAAUUAGUCUCACGUAUUGACUACUAGAAUGGUACUCCUUAACAACAUUGGUAGGGGCACAAACAUGUACAUAACCAAUGGUCUAUUCCAUCGAGACGGAAAUAGAUUCUGCAGGGUUAAGGUUCGGGAAUAUUUUCCCUUAUUCUUGAAGUUGUAGGUCUUAGGUACCAAGGAUCACGCUUCGGGCAUGAUGCCACACCUUGGCAUGCCCCGAUUCUACCAUAUGUUGUAAAAACAAACUUGAAAUUGGAUUAUGAGAGAAUAUGCCAUUCAGUGUAUCCUUAUCGGAGCAGUGCAUCACCAUUCGGUAGGCUUUGACCGAACUGGGUCGAGCUAUUCGGUAGACUCUAGCCGAAUUGGGUCCAUACUUUUCUCUCACGUUUGUGGUAGUAAUCAGAUUCAAGAAUUUGGUAAACUUCCGCUUUCUACACUGCUGUUUCAGGGGCAAGUUAGAAAAAGGGCCUCGGGUGUAAACUUCAGGUCACGGGGUGAGGGAGAAACCCUAGCCCCAGCUGGGUUUUAAUAUUUUUUUUUUGACCAAGGGAGGGCACGGGACAAGGCCCAGCAUGAGUUGGCCUUGGGUUUGGCGCAAUGGGCUAACUGUCAUGCAAAAUGGGCUGGGGUGCUGCAAGGCCCAACAAGCUUUGCAGCUUGCUGGCGUAGACUGAAGGCCAGGGCUGCAGGCUCUUUGCUGCUACACAAGCCCAGAAACCAUAAGGUUACGACAUGUGGGUGAGUGGACUCAACCAAAUGGGGCUGGUUUCAGUGUUUUGGGCUCGGGGCUUCAGGCCAUGUCGAGGUGAAGUCCAGGUUGUGGCCUGGUUGCUGUGUCUAUAUUGAUGGUGUGGUGGUGUGCCGUACCAUAUCCCAUUCCCUUUUUUUUUUUUCAAAAAUCCCUUAGGGUUUAGGAAACCCUAAAAUUGCUUCUAAUUUAAUUUUAUACAUUGACUCAUAUAUUCCACAUAACAAUUUAAUUGUGCGAUGCAUGAAACAAAUAUAUAUAUAUUGACAAAUAUAUGAACAUAUACGAUAUAUAUAUCGGAAGGAAAAUAUAAACAUAGGGGGUUCAUGCAUCAUGGGGAAUGUUUUCAUGCUUCAUGGUCGUUUCAAAUAUCUUACUUUAUUUUAAGCGUACCUGAUUGGCAGAAAAGAACAAAAACCUUUGAAUUUGUAGAAGAUCUAUCUCAGAAAGCCAGAAUUGCAUCUUCAAUGCGUUGUAUCACGUUCAACACAGAAAAAUUAAAUUGAAUCAAUAACAUGUAGAUCAAUUCCAUAAAAUAAUUAAAUUAAUCACAAAAAGAAUGAUUAAAACGUAAUACUCCCCUGAUUGAAUAUCAAACUCUCUUGUUAGCGUAGCGUCAAGAGCGUGCUGAUAACGUGUUGUAGGCAUAAUUUACUGAACAAUUACGAAGGCCAUAGAGAGAGAGAGAGAGAGAGAGAGAGAGAGAGAGAGAGAGAGAGAGAGAGAGAGAGAGAGAGAGAGAAAGGUGUGGCAAUGGAGAAUAAGAAGAGAGAGAUGUGUAAUUGUGAGUGUGUGUUAUUCCACCCCAUUGUGCCUUUAUUUAUAGUAGUAGGGAAGGUUAAUUCCUUACCCUUUAGGAUUACAACAUUUAAUAGGUAAUCUACUCUUACUAGGAAUAUAAGAGAUAUCCCUAUAUCUACUAGGAUUUAUACAAUCACAUUCCUAAUCUAAUAGGAUUGCAACAUAAAUAUCUUAAUAAAAAAAGAUAAAAGUACAUUCUUCGAAGCUCACAACUGUUUAUAAAUAGUUUAUAUAAAUCUUAUAAAAAAAGGUAAUAUUCAACAUCAUAUCCUUUUUAGUCAUUUUACACCGUCGCAGCGGUUUUACAUAAAAAUUUACCAAACACUUUAACAUUGCUUUUUUUUUUUUUUUUUGCUAAAAACACUUUUACAAAAAAUUUUGCCAAACACUCUAUUGCUUUAUUUCAUAGCUGUUUAUUCUUGCAGCAUAGCAGAAGCAGUUUUUUUUCAGAGCACACAAAUACCAAACUAGCCCUAAGGCUCAUGAUUACAAGCCUUUAUUAAUGUUUAAUUAAAGGCUUAUUUAUAAAGUCUAGCUUGACUCAAGUAACACAUCCAGCAAAAUCAUGUCUGGUAAGACCUUAAUUAGUGUUUGUUGUUGAUAAAAUGUUAAUGUAUAAUGUUAGGGAGAUUAACUUUUUAAAUUAAAUUCUGUAAAUUAUAUGAUGCGAUUGUUGAUAAUUGAAUUAUUAUUGAAGUGUUGAUUAACGUGUUUAUUUUAUAUUAGGGACACAUCAUAUGACUUAUAAAUUUAGUCUAAAAAUUUGGUCUACCUAGCAUUAGUCAAAGUUAAUAGAAGAUAUAACACUGAACAUGAGGGGCUAAGUGGCAGUUGGUCUACUAAUAUUAGAUAGUAUAUUUAUUGUUGGAAAAUACCUAGGCACUCAUUAGCAAGUACACACAUUUUGAUUUUGUCUAAUGAUAUCUUAACACAUAUUUGAGGGUCCCAUCAUGUUAGAGUGUAAUUGUGUCACAUCCCGACCUGGGCUCGACUCCGUCGUAGCACAAUAUUGUCCGCUUUGGGCCCCGACCAUGCCCUCACGGUUUUGAUUUUGGGAACUCACACGAGAACUUCCCAGUGAGUCACCCAUCCUCGGAUUGCUCUCGCUCGAACUCGCUUAACUUCGGAGUUCCGAUGGAACCCGAACCCACGGAGCUCCCAAAAGGCCUCAUGCUAAAUGGAGGUAGGCAUGUACAUAUAAGGCAUAGAGGAUCCACUCCCCUGGGCGAUGUGGGAUCUAACAAAUUGUAACCUCAUACAACAUCUUCAAAACAUUUCAUUCUUAUACAUUUAGUAUAAGUUUAUGUCAGUUUCAUAAAACCGUUAUAAAAUCUGUUAAGUUUACCGUUAAGUGAUGAUGUGGGCGGAAUAAGAAAAGGAACUACAAAAAAUGGUGAGUACUUAAGUAUUAUCCUUUAUUUGCUGCUUCUUUGAUGAGGACCUAUAAAGAAUAGCCGUGUGAUACUUUUCUCUGUUAUUUGAUUUGGUGGAAAGUGCAAGUACCAGAGCAGAGCCAUGCCGCAUUUGGAGCCCAAAUCAAUCACCAAUAUAUAGCAAACUAGCCUUCAUGCAUGCGCUCACGUAUAUAUAGGAGGCAUUUUUUGAAUCACAGCUUGUUACGCGCAACUUACAAGUUUUAAAUGUAUUUAUAUGUGUGAAUUGACAAAAGGAAAGUCAAAUAUUAGAAGUAAAUGAAUAAUCUUAGAUUAUGGUAAAGAAACCUCUCACAAACCCGUCAAAGCAGUUGAAUUCAUAUAAUAAAAUCGAUUUUUCAAUUUUCAUCUACAUUCUAUUGAAUUUACAUUAAGAAUUGAGAAAAUAAUAUUUAAUAAACAACUGAUUGAAUCACAUGAUUGCUAGCACAUUGUAAGGCUAAGCCCACCCCUUCCCCUUAGUGUAUAUAUCGUUUGUUCAAAAAAAAAAAAAAUUAUUUGACAAUUAAUUUAAUCACAUUAUUAUACGUGUGCAAAAGAUCUUUUUUUUAUAACUGGUAUUACACGCCUCUUACGAUGUUUUGAACGUGUUUAAAAAUAGAGAAAACAAUAUUUAAUGAACAAUCGAUUGAAUUACAUUAUUGCUAGCCUAAUGUGAGGUACUAAUUAAAAAAAAAUUGUACAAAAUAAUUAAUUAGAAAAAAAACACUGUUAAAAAGACAAAAAUACCCCUGCAUUAUUUUGGGUUGUUUUUUAAUUCUUUUUUUGUUUUUUGUUUUGGAGGUAUUUUUGUCUAAAUAGUUUUAGUGAAGCUUGUGACCCCAAAAUAAGUUGUUGGGUUUAUAUAUAAAGAUAUUCGAUGUAGCUUCCUUUUUCACAUCAUUUGGAUUGCUACGUCUAAUAGUUUUAUGGUGUUCCUGCAUGCAUGUUGUACGUAUCAAUGUAUCAAUGUGAAUCACGUAGGGCCGUAAUUAGUAUUGAAAAAACAUGCACAUCCAACAAUGUUUCGUAAUCUGGAUACGACACAAAUCUCCUUCUUUAGUCUAUAAGCAUCGUGAUUUCUGCCUAGAACUUUUCAGCAACAAUUAAGUAUGACAAGUUUGACCAAAUUAAGCAUGAUGGGUUUCUAUAAUCUAUAAGUUAAGGGAUGUGCUAUCCACACACCAUAUUUUACUUCUCACACACUCUUUGUUAAUUUCUGUUCGUUGAUCUUCUUCAAUUCAUACGAUCCGACGACUGAAAAUUAAAAGGGUGUGUAAGAGGUAAAAAAAAAGGUGUGUGGAUAUCACAUCCCUAAGUUAAUUGAGCAUAAAGAUCAUUAUAUCCAAUAGACCCGGCAGUUUCUGAUAUGACACGGUGACACGACAAUAAAAUAAUGGGUUUCAGAUCAAUACGAUAACUUAUCGAGUCAUUAUCGGGUGACCCGUUAAGAACCCGUUAAUAAUGGGUUCUUAACGAGUAUACACGUUGGUAACACGUGGGUAACCUAUUUGUCACAUCCCGGGCCCGUUCCAUCACCGUAGUACGAUAUUGUCCGCUUUGGGCUUACCAUUCCCUCACGGUUUUGUUUUUGGGAACUCACGAGCAACUUCCCAGUGGGUCACCCAUCCUAGGAGUGCUUUGGCCUCCUUCUAGCUUAACUUCGGAGUUCCUACGGAACUCGAAGCCAGUGAGCUCCCAAAAGGCCUCGUGCUAGGUAGAGGUAGGGAUGGGAAUAUACAUUUAAGGAUCACUCCCCUGGGCGAUGUGGGAUGUUACAAUCCACCCCCUUAGGGGGCUGAACGUCCUCGUUGGCACACUUUCGGCCAGGGAUUGGCUCUGAUACCAAUUUGUCACAUCCCGGCCCGGGUCCACCACAUCCCAGGCCUGUUCCACCACCGUAGCACGAUAUUGUCCGCUUUGGGCUUACCAUUCCCUCACGGUUUUGUUUUUGGGAACUCACGAGCAACUUCCAAAUGAGUCACCCAUCUUGGGAGUGCUUUGGCCUCCUUCUCGCUUAACUUCGGAGUUCCUACGGAACCCGAAGCCAGUGAACUCCCAAAAGGCCUCGUGCUAGGUAGGGAUGGGAAUAUACAUUUAAGGAUCACUCCCUUGGGCGAUGUGGGAUGUUACAUCAUUUCGACCAAUUAAGAAAAAAAUUAUUUUGAUAAUUUUAAAGUUUAAUUACUAAAAGAUUUAUUAUAAAAUACAAUAGUCAUAUUAGUGUAUACAAUAUAUUCUAUAUUAAAUGUAUAGUUUUGUAUUAUUAUUCUAUAUAAGUUUAAAAAAAAAAGUUUUAGUCAUUAUUUAUUUUUAUUAUGAGAGUUCAUUAUUAUCAUUACUAGGAUAAAUUUUACUUAACAUGUUGUUGUCCAAAAUUAAAAUAAACUAAUAUAGUAUUUGUAUAAGCAAGAACUAAGAAGACAUACAUACAAUUAUGAAAAAUGUGAAAGAAUAUAUAAACACUCGUGAUUCAUCAUUAUUCCUCCACGAGUAGAUAAUGGUUACAAUUACAUUAUUGUUUAGAUUUUUAAAAUCCUCCAAACCCACAUAAAUAAUGUUUUUUAUUUGAGGGAAAAAUUAAUAAAAUUAAUAAUAAUUAUUGUAGAAGUGUAAAAAACGUAAAAAAAAAAAAAUAUACAAUCACUCAUAGUGACAAACUUUACAACUUUCAUGAAGGGGUCAGCUUCGAAAUCUAACACUAUAUUUCAUAAACCUUAAAUUUAUAUUUAACCGUUGAUUGUCAUUUACGCUUUAUUCUUCUUACUGAAUUUUAUUUUUAGAAUUUUAUUUUUUGAAAACAUGAUCAUCUGGCAGAUGUAAGAAGAUGAACGGUUCAGACCUUUGAUAUCACGUUUCGAUAUUUACGGUUAACUGAAAUAUGAGUCGAUAUCAUAUAGUUUGUAGAAACUUUAUAAACAUCAAGCAAUAUUUUCACUAACUGUAAAACUCUGAAUAUAAUAUUAACGAUCUAAACCGUUCAUCUUCCUGCAUCCUCUAAUAGAUCAACUUUUCAAAAAAGAAAAUCUAAAACAACAAAAUUUGAUGAGAACAAUAAAACUUAAAUGUAAACAACAAUCAACGGUUAAAUUUUGAUCUAUGAUUUAUAUGAUUAUAGUGGCGAAUUUCGAAGUUAAGCUCUUCAUGAAAGUUGUAAAGCUUGUCAUUACAAGCAUUUAUAUAUUUUUUCUAUAUUUUUUUACACUUCUACAUUAAUUAAAAAACUAUUAAAGACUUUAGGUAAGUGAAAAUAUACUUAAAAGAAAAAUACGUUUUUAUGUUUUGGAUGUGACAAUAUGGUAUGUAUAUACUUAUUUAGUAUUAUAUUUUUCAUUUGAUUAUUUAUUGGUUUAAAAUAUAUUUUCCUUAACGGGUAACGGAUCAAGUCAUAUUACCUGUGAAUAUUAUCGAGUCGAUUUCGGGUCGGGUCAUUUUACCCGUUUAUUUUAACAGGUGUUACACGACAUGACCCGUUAAGAUAUCGGGUAUGACACGAAAACGACACGAACACAGAAAACACGACACGAAUGACAGGUCUACUCCCAGCUUUAUGGGCUUUACUACAUAACAUAUUAAUGCGUGAGGUACCUAUCUCUCCAACAUUUUUUAUUGAUCACUGCUUCGUUUGUUUAAUUUAUUGAUAAAAUAACCCAAUUUCUAAGCUACGGUAUUAGAAAAGACAAUCAAAAAUAUAUUUUGGAAGCAAAAUACAAUAAUCUAAGGUAUUUUGUUUGUGAAUGCAAAAUCUUGUUUCUAAUUUGAACUUGAACAGAGACACACGUAUUUUUAAAAUGUAUCAUAAGGUCAAGAUUCGGCAAACAAUCCAACGGCUUCACAUGAAUAUAUGCUAGGGCGGGCCCCCGGGUUUGCUUAUUUCGCCUGUGCUUAUUUCGGCUGGGCACGAAGCUUCAACUAUAUAUAAGCGUACAAGUUUCAGUCAAGCUCCUCCUCCUUUCCAAACCCUCUCCCUUAAUUUGCUCUCUAUUUCUUGCUUUUCAUGCUUGCUUGGAUUUUGGGUUUGUGAGGUUUGCUUGUUUUUAGAGAGAAACAGAGAGGAUGAAGUGUAGCAGUGAGUCUUCUUCCAAACCGGACAGGAAGACAGUGGAGAGAAACAGAAGAAUUCAAAUGAAAAGUCUCUGCUUCAAGCUUGCUUCACUUGUCCCUCCCCAACACUUCAAAACCACCAACUCCAAGGUACAUAUGGAUCAUUGGGAAAUUUUAUUAGAACCCCUUUUCUUUUUAUCUCUACACCUAGCUUAAAUUCUAGAUAUAAAUUGUGUAUUUUACUCUAUGUAAUUUUGGUUACAAAUUAGGGUUUGGUUAUUGUAAAAGGAGGUAGAGAUCAGAAACAGUUAAUAUAUAUAUAUAUAUAUAUAUAUAUAUAUGUAUAUAUAUAUAUAUGUAUGUAUAUAAGCAAAACCAUAAACGUAUGUAUUAGUUAGGUAAGCCAAAUUCAUAUUCCUAGUCCAACUUACUUAGAUUCAGUUGUAUAAAUAUACUUUAGCUCUCUAUAUAAUUGAUUGAUCUGGUGAAAUAUAUGAAUAUUGGAGCUUUCGAUUUCCAUCGUUCUCUCAAGAGUUUUACCCUAUUUUUGGUUUUCUUCAUAUUGUUCUAGAGGGACCAUCAAUGGAGGGACUGCUUCUUAGUUUUUUAUUUUUUGAAUAAUUGAUUUUGUUGGGGGUGUAAACAGAAAUUAUAUUGGAUUGGGUUUUCAUAAGUGAGGAUAAUUUAGGAAUUAAUAUUAGGUGUAAAAAGAUAAUGAUAGAUAAAAUUUUCCUAUAUCAUUUAGGACAUGUUAGUUUGUGAGUCUGAAGUUUAAAUUUGACAUUACCCUUUGAAGGAAAAGGAUCAUCGCUGGAUCCUUUUCUUAGGGAUCCUAGGGAUCCCAUGAUUGUGACUGUUUAUCGUACAUCGUGCGGUCAGAAAUUAUUUCAAAAUUUAAAUUUUAAAAUUAAAUAUAAACAGUACCUAGUGAAAACUGACUGCACGAUGUACAGUGAACUGUCACGAUCCUAGGAUCCCUAGGAUCCCUAAGAAAAGGUUCCGACGAGGAUCCUUUUCACCCUUUGAAACUAUAUUUUCCUUACCUAAAACCCAUCUUCUCUAGUUUUCUUGACUAAGACCAUCUCCAACUCUUGGCCUAAAACCUAAAAUUUUUAGCUCAGAAAAUUUAGGUUUUAACCCAAAAAUAGCUUUUCUGCUCUAACGUUUAUGGCCUAAAUUUUUUAGCCCGAGAUUAUUAAAGAAUAAAUUUAGGCUAAUUUUUUCUUUUAAGUAAAUUAAAAAAAAAUUAUGUACACUAUAUCCUAAUUUAAUUUUAUGAACAUUUUAACCUAAAAAUAUUUAGAUUUUGAUAAAUAUUGAAAAAUCACUAAAUUUUGGUGAAUUUUGAGUUAAAUUGUUUUUUUAAUUAUUUUAGUUGUUGGAUUUAAAUUUUGGGCCAUUAGAUCUUUUUUUAUUACUGUUAGAUUUGAUUAUAUUCGUUCACAGCUGUUGGAUUCAAUAAAUCUUGGGGAAUAUGCCCACGUGGGUGGGGUUCUGCUAGUGGUGCCCACACCAUUUGCUGGGCUAAAUCCUGGGCUAUUUCUAGCUUUGUUUUAGGUUUAGGUCCAAUUUUAAACUUGGGUUAGGUUGGAUUUUUUUUGGCCCCCGGGGGGGGGGGAGGGGGGAAUAGUGUUAACUACAUUGCAAUGGUUGUGAAUUGAAGGGAAAAACAAGGAGAAAGGAUGAACAGAAAGAUGAACAAAGAGAUAUGAGAGAGAGAGUUUAGAGAGAUAAAUAGAUUUUGUAUUAACUGAUCAAAUGAAGAUUACACAUACUGUUUAUAUAGAAAUCCUAACUACUUUAACCAAAUACUAACUACCUAACUCUAUUACUAACUGUAUUACAUUUUUACCCUUAAUACUCCCCCUCGAUCUCAACUGGGGUAACCCAGUUUAAGAUUGGAAGAACAAUUGCAAUCACUGUUAUGAAACCAAAAAAACAGAACACAGAGGACAUAAAGUUCAAAAUACUUCCAAUGAGCAGCAGCAACUUGUUGAAACAGAUGACAGUGCAAUUUCAUACUCAUCAAUCAAUUUCCCAAAGAAUUUCAGCCCCUCAAACUGAUAUCUGCUGUAGCUACUGUUUUCUUUGCGAUAAGGUAUCCAAUAUUUCACAGUCAACAUUCCUAGAAGACCUUCAAAUCUUCACAGAUUCCAUUGUAUUUUCAGACAUUUUGAUUACUCUGACCAAAUCCUUCUUUGUUCACAAUUGAGAAUGGUCAAACAACAAGCUUUACAAUCACAGAAAUUAAGAAACACAACCCUCUUCGGCAAUCGGCCUUCAAUGAAGAAAGGGAACAAGAACUGCACUCCGGCAAUCGACCUUAAUGGAGUUGCACACAAUAACAACAAACAAAACUUUUCAAGAACGUUACUCCGGCUAUCGGCCUUUAAGAAGUAACACAAUACUUGAAACAGAACUUUUCACUCCGGCUAUCGGCCUUGUGGAGGAAACAUAAAAGGGAAAUGGCUAUCGGCCUCUCUAUCCCAACAAACAAUUAAAGAACCAAUCUUUCAGCAAUGGCAAUUGGCCUUCAUUUGCUGAUCAAUCAGGUAAUGAUAGUACAAUCUUGGCAAUCAUCCUUCUUGAGUGUAAAAUACCCAACAAUAUUCAAUUAAAGAAUCAAUCUUUCACUUAGAAGAAAUGGCAAUCAGCCUUCAUAUUCUUCUAAAUCAGUAACUGGCUAUCGACCUUAAUACAAGAAUUAACACAGAAUUGCUCACUGAGACAAUCAAACAAACAAUUGGAGUGCAUAAAGAAAGAUGAAACCUGAAUCUUUAGUUCUUAAGCAAAAAAAGGCCAGAAAAACACAUCGGAGAUUAGUAACCAUUCAAGAUAACACAUCGAAAGUAAUAAUGAUCAAUAUUGAAUCUAAAUACCCCAAAUAUCACACUGAUAAGAACUUCAAUCUUGACCUAAAGAACGCUGAGGAAGCAAACCAGAACCCAUCGCAGGAGCUCGUUGUUCUUCUCGAAGUUGACCGGGUUCAUAUCCAAUCCAACCCACCAAUGGCUUACACCCAGCAAACCCAGCAUGCUUCGAAGGACGAUUUGAAGGAAAGUAGAGCAAACCCAGGGUAGGAUGUUCAUGUAAUGGCAGAGUAGUUAUCCAGAAUAUUUGAGGACAUGUGGGCCAUCAUAGAGUCAGAUUACAAUCGUGAGCUGAGGUUUGGAUAUGAUUAUGGGGUUAAUCUUCCAACACCUACACCAAGAAAGGCACCUCCAUUGCUACCACCUCCUAUUGAUAUGUGAGGAUAGUAGGAAAAUAGUUGCUGGAGUUGAAUAAAUGGGAGUCUUCCUCCAUUGUUGAUCCCAAGAAUCCCAUAAAAAACAUUGAAGAGGAGAUCCCAACAAUGGCAGAAAAGCAACCCAAUCUCGUGGAAGCACCGAAAAAACUAAUGGAAAUUUGGAGAGAAACUAUGCUAGAAACAAAAGAAAAAUAAUGAGAAAUGCAACCACCAGAAUCAAUGGCGUGAGCAUGGUGGCUCUGAUUAAAUGUUAACUACAUUGCAAUGGUUGUGAAUUGAAGGGAAAAACAAGGAGAAAGGAUGAACAGAAAGAUGAACAGAGAGAUAUGAGAGAGAGAGAGAGUUUAGAGAGAGAAAUAUAUUUUGUAUUAACUGAUCAAAUGAAGAUUAUACAUACUUUUUAUAUAGAAAUCCUAACUACUUUAACCAAAUACUAACUACCUAACUAUAUUACUAACUGUAUUAUAUUUUUACCCUUAAUACAUAGAAGGGGAAACUAGAUUAUAGGCCAGGGUUGGAGUUGGUCUAAAGCCCAUUGACUAGGCUCUAACUAAGCAAAUUCUUUAAUUAAGUUUGACUUUUCAAAUUGUGUGUUUUUUGAAUGCCUAAACUACCCCUAUUAAUACUUGGAUUGAGGUUUGGAUUAGUUACUCGUUAUAUCCAUUUAAUUAAUUAUAUUUAUUUUACAAAAUAUUUCAUUGUAUAUUUAAUGUAUUAAUUUUCAAAUUGUUAUAAGGUGCGGAUUGAAAAAUAAUAAUAUUAAUGCCAUAAUUUUGUGAGUUAAAUAUACAAGUUAAUUUACCUACCAACACAACAAUAAAUUAACCUAAAACAGCUUCCGCUAUUGCAUAUGUACUACAAUCCCUAGUGCACAAAACAAAAGCUAUAUGUUCCACGCAAUUUUUACCUACAAAAUAGUCUAAUUUACCUAUUCCAUCAAACCAAAAUUUAAAGGGUCUAAUUUACUUCCAAAAUGGUCUAAUUUACCUACAUGAUUUAUGUGCAUUAGAUUUCAAGUUUAUUUAAUUGCCUACAAGCACAAACCCACAACAUUCAAACAUUAUCCCAUAUCACUAUUUUUUUGGAAUAGGUAAAUUAAUUUAAAUGUAGGUAAAUUAGGUAAAUUAAUUUAUAUGUAGGUAAUUACAUGAUUCAAACAAUAUUAUUUUUGACACACCCCGACCUGGAAAGGUCAAAGCAUGCUAACCAUCACCGAGGUGACGUAACCAUAAGGGUAAGUGAUGCAAAAAGUGAAUAAAAUUAAAACUAAUUAUACUAAAUGAUAAAAGGGAAUGAGUGCGCAUUCGUAGGACGAACCCACUACAAUUAUUCAGAGCGUAAUAGACAGUGAGACUACAUAGUAGUAGUCAAAGUAGUUAAAGUACACUUAUUACACCACAGUGAUAAGUUCGUACGUCUAAAUAGAAGAGAAAGUUAGAACCGCCGGGAUUCCUCGAGUGCCACAAAGAGUACAACUAUCUAGGUCCUGGAAGGGCGAAAAACAAAGUUGAGUGGGUCAACAAAACAAUGCUUAUACGAAAUCCUUUAUUUUCGAAUAUACUAAGUAGGUGUGUAACCAAUAAAUCAACAACAUUAUAGUAGUAUAAUAAUUAGAAUUAUGCCAAAUCAUGAUGUAUGAAAUGCCACAAUAAUAUAAUCAUGUGAUAAUCAGGUAUAGCUAAGUGCUUAUCCAUCUAAGCUGACAUACAAGUUCGAACAGAUAAUUUCUGACACGAACAGGACUGGGUGUAAUCAAUAUGCUCUAUGUUGAUGCACAAAAUCAACGAGGACUUUGGUACAAAAGAAAAUGUUAAGUUUUUGACCUUCGCCGAAUGGCUUGUGUGACAAAAGAUCUCAAGCGGUUGAGAGUCAAAACAUUUGUAAUGUGUAUGCCUUCUUAUAAUAGCAUUUCCUUUAGUACCUAGUCCUCCACUUUGAAAGAGUGAGGCUUGGCUUCAUAGUCAUAAUAGUCGAUGGUAUGUUCACCCCUGGUGUCUUGAUACGAACUUUUAUCCUUCUUGUUGUAAUGGGCUUGCUGAGAGUAAAACUCAUUCCUCUUACCAAGAGACAGAUACGUUUGGUGACUUAGCGAGUAGCUAAAUGAGGCAGGAGAUGAUGCAAUGGGUGUCUGAAUGGCCAAGAUCUCCUCACUUGGUAAAACUUGACUUCCACUUCCCACUUGUUGAUAAGGGUUAACCAUAUGAGGGUUCCCUUGGUAUGUCCUUGCUUCGGCGGAGGCGUGGUUAUAAGCCUGUGCCAUCACCUCAGAGUAAGUCUUCCAAGUGUUAGCAUUGAUCAUGUACUUAAAGAAACAAUCACGUAGGCCUGCCGUGAAGGCCUUGAUGGUGGUCUUGUCAUCUGCCUCAGCGCAGUGAGAAUACUUAUAGCUGAAGAGAUCGGCAUACUCUCGUAGUGACUCGUUCGACUUAUGGCGAAUAAUGUACAAGUCAUUUGCAGAAUGCAAGUGAUCGGUCUGGAAGAUGUGUUGAGAGACAAACAGUUUCCUCAGUUCCUCAAAUGAGUCUACUGUCUCAGGUGGAAGACGGCAAUACCAGUUUUGAGCUCCGCUAGAGAGGGUGGAGGGGAAGAGAAGACAUCGCUCUUUGUCGGUGUGCAUCCGAUAUGCCAUGGUAGACUCAAAGAGGUUAAGGUGUUCAAUUGGAUCAUUCCUUCCAGUAUAAAGUUGUAAACCAAGCUUUUGUUUUGUCUUCGCUUGAUGGGGGUGUCGAGGAUCUUCCUUGUGAGAGGGCCAUGCCUCGGUUAGUUCCAGUUAGGUAUCUCGGCCUGACUUUCGACCUUCAACUUGUUUACUUCCUCAAGGAGCUGUAGGACAAGGGAGUCCUGAGUGAAGUCGUGUACCACUGGAAUUUUCUUUCGUAAGUCUCCAUCGCCUCUUGGAAGUAGGAAAGUUUGAGUAAGAGCCUGUAGUUUUUCCUUGGACUCGCUGUACUGACUUCUAGGGCAAGUUUGUUGGAAUACCUCAAAGUCCCUUGUACCUUCAUGUUCUUUUAGAACCUGUCGUUCCUUCUCUAGAUUGGCAGCUGGCCUGGGUCGUGGGAUGAGACUGAGUCUUUCAGAAACCCUUGGGUCAUUGAUCUUCGAGCAUAUGUGGAGGGGAUUCUCUCGAUGUUACUUUAGGAAGCCUCGGCAGUCGCGAUAAACGGCUUUCGAUCCUUCCAACCCUUCUGCAAUAAGGUGUCUUCCUCCACUUCUCCUACUUCAGGUCGAAACAUUUGGGUUGAGAGAAGUCUCAUGUUGAUCAAUGUUUUGAUGAUUAGCUCGCUCCUCAUCUGGGAUACCUAUGUCAAAGGGAGGUGACCCUCCGUGUUGGGGGCACCCAGAUGAUGGUUGAUGUCCACAUGGACAACGAGUUCACGUGUUUGAGUACGCCUAGUUUUGUGGAGCGUCUCAAAGAGCUUCUCAUACUGCUCCUGGAGGACCUCAUUCUUCAUUGCUAUCUUAUUGUUCUAAGCUUCUAGCUCAUCGACUUUAGCUUGAAGAGCAACCUUCUUUCAUUCCUUCUUUCGUUGCUUUGCACUAGGUGCAAGAGGGGUGUCAUUCUAUGUGUUGUGGCUUCCUUCGCUCCCCAUGUUGGAGAGGGAUGCCUGGUCAAAAGAGAGUGUACGAAUGGUGGAAACCACCUUGACAAAGCUGAAGAGAGUGGGAAUAAGUGUCGUUUCCCACAGACGGCGCCAAAUGUUGAUGCACAAAAUCAGCGAGGACUUUGGUACAACAGAAAGUGUUAAGUUUGUGACCUUCGCUAGAUUGCUCCGGUCACUAGUGUGGAUAAGUAAGUAAAUGGAUAGAGACAGGGAAGCAAACACAAGAUGUACGUGGUUCACCCAGAUUAGCUACAUCCACAGAGUAGAGGAGUUCUCAUUAAUUGUGAAGGGUUUACACAAGUACAUAGGUUCAAGCUCUUCUUUAGUGAGUACUAGUGAACGAUUUAGUACAAAUGACAUUAGCAAAUACUGUGAGAGAAUGAUCUCUAUUUAUAGAAGAGAGUUUCUAGUUUCAUUCUGACGUUGACACGUGUCGUGUUAUGAUUGACUUCUGAUGUUGACACGUGUCGCGCUAUGAUUGGCUUCUGAUGCCGACACAUGUUGCGUUGUGAUUGGCCUCUUAGUUGGAGGGAAACUCUUCUGGGUCCUUGACGGUAUAACGUUGACUGGUGCUCAGUAGUUUCAGGAUUGGUCAAGUAUGGUACAAACACUCUAGUACUACGAUUACGUGAAGACUGGUGCAGAAGCACGGUCACAUACAAGUCAGAUUGCCUAAUGCAAUCUACCCGACAUGACUGGCACCUAACUUGGAUCCAAGACAAGCGAACGGUGUGAUGUGAACAUACACAUGAAGGACUGGCCCUGGCCCUAAGGCGAGUACUAACACCAGUGCAGCAAGAUGAGCAUGUACAAAUAUGUAUGAAUGUCAUGACAGUAAUAUCUUAACCAUAAAGCAGCAAUUAUCACAAUUAUAUAGCAGUUAUUAAUUAUUUGGCAAUAUAUAUAUAUAUAUAUACGCAAACUGAAGUAAAUACACAUUUAUAGAAACUAUAAAUAUGUAUAGGUAUAAAACAACUGCCCACUCACAAGUACGUCGCUGGGUCAUAACCCCCGAACCUAGCUUGGCCUCAAACGUCCUCGGGAUAUGUUUCCCCUAUAUGUGAAAUAACUAAAAUAUAAUUAAUUAAAGCACAUAUACAGAAACUUAAAUAAAACACCCAUAGUUUGCUCAAACCUAGGGUUUAAAUAUACCACCGUGACCUACUUGACAUCAUGAACAUCCCCAAAUUUUCAGAAAAUUUUUUGGAUGACUCACGUGCCCCCACACGCCGUCAAGGGCACGGCCAGAAGCGCCCGACGCGCAGGCCAGUGCCUGACGUCCGUUAGGAAUAUUCCGUCAACUCUGAGGAAAUAUUCCAUCACCUUCUCCGAUCACCCUCGCUGUCGCCGCCAUCUGCAACUCGAUCUUUCGCCGAAUUUCUGGAAAAAUUUUAAAUUCACUAUUCUUCUUCAUUUCUCAACCAUUUUUGACGUACUAUAUAUGGAUUUGAAGCUAGUGAAGUGAAGGAUCGCGUUAUACCUGUUUGGAGUCCAAAAAGUGGACGGAGGUCGCCGAAAAAAACCUCGAAAGUUUCUGCCAAAAGUGAACUCUUCGAAACUCAAUCGUUUCACGUCGACCUUCUUCCAAAACAAGCCUAGGACCUUCAAAAAGUUGUGAAGAAGCCUUCCCAAGCUUCAAAUCAUCCUAACUCAUUCAAAAAUACAUCGAACUCAGUGUGCCUGAGUUCGGACCUCACGAGUUAACGAGUCAAAACUCGUCUAAACUAGGUUUCAAGAACAUGGUUGAGUUCGUGAAGAGGAGGAGAGUACAAUGGAGUGGUUUUCGGGUUCGAUCUGUGAGCUUAGCAGCUCGUUUGAGGGUUUUGCAGAGAAGAGAGCAUACAGGAGAGAGAGAGAAGGUUCAUUUUUCUCUUUUCUGAUUGGGGGACAUAAAUGAGGGAGAGAUGAGAUUGGUGAGAGAGAGGAAUGAUGGAGGAGGGUGCACAGGAUGGGCUAGGGAAAAGCUAGGGAUAGGGUUUUAGAUUUUCUACUGAAAAGAGUAUCGAAAAUCUAUCUGGGAUAGUGUUUUCACACUGAUAAAAAUUUACGUACACCCGUAACGACGUGUACAAUUUAAAUGCAAUAGCGAGAAAUAAAAUGAAAGCGAUAAGAAUACGUCCACGCCACUUGCCAAUAAAGGCAUAACCGUUAAUACACAUACUCAGGGAGAAAUUACACAGGAAAAUUAGGGACGGGUCGUCACAAUUAUUUUUCGUACAAGAUAUGUCUAUUUUUUAAUACGGUAAAUUAAUUUAUAUGUUACUAAUAUUUGUAGUAAAAUAUCCAUAUGGAUUUAAUUGCUCAUAAUAAUUAGGAUGAGUAAUAACAUUUAUUGACCAAAUUAGGAUUUUGUGGCAUAAAUUGUAAAUGAGUUGUAAUAGUUGGUUAUAUAUUUGUCUACAUGACAGUCUAUUUGAAAUUUGGGUUUUAUUUGAAUGUUUAAAAUUAAGUGGAUUUUUGUUUGAAAAAUAUGAAUUUCAAGGGUCUAUAUCUAAAGAACCUAUUCAAUAAUCUAGUAAUGUAACAUAUCAAAUAUUUAGGACAAGAGAACGCUACUCCUUAACUAAAUAUAUUUCAAUAAAAACCAAAUUUCAUUAUCGGCUUUAUUAAUUGUAAUAUGCCUUUCUCCCAUUGAUCAGGAUACCGUGUCAAAGCAAAAUCAACUUGAUACUGCGGUAUCCUAUAUAAAGCAACUGAGAGAGAGAAUAGAGAAUUUGAAGGAGAGGAAGGAGAAAGCAAUGAGGUCACAAUUAGGCAGUUCUAAUUCUGACAUUAGUGCUAUUGCUGCCGAAAAUGCCGUAAUGACGGGAUCAAGAUUACCAGUCCUUGAAUUACGAGACUCGGGUUCCUGCAUAGAAGUUAUGCUGAUUAGUGGGUUGAAUAAGAACUUCAUGUUUUAUGAAGUCAUCCGUGUUCUUGAGGAACAAGGAGCUGAAGUUGUCAGCGCUAGCUUUUCCACUGUAGGCGAUAAAGUUUUCCACUCGGUGCAUGCUCAGGUACUAAAACAAUCAUCCGAGAAGCUAAUAUCAUCUAAUCUUAAAAAAAUGUACUAAAACAAUUAAGUUCAUUAUGAAACAGACUUAUCAAUUUUAUUUUUGAUGCUUCUUUGUAGGUCAAAAUUUCUAGAGUUGGAGUAGAGACUUCAACGGUAUGGCAGAGACUACAGGAUUUGUUAUACUGAGUAGCUAGCUAGCUAGCUUUACCUCUUGAAAACUGAAGAUUUAUAGAUAAUGUUUUAGCAAAUGCAUCAUGAAAGAGCUCCGGAAGGAGAGGCGUAAUUAGGAUAUAAAAACUGAUGUUCCCUGUUUCCUGGGCUAGCCAUUGAGUUAAUAAUCAACGAAUCUAUUAAUAUAUACAUAUGUGAUCUAGUGUUUGUUGGAAAUUUGAGUUUGAGUAGAAAUUUCUUUGUCCCACAUUGACCAUUUCCAAAAGCUUUCAUCACUUUAUAAGGCUUUGUCCCUUAUAGAAAGUAAUUGGAGUAAUAGGCAUUGGAGAAUAAAAUUGGGCACACCCUUGGGGUUAGACUUUGAGGUGCACUAAUUAAUUAGUAAUUAAUAUAUAUUUAAUAUAUAUAUAUAUAUUAUAUUUAAUAUAAUUAAUUAUGAAAAGACUCAUCAUUUCAGAUGAAGUCUGAGAGUUCAGAAAGAACGCAGAACAAAGCACCCCUUCUGGAAUUCUAACUUGACUUAUGUCCAACAGUGUUAACUUUUUGUUUAUUGUCCCUUUUCUAAAUUGGUCUCAAAGUAUUGAUUCUUAACCAUCUUUUUAGAAAAUAAUUAGAUAAUUUCAUGUUUUACACAAGAUUACACAUAGAGGGUGUUGAAUCCUUAAUGAUGCUACAACAGCAUAAUAUUCUUCCUCAUGGAAUAAGGAUUAAUUGAUGAUCAUAAACAAGUUUCAAACUCGCAACUAUAUAUAGUCAUUGCCUUACAUUAAUAGAGGAAGUGAAGGUUAGGGUUUUGAGAGGAGGAACGUACGUGGUUGGAGAGAAGAAAGGAAAGCUAGGGUUUUGGGUUUGUGCAGCAGAAAGGCAAACCUAUACCACGUAGAACUAUGUGUAACCAUGGUGCAAACGUCCAUUAUCUAUAUACAAAAGGAGCACCCAAAAUGGUGAAGCAUUCAAAUACCAUAAAUUGUCCCUAAAGAAUUCAAAAAUUGCAAUUGUAUUAAAAAGAGUUAGCCAAAGACGAAUUUGAACCAUAUUAUUGUUAACCUAUUGUGAGGCUUAGCCUACUCUCCCACUCUCAUAACAUAGUGUAGAUAAUAUCGCUUGGUAAAAAAAAAAAUCCAACACAUUUUGAUUUUGGAUGAUUUAAACAUUAAAAAUUUAGGGAAAAAAAUAACAAAAAUAGAAAACCCCCAUUAGUGGGUGGUUUAUGAUUGACUUCCAAUUUAUUUUCCAAUAAUUUUUUAAUAAAAUAUAUAAAUAAAAAACUUAAAUUAAAUUGGAGUUCAUGCUGAAGCUUGGUUGGUAGAGUUUCAGAAGUGGCAGAAUGCACGGCCAGUGAAACAAAGUCGAAGGAAGCAGUCGUGGCAGAAACCAGAAUUAGGAUGGGUUAAAGGUAAUUUUGAUGGAGCGUGGGAGGAAAGAACGAAAAGAGGUGGUGGGUGUGAUUACAGGAACUGUAGUGGUGAUAUUUUGGCUGCAUAUUCCGGUCAGACUGUUGGGGUGUCAUCACCGUUGCACGCAGAGUUGUUGGCUGCGCAAAGGGCAGUGAUGCUUGUGAAAGACCAUAUUGCUGGAGAUGGGGGGUGCAUAUUGAGGGAUACUCUAUCAUGGCCAUGGCAGCCAUGCAAAAGAAGGAGGAAGAUUUCUCUCCGUUGGGACCAAUUAUUAAUGAUAUAGGGGAUUGCUUACAAAGGUUAUCUAAUUCACGAUUUAAGGCAGUGUUUAAAAUAGCAAUAUAUGUUGAAAUAGCCCAAAAUUUAGCAUAACUCAUGUUCAAACCAACACAGCCCAAAACAACCAAAACACACUAGUACAUAACAGCAUAUUUACCACAUCAAUUCCAUCACGGGCAUCAACAGCUCGUGGUAGAAACUAUUCAAUUACCACGGUUACAUGUAGAUCAUGGUAGAUAACAUUAAUUCACCACGGUCAAAUUCUGGCCCGUUAUUAAAAGUAAAUAAUUUACAACGAUUUUUAAUCCCGUAAUGAAAUAUCAAAACCACCACGCGAUAUACUCGUUAUGGUUACUUCAAACAACCACACAGCCUUUUGAAAAUUCACCACGGCAUCGGCCUGUGGUGGAUUUUGUUUUUUUUUUAUUUUUAAUAUUUUGGAGGAUAGUAUUCCUAUACUAAUAAAACCCAAACCAGCUUGCACUGUUUACGGAGAAUGCGCGGACGAAAAUGCCCUCCGUUUGGUUUUCCAUAUCAGGCGCUUUUUCUCUUUGUUGCACAGUAACAACAGAAUUCUCAGCUGCUCUGCAACGGGUUGGCGAUUUCGAUCAUGCGUCCUACACUCCGCAUCGAUCUCUUCCAUCGCUGCUUCGUGAUCCUUCCGAUCCCUGCUUCCUUAUCUUUUCGAUCUCUGCUUUACGAUCUUCUCGCCCCCUCAUCCUGUACCCAAUUUCUUUAGCCUUCAAGAGGUAAUUAAAUCUCACUUCUUCUCAACUACCCAGAAGCCAAAUAUUUGAUUUUUCGCUGUGGUUUGUUACUUUAUCGAAUUUAGUUGUUGAUAUUUCGUAUUUUUUUAUGGUCCAUUUGUGUUCUAUUGGGGUUGUAUUUUGCUAGAAUUUCAUAAAAUUUGAUUUGGUGCAUAACUGAUUGGCUUAAAAUUGUUGUGAGAUUGAAUAUUUCUUGAAUUUGAUCAUUAGAUUUCCCUUUUUUAUUUUGGAAAUUGACGUGCUUUUCCAAUUCAUCGCCAAAACAAACCCGUGCUUCCUCCCUCUUCGUCUUCUCCUCUCGCAAUCUGCGCCCUUAGUUCUCAAUUGGAUUCACAGUAAACACCCAGAAAUUUAGAGGUACGAAAUUUCAAUUUUUUUUUUGUGUUUUUUAUUUAUUUUCAGUGUUAAUUUCUGAUUAAAUUAUUAUUUUAGGAUUACUUUUGAGAAGCAUUGUUGGAAACGAUCAUUGUCAACUAUCUGAUUGCAAUGGACAAAGAUUGGCUAACAUUUUCGAGGUAUAUUAUCUGCCUCAAUGAAUUUCAUUUUUGACAUUGAUAACUAGGGUCUGUUUAAAGUGAUUAAGAUUUAUUUAUAAUACAGACCAUCAACAGAAUACAGAGAGGGUGCACAAAAGUUUGUACAAGUAGCUAAAGAAUAUGGAGGAAAUCGAGAUAAGAUCAUUUGCCCAUGUAUAAUAUGUCAAAACCAAUGUUUUCAACUACCUGCGAUUGUGUAUGAACACUUGGUUAUAAAUGGAUAAAAAGUACACCUGUCACAGCCCGACCCGAGAAAUAAUUAUCAUGGUUGUGAAAAGAUGAAUUUACCCUUGAGCGUCGGGUGUGUGUUUGUAUUUUGGGUUAAGAAAUUGGGUCAAUUAGUUUUAUCCCUAACUAAUUGGACCCAAUUAGAGCUAAAAGAUUAAAGAGUUUUGAUUGGUGUACAUUUUGGAACCACACACACAUCCAUAUCCUUUCUCUCUCUUCUCUCACGUACUCUCUCUCGGACUCACUCUCUUUUCCCUCUCAUCCGUACGGACAACCUUGAACCAAGCCAAAUCUUCACAGAUCGAGGAAGAAACUGGUACCAUUGUGUUCGUGAAGACCAUACGAGUGCAAAGGUACCCAUUUCAGGUAAGAACUCGUUCGAUAUCACGUUGAAAACCCAAGCUCCGAGUUAAGCACUAUUCAUGAACUUUCGAAUGGUUAUGUUUUAGGACAAUCCAAGCUCACAGCGAGCUCUAGGAGGUUCUCACGAAGCUCGGAGUGCUUUGUUGGCUCGGUUUUGACAUCGGGAUCACGAGGUUCGAAGGUGGCCGGUUUUGGUAGGAUUCUCCCGACGCGUUUUUAAGGGAUUUGAAGCUCCCAAGAGGUAUAAUCUUCUUCCUCUCGUGAUUUAUGACAUUUUGGUGAAAAUUUUGUAAAAAAUGGUGCAAAAACGAGCGAGAAAGAGGCAGUUGCAGGUCUGCCCAGAAUCCGGCGUUGGCGACACUGUUCCGGCGUCUGGAGGUUGAAGGUGAUGUGCAUGAGGCCGUGCCUUCCCCGACGCAUGAGCCGUAGAAAAAUUAUUUUAAAAAUUUCACGAUGUUUGUGAGGUUGUGUAGGUCAUUGUGGUAUAUUCAUAUACCCAUUUUGAGCUAUGUAUGAGAAGUUAUUAGCUAGUUUUGCCUAUGUGCUUUAAAAUAACGUUUUUAUAGUUAAUUCGCAUAUAGGUGAGACUUAUCCCGAGGACGAGCGUAUCCACGGGCAACUCGGGGGUUACGACUCGUCGACAUACCAGUGAGUGGGCUUUUGUUUCAGUAUAUAUUUAUAUACUUGAUAUAUUUCCCAGAAAUGCAAUUUUUAAGGAAAGUAUGCUUUAAAAUAAUAUGCCAAAUGCUUUUAUAUUCUGAAUAUGCAUUUCAUGGUUGCAUUUAUAUAUAAAUGUGGUGCUAUGGAGGCACAUGUAAGUUCAGGUAAGUUAUGUUUGAUUAUAUGAAUCAUCGAUGAUGUGAUAUAUGAUUGAAUAAUGUUGAGCUCAUAAAACUGCACCUAGAGUGAUUGUGAUUUAGCCAGAGAUAUGAAGUACAUGCCUGUUUAUUUAUGUCACCUCCAGCACUAUAUGCUCAUAUUAGAUCCAACUUAAGUGCACAGUCUUGUCGUACAGACCUUAUUUAUGGUUCUGACUCGUAGGUGACUAGCGAUUUAUCGCCCGACUUUUAUAAGAGAAUAGAAUUGAGCAUAAUUAUAUUACACCCAAUCUUGUCGUACAGACUUUUUUAGUGGUUCCGACUUAUGUGCAGUAUAUUGCCGUAUAGGUCAUUAUAGUGACUCCGGCUAGAUUGACUUUUGAGCUAUGAAUUCAGCCGUACAGACUACCACAGGGGUUCCGGCUAACAUAUCAUAUUUCUAUGAAAUCAUUCUUACCUAGAUUGUUUACUUUGUUAUAUUUUGGCAUGGCAUACAUAUGAAUAUGAUUAUGUGAAGCAUGAAUUGAAUUGUUAUGAUUUCAGAUAUAUAUAUAUGCAUAUGCUUAUAUUCUGAUUCUGGGAAAAAUUAUACAUGUUUUACAGCGAGGGGUUAGAUAUGUUGAUAAAGAAAAUGAUUUUGUAAAACAUUUGUUUUUGCCCAUUCACAUUUUCUGUUUUGCGCCCCUCCAGGUUUUAAGUAAGUUUGCUAUUGGUGGCUUGAGGAUGUCGGUGGUUAUGACCUAUCUAAAUAAUAGUAGGACAUUUCUGGUACUGUAUUAUUAGUACUUAUCCUAUUGGACUGCACCUAGACUUAAUAUGCUCUGCGUAAGAGUGUUUACUGUUGUAACUAACUCCUAUCACUCCCUGUUUAGUAGUGCACUUUAGUAAUGUGGUUUUUAAUUAUUCGUAUAAUUCUUACCUUUAUUGCUUCCGCACUGUGCACAUGGCUACGUCACUUUCACGUGACGGCCAGCAUGCCUUGAUUUCGGUCGGGGUGUGUCAGUUUGGUAUCAGAGCCUAGGUUUAGUAGUCCUAUAUAAUUCUUGAAUAUUCUAAUCCUUUUGAUAUCUUAUGUGAGAUGCCGCCUCGUAGAGAGGCCCGUCAAUCAGCUAAAUCUAGUUUCCCUGAUAUUGCUCAAUUAGGGGAAGCUAUAGUUUCCGCCAUUCAGACAACAUUCUGUACUCCCAGAUGACACCUCUUGAGACAAUUCAUAAUCUGAAGUUGACUCACUUCAUUGGAAAUGAAGGUCAUGAGGGGGCAGAAAAAAUGGCUGAAUCAUGUGGAGAAGACUUUUCAGGUGAUGCAGAGUCAGGGGGAUCUUUCUUCUGAUAGGUGGGUCGAGACAACUACCUGGUUUUUGGGAGAACAACCUGCAUCCUGGUGGAGAUAGGAGUCUUACCAAUUGACCCCAGAAGAGAUUGUGGACUAGGGAGUGUUUAAGGAGCUGUUUCGGAAAAUGAUCAUUCCUCAUAUCUUAAGAAACAAGAGUUUACUCAUCUGAGGCAAAGAAAGAUGUCAACUAAUGAGUAUUACAGGAUGUUUACUGAUCUGUCGAGAUAUGAUCCGGAGGUUGCUGCUAAUCCGGUAGAGAUGCUUCGCCGUUUUAGCUUGGGUACUAAUAAGAAAUGGCGUUCCAUAGCGACAUCGACUCACUGUGUUUCUUACCAGGAGUUUUAUGAGAUUCUAUUGAGGAUUGAGGCCUCAGAGAACCUGCCUAGUGAAAGUGAGGAUGAGGAGGGAAAGAAUGGGGGCUAGAGACGAGAUGACAAAGGAAAAGGGCAAGCAUUUCAGGGACCCCGCAAGACCCAGAACUUUAAGAGGAGUGGUGGCAGUUCCAGCUCUUCCACUGAAUGAGUGAGUACUAAUAUGCAGAGGAUAUGUGGUAGAUUUACUGGAGGCCUUAGGUUCUAGAGGCAGAGAGAUUUUGGUGGUUCAGGUGGAUCUGGUGCUCCCUUAUGCAGCAUGUGUAAUAAUCGGUAUUUUGGGGAGUGUAGGAGAGGCAUCAAUGGUUGUUUUACUUGUGGAUAGAUGGGUCAUAGGGCUGCCUAAUGCCCUCAGAAUCAGCAGAGACCCCAACAACCUUCUUUCCUACCACCUGUACCGACCCAGCAAGCUUCAGGAUAUAGUGGUUAUUCUCAGACUGGACGAGGAGAUGUCUACCACUAUCAGGGCGACGCCGCUCCCUACACCUCAGGACAGCAGUAGUACUCUCAGGAUCCUCAGUAUUAGAGUGGGUAUCCUCAGUAUCAGGAAGGAUCUAUGUCUUAUCAGCAACAUUCAGUCGGAGGAUCUUAGUGGUAUCAAGGGGGAUAGCCCCAGCAGGGAGAGAUUGCUGCUAGUAGUGGAUGAUCUUCGAGGCAGUCGGGUCAGCAGAGGCAGAGACGUGGUAUUCAUGCCAACACAGGUCGCAGUGGACGACAGCAGAACCAGGCACGUAUCCAUAACAUGUCACUGUAAGAUGCCCAGAAUAAUCCAAAUUUAAUUAUGGGUACAUUGAAUAAUGUUGGUCAUUUUGCUAGAGUAUUGAUUGAUUGUGGUGCUACACAUUAUGUUAUUUCUCAUACAUUUGCUCAAGUGACACAACCUCAUCCUACACUUCUAGGAUAUAAUUUAGAAUUUUCUAUGCCUAGAGGAGAUAGAUGUUUUGUGGAUCAGGUAUAUCCAGGAUGUCCAGUGAUAGUAGAGGAUAUUAUUAUGCCGACUAAUCUUAUGCCAUUGGAUAUUAUGGAUUUUGAUGUGAUUUUGGGCACUGAUUGGCUGUACUAUAAUCGUACCAAGAUAGAUUGUUAUGGAAAAACAGUCACAUUUUAUUGUCCUGGAUUACCUGAAGUUACAUUUGUAGGAGAACCUAGUAGGGUGAGGCAUGGUAUUAUUUCAGCCAUGAAAGCAAAGAGAUUGUGUCGAAAGGUUGUCAGGGAUAUUUGGCUCAUGUGGUGUUGAAUGAUGAUGCUCCUAGUAGUUUGGAGGAUGUUCGGGUGGUCAUAUAUUUUCCGGAUGUAUUCCCUGAGGAUUUGCCUAGAUUGUCGCUAGAUAGAGAAGUGGAGUUUGUUAUUGAUCUGCUUCCAGGUACGAAUCUCAUAUCCUUAACUCCUUAUAGAAUGGCUCAUGUUGAAUUAAGGGAAUUGAAAGUCCAGUUGCAAGAGUUAGUGGAUAAAUGUUUUAUUCAGCCGAGUACUUCACCUUGGGGAGCUCCAGUUUUAUUUGUGAGGAAGAAAAAUGGAACCUUGAGGCUGUGCAUUGAUUACAGGCAAUUGAAUCGGGUAACCAUUAAAAACCGUUAUCCAUUGCCUUGUAUAGAUGAUUUAUUUGAUCAACUUAGAGGUGCCUGUGUAUUUUCUAAGAUUGACUUGAGGUCGGGAUACUAUCAGUUGAAGAUUAAAAAUGAAGAUGUCCUUAAAACCGCAUUCAGGACUCGAUAUGGUCAUUAUGAGUUUCUUGUAAUGCCAUUCGGGUUAACUAAUGCACCAGCAGCUUUUAUGGAUUUGAUGAAUCGAGUAUUCCAGCCAUAUUUAGACAGGUUUGUUAUUGUUUUCAUUGACGACAUUCUGGUAUACUCUAAGUCUAAGGCUAAGCAUGCUAGACAUAUGAAGUUGGUGUUGAGCAGUUUGAGGGAACACCAACUAUAUGCUAAGUUUAGCAAAUGUGAAUUAUGGUUGAAUCAAGUGGCAUUUUUGGGACAUGUCAUUUCUGCUCAAGGCAUUCAAGUGGAUUCUCAGAAAGUAGCAGCUGUGGAGAAUUGGGAGUAACCUCGAACCGUCACCGAGGUACGGAGUUUUCUUUUCAUAGCAGGCUACAAUAGACGGUUCGUUAAGGAUUUUUCAGUGAUUGCUUUGCCAUUAACGAGGUUGACUCGAAAAGAUGUUAAGUUUGAGUAGGAUAAUAAAUGUGAGCAAAGUUUCCAACUGUUGAAGUACUAUCUCACUCAUGCACUUCCAAAUGAUAGCGGUAAUUAUGAGAUUUAUAGUGAUGCUUCUCUGAAUGGUUUGGGUUAUGUAUUAAUGCAACACGGUAGGGUGAUUGCUUACGCUUCGAGAUAGUUGAAACCUCAUGAGAAGAAUUACCCUACACAUGAUUUGGAAUUAACAGCUAUCAUCUUUACCUUGAAGAUUUGGAGACAUUAUCUUUAUGGUGAGACAUGUAAGAUCUUCACAGAUCAUAAGAGUCUUCAGUAUUUGUUUACUUAGAGAGACCUUAAUCUUCGACAGCGGAGGUGGAUUGAGUUACUUAGUGACUAUGAUUGCACGAUUGAGUAUCAUCUUGGUUGUGCAAAUGCAGUGGCGGAUGCACUUAGUAGAAAGACUCCAGUCAGACUUAAUGCCAUCUAUGAUUGUCAGGUUCCUCUCCUAGCAGAUUUGAGGUCCACUGGAGUGGAGUUAGGAGUGGAAGAUCGAGAAGAAGCCUUGCUUGCUAAUUUUCAGGUUAGGCCAAUUUUAAUUGAUCAUGUGCUUGAGGCUCAGAUGAAUGAUGAAGAGACCCAGGAAAUAAUUCAAACAAGAAAUCAAGGAAAAAAGAAAGAUUUUGGGAUUCGAGAAUCUGAUUGUAUGCUUAUGCAGGAAAACAUAAUGUAUGUGCCAAAUAAUGCGGAGUUAAAGAAAGAAAUUUUAGAUGAAACACAUAUUUCGGCAUAUGCGAUGCAUCCAGGAGGCACUAAAAUGUAUCAUACCAUUAGACCAUUUUAUUAUUGGCCAAGUAUGUAAAGGGAAAUUGCCGAAUAUAUGAGUAGGUGUGCCAUUUGCCAACAGGUUAAAGCUGAAAGAAAGAAGUCGUUUAGGUUGAUGCAGCCACUUCCCGUUCCACAGUGGAAAUGGGAAAAUAUUACUAUGGAUUUUGUGUACAAGCUUCCUUGUACACAGAAUGGUUAUGACGGCAUUUGGGUGGUAGUUGAUCGGCUUACGAAGUCAGUACAUUUUAUUCCAGUGAGGGAGAAGUAUUCGUUACGCCGAUUAGCUAAGUUAUUUAUAUCACAGAUUGUGAAGUAUCACGGUGUGCCAGUUAAUAUUAUUUCGGAUCGAGAUCCCAGAUUUACUUCCAAGUUUUGGAUAGCAUUCCAGGAAGCUCUUGGUACGAGAUUGCUUUAUAGUACGGCAUAUCACCCUCAGACAGAUGGACAAUCUGAGAGAACUAUUCAGACAUUAGAAGAUAUGUUGAGAUCUUCAGUGCUGCAGUUUGGAGAUAGUUGGCAUGAUUGUUUGGAUUUGAUGGAGUUCACCUACAAUAACAGUUAUCAUUCAAGCAUUGGUAUGACACCAUUUGAGGCACUUUAUGGGAAAUCUUGUCGUACGCCUCUAUGUUGGUCAGAGGUUGGUGAAAGAGUUUUAGUGGGCCUUGAGAUUGCAGAUGUGACUACUCAAAAUGUUCAGGUAAUUAAGUCUAACCUAAAAGCGGCCUAAGAUCGACAAAAGAGCUUAGCAGACAAGCAUGCUACUGAUCGGAAGUAUAAUGAAGGUGAUUGGGUAUUUCUGAAGCUAUCACCUUGGAAAUGUGUUAUAUGAUUUGGAAAGAAAGGAAAGUUGAGUCCUAGGUACAUUGGACUAUAUAUGAUCACCGAGCGAGUUGGUGAGGUUGCUUAUAGGCUUGAGUUGCCUCAAGAGUUGUCAAAGGUGCACGAUGUAUUUCAUGUUUCGAUGCUUCGACAUUAUGUUUCAGAUCCUUCACAUGUGAUUCCUCCUCAACCUUUGGAAAUUAAUCCGGAUUUGACUUAUGAUGAGGAACCAGUGACUCUGUUGGAUUGGAAGGAUAAGGAACUGAGGAACAAGACCGUACGCUUGGUGAAAGUUUUAUGGAGAAAUCAUUCAGUGGAAGAAGCUACUUGGGAGAUAGAGGAUCGGAUGAGAGAGAUGUACCCACGCUUGUUUUAUGAUUACUAGUGGAUGUAUUGGUUAUAUGUCAUUUCGAGGAUGAAAUUUUAUAAGGUGGGGAGAUUGUCAUAGCCCGUCCCGAGAAAUAAUUAUCGUGGUUGUGAAAAGACGAAUUUACCCUUGAGCGUCGGGUGUGUGUUUGUAUUUUGGGUUAAGAAAUUGGGUCAAUUAGUUUUAUCCCUAACUAAUUGAACCCAAUUAGAGCUAAAAGAUUAAAGAGUUUUGAUUGAUGUACAUUUUGGAACCACACACACACACAUCUAUAUCUUUUUUCUCUCUUUUUUCCUGUACUCUCUCUCGGACUCACUCUCUUCCCUCUCCUCCGUACGGACAACCUUGAACCAAGCCAAAUCUUCACAGAUCGAGGAAGAAAAUGGUACCAUUGUGUUCAUGAGGACUAUACGAAUGCAAAUGUACCUAUUUCAGGUAAGAACUCGUUCGAUAUCACGUUGAAAACCCAAGCUCCGAGUUAAGCACUAUUCAUGAACUUUUGAAUGGUUAUGUUUUAGGACAAUCCAAGCUCACAGCGAGCUCUAGGAGGUUCUCACGAAGCUCGGAGUGCUUUGUUGGCUUGGAUUUGACAUCAGGAUCACGAGGUUCCAAAGUGGCUGGUUUUGGUAGGAUUCUCCCGAUGAGUUUUCGAGGGAUUUGAAGCUCCCAAGAGGUAUAAUCUUCUUCCUCUCAUGAUUUAUGACAUUUGGUGAAAAUUUUGUAAAAAAUGGUGCAAAAACGAGCGAGAAAGAGGUAGUUGCAGGUUUGCCCAGAAUCCGGCGCCGGCGACAUUGUUCCGGCGUCUGGAGGUUGAAGGUGAUACGCGUGAGGCCGUGCCCUCCCCGGCGCGUGAGCUUCAGAAAAAUUAUUUUAAAAAUUUCACGAUGUUCGUGAGAUUGUGUAGGUCACUGUGGUAUAUUCAUAUACCCAUUUUGAGUUAUGGAUGAGAAGUUAUUAGCUAGUUUUGCCUAUGUGCUUUAAAAUAACGUUUUUAUAGUUAAUUCGCAUAUAGGUGAGAUUUAUCCUGAGGACAAGCGUAUCCACGGGAGACUCGGGGGUUACGACCUGUCGACAUACCAGUGAGUGGGCUUUGAAAUAAUAUGCCAAAUGCUUUUAUAUUCUGAAUAUGCAUUUCAUGGUUGCACAUAUAUAUAAAUGUGGUGCUGUGGAGGCACAGGUAAGUUCAGGUAAGUUAUGUUUGAUUAUAUGAAUCAUCGAUGAUGUGAUAUAUGAUUGAAUAAUGUUGAGCUCAGAAAACAGCACCUAGGGUGAUUGUGAUUUAGCCAGAGAUAUGAAGUAUAGGCCUGUUUAUUUAUGUCACCUUCCGCACUAUAUGCUCAUAUUGGAUCCAACUUAAAUGCACAGUCUUAUCGUAUAGACCUUAUUUAUGGUUCUGACUCGUAGGUGACUAGCAAUUUAUCGCCCAGUUAUUAUGAGAGAAUAGAAUUGAGUAUAAUUAUAUUACACCCAAUCUUGUCGUAUAGACCUUUUUAGUGGUUCCAACUUAUGUGCAGUAUAUUGCUGUAUAGGUCAUUGUAGUGACUCCGACUAGAUUGACUUUUGAGCUAUGAAUUCAGCCGUACAGACUAUCACAAGGGUUCCGGCUAACAUAUCAUAUUUCUAUGAAAUCAUUCUUACUUGGAUUGUUUACUUUGUUAUAUUUUGGCACGGCAUACAUAUGAAUAUGAUUAUGUGAAGCAUGAAUUGAAUUGUUAUGAUUUCAGAUAUAUAUAUAUAUAUAUAUACACACACAUAUGCUUAUAUUCUGAUUCUGGGAAAAAUUAUACAUGUUUUACAGCGAUGGGUUAGAUAUAUUGAUACAGCGAUGGGUUAGAUAUAUUGAUAAAGAAAAUGAUUUUGUAAAACAUUUGUUUUUGCCCACUCACGUUUUCUAUUUUGCGCCCCUCCAGAUUUUAAAUAAGCUUGCUGUUGGUGGCUUGAGGACGUAGGUGGUUCUGACCUAUCUAAAUAAUAGUAGGACAUUCCUGGUACUGUAUUAUUAAUACUUAUCCAACUGGACUGCACCUAGACUUAAUAUGCUCUGCUUAGGAGUGUUUACUGUUGUAACUAACUCCUAUCACUCCCUGUUUAGUAGUGCACUCUAGUAAUGUGGUUUUUAAUUAUUCGUAUAAUUAUUACCUUUAUUGCUUCCAUACUGUGCACAUGGCUACGUCACUCUCACGUGAUAGUCAGCAUGCCUUGAUCUUGGUCGGGGUGUGUCAACACCACCAUAGAUUCCACCGGAUCUAAGGCAGUGUUUAAAAUAGCAAUAUAGGUUGAAAUAGUGACAUGCAAAUUUUUAGAAUUAUCGAUGGAUAUAUCGAUAUCUGUUGCCUUUAACGAAAAUUCUGAAAAUCUGCAAUGGGUAAAUUCGUUCAGAUUUAGACAAAAUUAGAGAAAAAUUUCUCAAAAAAAAAUUAAAAGUUUAGAAUCUGCAAUAGGUUCAAGCAAAACUUUGUGUAUUGAAUCGGUAAAUAUCAUCGAUAUUCAUUGAUCUUUUUGUUUCGCCGAUAUAGGUUGAAAUUUCAUCUCCUCUUUCCAUAUCGAUCUUUGACUUUCAGAUAUUUCAACAAAAAUAGCGACAAUUUUGUUGAUAUUUUAAACACUGGACCUAGGCAAGAAGAACUUGUUGAAUAAUGAUGGAUAAGAAGAAGAUCAAUCUCCAAUGAUUCAGCUACGCAUAAUAGCGGAUAAGAGUCACUAAUAAAAGAACAAUUAAUUACAUGGCACAAGUACACCAUUGUGGCGUCCCAUGCUAAUGAAAUAAAGACAUGUGUAAGUUGUUAACUUUUGUCCAAUAUGUGUUUCAUUUUGCAUGAGAUGUUAUGUGACAAUGUACCCAUGUCAUAUAAGUGCGUCCUCCGCUAAUAGCAACUAAGACUCAUCAUCAAGCAGGGUUGGCCAAAAUCACAAAGGCAAAUCAUAAUGAAGUCCUUCAACUUUGAGGUGGAAAUUUAGAGAAAGCAUUUUUGGAGAAUGAUGAAAAUGAGGGAUGAGCAAGGAGGUGAUUUUUUUAUUUUUUUUUUGUCAGAACAAAAAAUAAGUGAUUGUGAAUUGAAAACUGGCAAAGACUCAAAUUAAAUCCCACAAGAAACUAGUUAUUAUUACGAAAAAUAUGAACAACAACAAUGAGGGGUUUUCUCCUCCCCUCUUCCCCUAGAGUUUUCCUUCUCUUUUUUACUUUAAUUUUAUUUUUCUAACAUUAAUAAAGCAACAGACAAAAAUAAAGAAAGUGCUUGUUCAAAUAAAAUAAUAAUAAAAAAACAAGAAAGUGAGUACACAAAAUGAGAAAUUGGGAAUCACUCCCCUAGUGAUAUUUGAGAGCUGUUCCCAAAAGAAAGACCAACAAUUCUACUUAAUAUGUGCUUUGUACUUUUCCAUAUAAUAUGCUUAUUCAAAAUUUCAAAAGAAAAACUAAUGAAAAUAGUUUGAAAAUUUUGAAUUUUAAUGAUAAGGAUAAAAUAAAAGGUAAAAUAAAAGGAAAACUAAUGAAAAGGGAUUGAAAACUUUGAGUUUUAACGAUAAGGACAAAAUAAAGGGUAAAAUGAAUAGUACCAUGAUUGACUUUUUAGUGUAAAAAUAUGGUUUUUCGUUAAAAUGAACAGUACCGAGAGCUUUUCAUUAAAGUUCCCUAAAACAAAUAGUAUCAGGAUUGACAUUUUAAUGAAAAAUAUUAUUUUUUGUUAAAAUAAACAGUACCAAAAGUUUUUUGUUAAAAUUCCAAAUUUCAAAUUAAUAAUGUCACAUUUACCAUUUCUUUAUCUGCAGAGUACAGACUUAUACAUUACUGGAUAUGUGUCCAGUUCUAUAUGCAUAAGUGCUUUUGUAAUAAAGCAAAAGUUUGCCCAAGGCAAAGCAUAUAGCACUCAGAAAAAGCAAAGCCACUGUAGUACGUCUUCAGCUAUAUAUUCAUUGAAAAACCCUAUUCUCACUCCUCUCUCUCUCUCUUCCCUCCACAACAUGAAAAUCUUCCUCUUGUUUUUCUUAUUAUUCUCGCUUUUCCAGGUAAGAAAACUAUUGCAAACAACAAAAUUCAUAUUUCACUUACAGUUUAUAAUGCAUGUUCAUGCAAAUUUAUAUACACACACAUACAUAUAUCUUCCAAACCCUAAUUAACUUCAUUUUUGCAUGUGCAUGCAGGUCUCAGUAGCGAGCACAAGCAAUGAAACUACAAACAACCCUUUCACUCCCAAAGCCUCACUCAACCGCUAUUGGGACAUCCACAUUUCCAACAACCUCCCAAAACCUGCCUUCCUCUUCGCCAAAGCCUCCCAACUCGACCCAGUCAACUCAACGAUUCUCACCAAAGUCGCCUCUCAAAACUCACUCUCCUCCCACUUCACCUCCUUCUGCUCCCUAGCCAACCUCUGCUGCUCCUUCGACUCCUCCGCCGAAACUCACCAACAAGACAUCGCCACCCGCCACCCCAAAAUAGCAAACUUCGCCGUCUACGCCGACAAGAACUUCGCCAACUACGGCUCCUCCCAACUCGGUGGAGUCGACUCGUUCAAGAACUACUCGGAAGAGUUGAACUCGCCCCGCGACUCGUUCAAGAAGUACAGCAAGGGCUCCCACUCGCACUUGGAGAAGUUCACGUCCUACGCCCAGGAUGCCAACGUCGCAAACGCCAACUUCACAAGUUACGGCGCCGACUCGGGCGGCGGUUCGGGCGAGUUCACCAGCUACGACGACCGAGUCAACGUCCAUAGCCUCGGAUUCACAUCCUACGUCUCGAACGCCAACGACCACCGUCUCUCCUUCACCGCGUACGGCCACGACACCAACUCGGGCUCUGAAUCUUUCGCCAGAUACGGAAAAUCAGGCAAUUCUAACCCGAACCAGUUCACCAGGUACGCUGAAGGUUCGAACAUAAUAGGGUCGGGUUUCACGGGUUACGGAGAGUCCGGGAACGGCCAAAACGAUUCGUUUACAGGGUAUGGGCAAUCCAGUAAUAACCCACAUAACAAUUUCAAGAGCUACGGCGCCGGCGGGAAUGCCGGGCUCAAUGGGUUCUCCAAUUACCGGAGCUGGGCAACUGUCGGCGACGAUAUGUUUCAGUCGUACGCGAGAAAUUCGAAUUCCGGGAAAGUGAGAUUCUCGAAUUACGGGAAAUCGUUCAACCCUGGAAACGACUCGUUCAAAGAGUACGGAGCCGGGUCGAAGGGUCGGACCACCGUCGGGUUCAAAACGUACGGUUUGGGUCGGAGUUUCAAAGAGUAUGCCAAAAAUGGCGUCACUUUUGCAGAGUAUAACGAUUUGAGCAGCGUAGGAACCCAUUCGACUGAAAAGGAGUCUAGUGGCAGUGCUGUAAAUAGGUGGGUUGAGCCCGGCAAGUUCUUCAGAGAAUCCAUGUUGAGGCAGGGGAAUGUAAUGGUGAUGCCGGAUAUUAGGGACCGAAUGCCGGAAAGGUCGUUUUUACCGCGGGGGAUUUUGUCGAAAUUACCUUUUUCGACGUUGAGGAUGUCGGAGAUUAAGGAGAUAUUUCACGCACCGGAGAACUCUGCCAUGGAGCGCGUGCUGACGAACGCGCUGGCCGAAUGUGAGAGGGAUCCGAGCCCGGGCGAAACCAAGCGGUGCGUGGCGUCGGUCGAGGACAUGAUCGAUUUUGCAGUCUUGGUCCUCGACCGUAAUGUGGUGGUCCGGACCACGGAAAAUGUGAGCGGGUCAAAGCGGAAGGUGAUGAUCGGAGCGGUCAGCGGAAUCAACGGCGGAAAUAUAACCAAAUCGGUUUCGUGUCAUCAAAGUUUGUAUCCCUACUUACUGUAUUACUGCCACUCGGUGCCUAGGGUUAGGGUUUAUGAGGCUGAUAUCCUUGAUGUGGAGAGUAAGAGCAAGAUCAACCACGGUGUUGCCAUUUGUCACAUUGACACGUCAUCGUGGAGUCCCGGACAUGGUGCAUUCGUGGCACUGGGGUCCAGUCCGGGAAAAAUUGAAGUCUGCCACUGGAUAUUCGAGAACGACAUGACAUGGACAAUUGCGGAUUAAUUAAGGACUGAUGACACUGUUUUGUCUUCCAUGUUACACUGAGAUUUAUUGUGGUAAUUCAGAAGCUUUUUGGUUCGGUGAUUUCAUUGUUUUAUAUAUAUGGUUAAAGUUUGGGAGUUUGUUCGUUCAAUGUCGGCUUUUAUUUUGCUUUUAAUUUUUAACAGACAAAUGCUUUGAGUUCACACGAAUCAUUAAUCCAGUUAGCUAGCUAAGUUUGGCUCUUAAAUCUUAAUACUUAAUUGAGUUUGAAUUCAUGCUUUCAUCCAAACCGGGCAAUCAUAGAUAGAUAUUGAUUUUUGUCCAUUGAUUUUCUUUAAAUCAUUUGAACAGUUGAAAAUUGAGAGUGUGUGGUAGGUAAAAUUGAAUGUGUGUAUUACGUAUAAGAGCAUAAGGCAAAACACCUCCAAUGCAUAUGGGACUUAAAACUCAUGUUUGGGUUUUGAGGCGAAGUGAGACCCAAAUUUGGGUCUUUGCAUUGGAGGAGAAAAUGCUGGACUCAAAACUUAUAUUUGGUUUUAACAAUUUGGUUAUGUGCAUCGGAGGUUAUUAGACUCAAAACUCAAAUCUUAAUUUUUUUGGUUGAAUAACAUUUUUCCUAGUUGGCAUGAGCGUCAACUUGAACUCAAAUCUCAUUUAAAAUGCAAAUUUGGGUCUCAAAUUUUAAAGUUCAUGUACGUACAUUGGAGAUGUUUUGCUUUGUAUUUAUACUCAAAUCUCAUAACAUAUCAUAUUGCCUAAUUAUUUUAUAUGCAUGCUGAGCUAGGGCACCUUGACAUUACAUAAUAAAAUGUAAUAUAAACAAGCCAUGCACAAACACAAAGGAAAAAGAGAGUUGCAACAAGAAAAAGGAGCGAAAAGGGGGUGAGAUAAAUAAAGGAGGUAGACAUAUAUUUAUAAAGAAGAGAUUGAGAUCCUAAAUCAAAAGAUAUAUAGAAGAAUAAAGAUCAAUAUGAUCUGAAGGAAGGAAGGAACAAAAUCUUUGCUGGUAUAUAUGUGCCACAUUCUACGUACCAUCUAGAGAAACUUUUUAAGUGCGUCAAGAACAUAGCAUACUAAAUAUAAUAAUAUAAUUAGUUGGAGUACUUAGGCCAUCUCUAACCGAAGGUUCAAAGGGCUGAAAAUAGCCUAAAAACCGUUUCUAACCGAGGGUCAAGCCAAAGGGCUUGUGGGCCCCACUGGACAAAAAAGGCCCAAAGGGCCAAUCGACCGACCCAAAGCAGCCAGCCAGCAUGCCCUGGGCCGGGCUCUCAUUCAAACCUCAACGGCUAGCUGACAUCCGUUACCGUUCGUUUUUUAUUUUAUUUUUUUUGGGGGCCAAAAUAUUUUUAAAAAUUUCUAAAAAAAAUUUCAUUUUUUCCUAUAAUAUUUCCUUCAAUUUUUCCUACACCAUUCACCACAAAAUUUUCACCAUUCCUACACCAUUUCAAUUCUCAUAUUUUCUUGCCUCUUCCAAUAAUAUUUCCUUCAAUUUUUUCAAUAAUUUUCAAAUUGCCUCAUUUGCAAUGAAAGGUAGGGCUUGGACCCGAAAAGAAGAUGAAGCUUUUUGCAGGGCUUAUAGAUGAGUGUCGGAAGAUAGUGUGAGGGGGAGUUCUCAAAUAAGUAAAGGUGUUUGGACUCGUGUGUCCAAAAACUACCUAGAGUUCUACGAAUGCACCACUCCGCCGAAUACCUGAAACCACGAGAGUUGUUCUUCAAGAUGGAAGAAACAUCUUCAGCCAAGUUUGAACAAAUGACAUCAAGCACUAUUAGCAGUUGCAAGUAGACAUGAAAGUAGCACUAAUUACUACGACGAAGUAAGUGUUUUCACAAUUUAUUUUAAAUAUUUAAAUAUAUUACAUUUAAUUUCAUAAAUUAAUUUCCUUGAUUUUUGUAAUUAUAUUUAAUUAUAUUACAUUUAAUUUCAUAAAUUAAUUUCCUUUAAAUUUUGUAAUUAUAUUUUCUAGGUACGCCAAGCAGAGGAAUUGUAUAUGGAGGGCAGCUCGAAACCCUUUCAGUUUCACGGUUGUUGGGAAAUUUGUAAAGGGUGGGUGUUAUUUGAAUAUCCGCCUCAACAUAGAGUAGGUGCUACGUCGGUGUUCGGAACUACAUCCUCAGCUGUAGAUAUGGAUGAAGAUGGAUCUCCUACCAUUCAACAAACAAGGGUAGAAAAUUCGUCUUUGGGUGAAGGUCCAUACCUAGGGCUAUGGGACGAAACAAGGCCUGAAAGUUGAAGGAAAAUGGCAAGGCAACAGAUGAUUACGCCGCUCAACAAGAAAUGGCGGCCUCAUUGCGAUUAAUGGCGAAGCAAAAUGCCUUUGCUAUAGAAGAAAGGAAUCAUAGGCAUGAAGAACGGGCCAAACAAAUACAAGAAGAGAUGGAUGAUAAGAAUAUGGAAAUGAACACUUCGAAUUACACUCCAAUGAGUAAGGCCUAUUUUGAUAGGAAAAAAAAAAGAAAUUAUGACUCGGCGGCAGUUGUUUACCUCCGACUAUACUCCUACAAUGGCGGAUGAUGAAUAUAAUGAUGAUUUUAGAUAUUAAAUUUAAGUUGUUGUAGUUUUUAAAUUGAAGUUGUUGUAGUUUCUUACCAUCUCCAAUUGAAGGGUCCAGAGGGCCAAAGGACCGAAAAUAACACGAAAACUGUCUCCAACCGAGGGCUAUGCCAAAGGGCUCGUGGGCCCUACUAGACAAAAAAAGGGUUAAAGGGCCAACCAGCUGGCCCAAAGUAGCUAGCCAGCCAGCCAGCCCUAGGUCGGGCCAGAAUUUUCAUUAUUCCUGUUGAUUAUAUUCGACAGCAUUGUACUUAUUCCUGUCGGUUAUAUCCAACAUGGUAGGCCAAAAUUUCAAAUACAACGGCUAGUUACCGUUAGAUUCAAUUUUUUUUUUGGGCCAAUUUUUCUUUUUUUUUUAUGAAUUUAAUUUGUAGUUUUUAAAUUUAAAUAAUAAAUUAUGUUUGGCCCUAUAACCCAUUGGCCCUCGGUUGGAGACAGUUUUUUGUUACAUUGCUAAAACGAGCCCUAUGGCCCUCAGUUUGAGAUGGAGGCAAAUAUGGUCAUGUACUAUUCAUUAAAAUAUUAAUAUCUUUGAGGGCCAGAGAGCUAAAACGAGCCAUCUGACCCUCCAAUAAAUUAAUAUUUUAAUGAACAAUGAAGUGCCAUAUUUCUUACCAUCUCCAACAAAGGGGCCAGACAGCCAUAGGCCAAACAUAGUCCUGUCAAAAAAAACUAUCUCCAGCCGAGGGCCAAACAUAUUUUAUUAUUUUAAUUGAACUACUAUGGUUACUUAAAUUAAAUUACCUCAAUAAUUUUAUGUUAUGGAUUGUUAAUAAUUUUCAUGUUGUUAACUAUUUUUAAAAAUGUUGUUAAAUUUUUUUUAUGUUGUUUAAUAUUAUUUAAUGUUGUUUAAUGACUUGGGAAGUUAUAGGAAAAAAAUAGAAUUUUUAAAUUUUGUAAAAAAAAAUAAAAUAAAUGUAAGAAAAAGAAAAGAAAAUCAAAUAUGACCUCAGCAUGUGGCCCGGCUCGGGGUCGGCUAGCUAGCAGCUUUGGGUUGGCCGGUUGGCCCUUUUUUGUCUAGUGGGGCCCACGAGCCAUUUGGUCUGGCCCUCGAUUGGAGACUGUUUUUUGGCUAUUUGCGACCCUCUAGCCCUCUGAAUCCUUCGAUUGGAGAUGGCCUAAGAAAUAUGGUCCGACACUGUAUUAAGCAAAAAUUAGAAUCCCCUGCACUCUUCUAAUACUCUUUAGACUAAACAUUGGUUCUAUUUUGAAAUUUGAUUAGUACACCUAAACAAUAGUCAUGCCAGCAUUUUUAUAAUUAUUGUGUUUUUUAAAUUUAAAAUGUUAAUUAUUAAAUUCCAUAUAUAUCCUUUUAGGUUGAUAUAUUUUUGUACGUGGCCUUUUUUUUUUUAGGAAGCCAAUUUCUUCUCCCACAUUUGAGAUGUAUGGUUUAUUCUCCCACGUUAGAAUUCUGUGAUCCUCAUUUUUGAAUUUUGAAUGGACUUAUCCAUUUCAAUUAGUGGUUGUUUUCACUAUUUUAUAUUGAUAUCAUGUGAGAUAAUUAGACGUAUUCUCUAUUUUCAGAGGCUUGAGGCUAGUAUGUUCAGAUAAUAUAUUUAAAUAUACCGAAUACGUACCAAGAAGAUAUAUAAAGUAACGUACCAAAUAUGUUUUUUUUUAAAUAAAUAUAAACGUACCAAAAUAAUAUAUAAAUGUACCAAAUACAUACAAAAAAGAAAUAUGAACGUCCCAAAUACGUACCAAGAACAUGUAUAAAGUAACGUAUCAAAUAUGUACCAAGUAGAAAUAUAUGUUUAAUCAAGAGGAAAUAUAUGUACCAAAUAUGUUUUUUUUUAAAUAAAUAUAAAUGUACCAAAUACAUACAAAAAAGAAAACAAACAUACCAAAUAUGUACCAAGAAGAUAUAUUAACUAACGUAUCAAAUAUGUACCAAGAAGAAAUCUACGUUUCAUGUGUAAUUUGAAAGACUUUUUAUUAAAAUUGAAUACUACAAUAUUUAUCUACAAGAUUUUAGGAGUUUGGAGAUAUUAUCUAAGAAAAUUAAAAGGUAUAAUAAAUAUAAUGGCAAGUCGCAUUCAUGGGCAUUUUGAAAGACUUCUCAUUGGAAUUAAAUUCUACAAUAUUUAUCUACAAGAUUUUAGGGAGUUUUGAUGUAUUAUCUAGGAAUUAAAAGGUAUAUGUAUCUAAUGGCAAGUUGGGUAAUUUAAAUUAUAAAAAAUGCUACUUCUAAUCCAUGUGCACCUAAAUUGUAGGAAAAUGUUUAAUCAAAACUCUAAAAGGCAUAAAUGUUUAAAUUCAAAAUUUUAAACCUAGGCAUCUAUUUCAAAAACCUCCCAAAUAUUAAUUUCUUGGAGAGCCAGAGGGCUAAAACGAGCCCUCUGACUAACAUUCGGUUGGAGAUAACCUUAGUGUACUGAGCUAUAUUCCCAAUAUAUUGAUAAAUCUCCACCCAUCCGCAAUGGCGAAGCCAGGAUUUACCGAGGGGAGGGGCGAAAUGCAAAAGAGUGCAAGGUUCAAUCGAAGUGGUUGCUUUCACAUUGGAAAGUGCAAAGUUUUGAGUCAAUAUUCAUAACAAAAAACAGUCUUUUCACCAAAGUGGUUGUAAGCGGUAAUAUCAAAGCCAUGUAAGAAGCUUAAAGUGAUUAUGAUUAGAUUUUAAAAAACGUUAGGCGCUAGUCAGACAGCGGACUGAGGCCUAACAGUUAGGCACCUAUGCGAGAUUUAGGCAGGAGCCUAGAUGGAUGUAAAUAAAUUUAUUUUAUUGUAAAAUAAGCAUUAAACAAUAUUUAUAUUAUUUUUUAAAAAUUAAUACAAUAUUUAUAGAUAAUGUGAGAGUUUAAAAUAAAUACACUGAGGUCAAAUUAAUAUAUAAACUAUGCAUUAAACAAUAUUUUCAUAUCAGUUAAUGAAACUAAAGUGUGUCUAUAUAUAAACUAACCAACACUUGAUCAAAUUAUAUCAAAACAACAUCAAUUACAAUCUAUGAUUAUUAUAAUAUAUUAGGGAUCUAAAAUCCGAUGUUUUUAUUUCAAUUUGAUCACUGUUUGUUAUAGUUUGAUAGUUUGAACCUAGAAUAGAAUGCUACGCCACUUGACCAUUUUAUGAUUCGACGAUCCGACCAUUGGAUCGUCACCCAACCUUAAUACGUUAUAGUACAUAAUAUUUGAGGACUAUAGAAACUGAUCGAUUGAGAAUUUGACUUACGGAUCUUCCUAAAUUGAAUUUCUAAGUUUGUAAAACAAAUGUGGAUAGCAACCCACUUCUAACAUUUGGCGGAGAUCCGACCGUUAGAUCGUUCUGAAACUUUAGGAUGUUGUUCUAGAAGCUUAUUGAAACUCUUGGGAAGUUACAGAUCAGAAAUCCGAGGUGCGGAUCUUUCGAAUUGAGUUACGUAGGGUUGUGGACCCUAUCGUCGACCUUUGACCAACGAUUGCUUUUGGUUAAUGGGUUACAAAUCAUUCUAGAACAUCCUUGGGGAUGUGUUUUAUGUAAAUUAUGUGUUCUAUCAAUAAGAAUUUUGAGACGUGAUUUGAAAUUUGUUCUAGGUGACGAUCGUUCGUAACGCCUCGAUGAGUUGUAGUGCGGACUCAGGUGAGUGGGUCUUUUCUUUUAUAAAGUAUAUAAAUAUUUGUUGGUUUCCAUUUAUACAUUGGAAAAAGAAUUUGCUACAUAUGCCUAGCUUAGACUAAUGCUUAUAAGAAUGAACGAAAUAACGGAAAAUUACGAAGUUAUCAUAAAUCAUAUGGGAUGCACAUGUAUGCAUACCUUUUUGGGAUUCUAAUUACGAUCAUGUUUAAUAUUUUAUCUAGGGUUAAUCUCAGUUUACUACUCUAAAGUUUCUUGGUUUUCAACAUUUGGUACAUAAAGUUUUUUUUCAUCCCAAAGUGGUACCUGAAAUGUUAAUUUUGGGACAGUCUUAUACAUCCGUUAAUGUUGCUGUUAAGUUAGCUGUUAACUGGUGACAUGGCGCUUAUGUGAACGAUAACUAGGCACCACGUGUCAAUAUGGGCAACGUGAAUAUUAAAAAAAUGAACAACUUUUUACCCAUAUCCCAAUAACCACUACUACAAAAGGGUCUUAUAGUGUCAGUUGUUGCGUCAGUUUAAUAUAAUAUAGUGGCGCACAAGAAAGUUGCGACACCUACUGAAUAUGACGUCGGAUUUACAAAGCCUGCGUCGCUUUUAAACCGACGUAAAUAGUUAAUGUCGCUUAUAACCGACACACAUUUUAAUAAUUUUAAAUACUGGCGUCGCUUUAAAUAAAACAGUGUCGCUUUUAAGCGACAUAAAGUAUGCGUGUCGCAUAUAGAAGCGACACUAAUUGUUGAUUUUAUAUAUUUUAAAUCCUGCGUCGGUUCUGAGCGACAUAUAUUUUAUUUUUUUAAGUAUUUUGAAACCCGGUGUCAGUUGUAAGCGACAGAUUGAUAGUCUUUAUACACCCUCCCCUGUGUUUUCUUCUUCUUCUCUUGCAUUUAUCUCAUUCUCACGAUUUACGAAGCCUUCUGGUUCUCUCUUUCACCAUUGCAAUUUCUUAUUCCCGAGUUCUUGCAAGUUCAUUCUUCACAAGGGUAAGUUUUUCUUGCUUGUAAUAUUUUUAUUCUCUCUUUCACCAGUUUUUCUUGCUUGCAAGUUCAUUCUUCACAAAGGUAUGUUUUAUGUUUAAUUUUUAGAUACAAUUUAUUUUUGUAGGGAAUUUAUUUGAGUUGGUUGAGUACAUAAAGAAUUGAUCGACGACGAAAUUCUUCUAUAAUUCAGGUUUCUAUCACUAAAUUCUUUAAUUUUUUAAUUGUAUAAUACACAAGUUUAUUUAUUUAAAAAUUUUAAUUUAAGUAGUUAGAUAAAUUUCUACUAUUUUUGUUAAAUUAAUUAAUAUUUAGGCGAAUUAAUUACUUUUGUCACUUUAAUUGUUAUGAGAAAAUGAAAUGAAUAUUAUUUAUAAGCAUUUAUGUUAAAUUAACAACAUUAAAUCUAACAUAAACUUAUAAUAUUGAGUAAUUUAAGAAUAUAUUAUGUUAAAUUAAUUUGUUUUGCACUCUAAUUGUUAUUUUAAUUUGUUGUUAUUUUGAUAAUUUUUUGUUGUUAUUUACUAGAAUGGAUUAGAUGAGAAUAAUUUGAAUUGUUAUGAGAAAAUGGAAUGAAUAAUAUUUAUAAGCAUUUAUAAACGAAAUUAACAAUAUUAAAUAUAACAUAAACUUAUAAUAUUGAGUAAUAUAAGAAUAUAUUAUGUUAAAUUAAUUUUUUUUGCACUCUAAUUGUUAUUUUAAUUUGUUGUUAUUUUGAUAAUUUUUUGUUGUUAUUUACUAGAAUGGAUUAGAUGAGAAUAAUUUGAAUUGUUAUGAGAAAAUGGAAUGAAUAAUAUUUAUAAGCAUUUAUGUUAAAUUAACAAUAUUAAAUAUAACAUAAAAUUAUAAUACUUAGUAAUAUAAGAAUAUAUUAUGUUAAAUUAAUUUUUUUUUUUUGCAAUUUGAAUUGUUAUGAGAAAAUGGAAUGAAUAAUAUUUAUAAGCAUUUAUGUUAAAUUAAAAAUAUUAAAUCUAACAUAAACUUAUAAUAUUUAGUAAUAUAAGAAUAUAUUAUGUUAAAUAAUUUUUUUUUGCAAUUUGAAUUUUUAUGAGAAAAUGGAUUGAAUAAUAUUUAUAAGCAUUUAUGUUAAAUUAACAAUAUUAAAUAUAACAUAAACUUAUAAUAUUUAGUAAUAUUAUUUCAAUGUUAAAUUAUUAUUUUUUUCAAUUUGAAUGGUUAUGAGAAAAUGAAAUGAAUAAUAUUUAUAAGCAUUUAUGUUAAAUUAACAAUAUUAAAUAUAACAUAAACUUAUAAUAAUUAGUAAUAUAAAAAUAUAUUAUGUUAAAUAAUUUUUUUUUGCAAUUUGAAUGGUUAUGAGAAAAUGAAAUGAAUAAUAUUUAUAAGCAUUUAUGUUAAAUUAACAAUAUUAAUAUAACAUAAACUUAUCAUUUUUAGUAAUAUAAGAAUAUAUUAUGUUAAAUUAAAUUUUUUUACAAUUUGAAUUGUUAUGAGAAAAUGGAAUGAAUAAUAAGCAUUUAUGUUAAAUUAACAAUAUUAAAUAUAACUUUUGCACUAUAAUUGUUAUUUUAAUUUAUUGUUAUUUUGAUAACUUUUGGUUGUUAUUUACUAGAAUGGGUUAGAUGAGUAUACUUUUGAUAACUUUUUGUUGUUAUUUUAAUUUGUUUUUACUAUAAUAGGUGUUGAAAAUUAAAAGAUUGCAAUCGUGAUAGAGUUCGAGGGUUGAAAGAUAGAAAUUGAAAAUUCUAAUAGUUAUGCCUACAUGAUAGGGAUUGCAAGAUUGUAGGCAUCUUAGUGUCAGCGUAAUAUUUUACCCUCGUAAACUCGUAAACUGGCAUCUUAGUUUAGCAGGAAUGCCAGACGAGAUAUUCACAACUUUACUGGAGUUAAUUAAAAGAAUGUUGCCUGAAGGGGAUUGUUUGCCUGAAUCUUGUUAUAAGGCAAAAAAACUUAUAAAUGACUUGGGUCUGACGUAUGUGAAAAUUGAUGCAUGUCCCAAUGAUUGCAUGAUCUAUUGGAAAGAUACUUCAGAUUUGACCGUGUGCUCGGUUUGUGAUGAAUCAAGAUAUAAAAUUACCAACGCAGUGGAUAGGUCGAGAAAAAAGAUUGCAGCUAAGGUUAUGUGGUAUUUUCCUUUAAAACCACGAUUGCAACGAUUUUUUAUGUCGAAGCAUACGGCUGAACAUAUGAGGUGGCAUGCAAUUGAAUGUCCUAAAGAUGAGUUUAUGAGACAUCCUUCAGAUUCUCCAGCAUGGAAGCAUUUGGAUAAUUUAUAUCCAGAUUUUGCGUUAGAAAUUCGAAAUGUCCGAUUAGGGUUGGCCAGUGAUGGAUUUAAUCCUUUUGGAAAAAUGAGGAAUGACCAUAGCACAUGGCUUGUGGCGCUUUCUGUUUACAAUUUGCCACCUUGGAUGUGCAUGAAACAACCAAAUUUGUUGUUGUCUUUUUUAAUACCAGGACCGCGCAAUCCUGGUAAAGAGAUUGAUGUAUACAUGCGUCCACUGAUUGACGAGUUGAAUGAGUUGUGGGAGGUCGGCACUCCAACUUAUGAUGCGUAUUCCAACCAAAGUUUUACGAUGAAGGCUGCUGUCUUAUGGACUAUAAGUGAUUUUCUGGCUUAUGGAAUGUUGUCAAGAUGGAGUACACAUGGCUAUAAAGCUUGUCCACAUUGCAUGCAUGAUAAAGAAUCUAUUUACUUGCCGGCGAGUCGUAAAAUUUGUUAUAUGGGGCAUCGACGCUUUCUUGAAGAUAAUCAUAGGUUUCGAAGGCAAACCACAGCUUUUAAUGGUCAUCGAGAGCAUCGUAGUGCACCAAGGCAGUGGACUGGUUUACAAUGUCUCGAAGAACUUUGUACAUUGAGAUUUACUUUUGGAAAACCAAAGAAAAAUCCUUCAGUAGGGCAACGCAGAAAAAGAACUUCGAGCAGUACAAGUGGUAACAGUUAGUGGAAGAAGAAAUCUAUUUUUUAUGAACUACCUUAUUGGAGGCAUCUGUUGAUUAGACACAAUCUUGAUGUUAUGCAUAUCGAGAAGAAUAUAUGUGACAGUGUGGUGGGAACAUUGCUAGGUAUAGAAAAGUCUAAAGAUGGAUUGGCUGCACGUGCAGAUCUUGAAGUCUUGAACAUAAGACGUAGUCAACACCCACGUAGAGAAGGAAAUAGAACAUUUCUACCUCCAGCUUUGUUCACGUUGAAAAGAGAAGAAAAAACUGUGUUUUGUAAUGUGUUGUUUACUAUUCGGGUCCCCGAUGGAUAUUCAUCAAAUUUAUCGCGAUGUGUGCACGUGAAUGAACGAAAAAUACAUGGGUUGAAAAGUCAUGAUUGCCAUGUUUUAAUGCAGCAGUUACUCCCGCUUGCAAUACGCCCGGUUUUGCCUAAAGCUGUUACUAUGGUAUUAUUAGAGUUGAGUGCAAUUUUCAGACAGUUGUGAAGUAAGAAGGAGUCUGAGGAAGGAUUCAAGGAACUGAGUUCAAGAAUUGCCUUGACAUUAUGUCAACUUGAAAAAAUAUUUCCUCCUGCAUUUUUUGAUAUAAUGGUGCACCUUCCAGUUCACUUGGCAGAUGAAGCAGCUCUUGCAGGGCCUAUUCCCUAUAGAUGGAUGUAUCCAAUUGAACGGUAAUUAAUAAUUUUUUAUAAAUUUUUUACAAUUGUAGUCAUAACUUUAAUUUAUAAUUAUAAUUGUUUGUGUUUCGUUUAUAAUUAUAGGUAUUUGCAAACGUUGAAGCGCUAUGUUCGUAAUAAGGGUCAUCCUGAAGGUUCUAUUACUGAAGGAUAUUUGGUGGAUGUGUUUGUCCUUCUGUUCCAUGUAUCUUAGAGGUGUCGAGUCUCGUCGUACCCGUAGAGGCCGAAAUGAAGAUGGUAUUGGACGUGGAGUGUCUGGUGGGUUAUCAAUUUUUGACUCCAAAUGAUGUUAUAUGGGUUCAAGAGAACAUGUGGAGCUCGAUCUAAAUGCUCUUGAUCAGUGCCAUAGAUACAUUCUAAAUAAUUGUGAUGAAGUGAACCCAUUUAGAAGGUAAGAACGUUUAAUCAUACGUUUUAAUGUUUUAUUGAUUUUCUUAACUUUGAAAAAUUAAUUAUCUAAAUUUGGACAUAAUUGUGUAGCCAACAUGAGGAAUUCUUGAAAACUAAACAUCGUCGAGAAAGGUUAACUAUGCGACAAAUUAAGGAGCUAAGCAAGAAAGAAUUUCCAGAAUGGUUCAAGCAACAUGUGAGUUGAUAUAAUAAUGACAUUAUUUAUUUAUUGUUUUGCAUUUUAAUUAUAACAUGUUAUAGUUAUUCUGUUAAUUUUUAUCUUCGUACUUAUUACAAAUGAAUUCAAGUUAUCAUGCUAAUGACACGUUGAUAUCUCAAGACUUGCAUUGGCUAGCUAAUUAUCCUAGUAGGGUUGUGAGUAGAUAUAAAAGUCACAUUGUUCAUGGGUUUAGAUUUCGUAUAAAAUAUGUGGAUGAUAAGCAUAAGAAUCAAAAUUGUGGUGUCUUUGUACCUGCAAAUGUUCCUGGAGCAAUUGGGCAAGUGAAUUGUUAUGGCAGAGUUGUCGAUAUGUUCGAGGUUAAAUAUUGUGGUCCUACUGAGGCAGGAGAUAGGGGUCGAGCUGUGAUGUUAUUUAAGUGCGAAUGGGUUAAUAGUGAAAGUCCACGAGGAAUGAAGACCGAUCAAUAUGGAUUUACUAUGGUGAAUUUCAAUCAAUUGGGAUUUAAAGAGGAUCCUUUCAUACUAGCAUCACAAGCAUUACAAGCAUUUUACGUGGAGGACACAAUUGAAAAAGAUUGGCACGUAGUUGUUCGAACUCAGCCGAGGGAUUUGUUUGACGUACUAGAGGAUAAUGAUGCUAUUGAUGAUUAUGCCAUACCAAAUUUGGAUGAUCGAAUUCUUGAUAAUGAAAAUUUUCAUACAAGGGUUGGCGUGGAAGAGACUCUUUUCUUGAAUCAUUAGCGUUGCCUACCGAGUUCGUUAAUCAUGCCAAUGUCGACGAUGAGCUAACAGAUGAUGACAGAGAAUAAAUAUAUUAAUUAUUUUAUGUAUUAAUUAUACUAUCUUUCAUUUCGUAUGUUAUGAUAUCUUAUUAUAAAAUUAUAUUUCUGUUUUUUAUUAAGUAUUAUAUAUAAGUUAAACAUUUUUUUUAGGGUAAAAGACUGUUUACUACCCUCAUGUUUCGUGGUUUUCAACAUUUAGUACAUCAAUUUUUUUUCGUCUCAGAGUCAUACCUAAAGUGUAAAUUUUGGGACAGUCUCAUACAUCCGUUAGUCAAACUGUUAAAUAUCCCGUUAACUGUGACGUGGCGCCCAUGUGGACAAUAACUGGGCGCCACGUGGGUCCACGUGGAAUUUUUUUUUUGUUAAAAUAAUUAAUUAAAUAAAAAAAAUAAAAAAUAACCCUAUCGUCUUCCCCAACCCGAACCCCCCUUCCCUUCUCUCUCCCUUCUCUUCUCUGCACCUACCCUCCCUUCUCUUCAUCUGCCUUUCGCCCUUUCUGAAAACUAAAACCCUAAAUCAAAAUCAAAAUCAAAAUCCAAAACUUCCGAAUUCGAUUCAACAGAGAUAUGGCGUGCGAGCGACGACGUUCGACAGAGAUGGCGCGGCUCUGAUCUGGAAGAAGAGGUGGUUGUGGGUGAGUGCACACCCACCCAUUCCCCUCUGUAGAAAAAUCCGAGAACACCCUCCCUUCUUUCCGAUUUCUUGGUGCACGACGGCAAUAGUUUGACGAUUCGAACACGACAAAUCGGAAACCCGAGGAACCUGGAACCAGAUAUGCGGGUACGGGUAAUGGUUUGGAGCCGAAUAAACCAGUUGAACCAGCCGGUGGGGAGAUCGGGUCGGACGAGCAGUCGAGUAAUCCGGCGGUGGAGGAUUCGGUGGGCAGAGGGGCCGCUGUGUGGGGGGCAGUGGGGUAGUAGGAGGACGAGAUCAGCGGUGGAGAAGCUGAACUGGGACUUCGGUUGCCGGGGUGAUUACGGACUGCUGCGGUCAUUACAUUUUGGAAUGCUAGAUUUUAGAGGGUGGAUUUCACUGAAUCGGGAUCCAUGUUUCCUAGAAAUUGAAAAGUUUUCAGAUUUGGAGCUUGGAUUGUAGUGUUCUUCAGUAAUCAAUGGGUUGAUUAUAAAUCUGGGAAUACAUGGUAGAUGCAAUUGCUGCUUUUUUUGGAUUUUGCAGAGGAAAAAGGUUCAAUUCAAGAGCGAAUCAUCUUGACUUUUUUCUAUUUUGCCAUUAUAGAGUUUUUCAUCUAGUUUUUGUAAAGUGGUAUGAGAAACUAAGAGGUGGGGGUUUACUGGAUUAGAGGGUUCAUCAAUGGAGUUUACUGGUGGGAAAGGUAUGAAGAGAGAAAGACGGUAGCCUGGUUUUCUAUUUUUCUUCUUCUUUUUUUAUUUUAUUUUAUAAUUUUGUCGGUUGCCGGGGUGAGUCGGCGGAGGAGGAUAAUGGCAGUGGUGGGGUUGGUACUCGAUGACAUGCGUUGUCGCGCCGGUGGAACGUGAAAGGUGCAUAGGUUGUGCAGAGGUUGGGUGGGUGCUCUCAGAGAGAAGGGAGGGAGAAGGGAGGGAGGGUUGAGGAAGAAGACAAUUUUUUUUUUUUUAAUGUUUAAUUUUUAAUUAUUUUUAAUAUCCACGUGGAACCCUUAUUGACAUGUGGCGCCCAGUCAUUGUCCACGUGGGCGCCAACUCAUCACUUAACAGAAUUUCUAACGGAAAACUUAACGGAUGUAUGAGACUAUCCCAAAAUUUACACUUUAGGUAUGACUCUAAGACGAAAAAAAAUUGAUGUACUAAAUGUUGAAAACCACGAAACAUGAGGGUAGUAAACAGUCUUUUACCCUUUUUUUUAAUAUUGGGUUAUACUUUUUUUUUAGCUUGUUUCCUGUCGCUUUUAACCGACGUCGGUUUAAUUGAAAUAUUUUGGGCGGCACUUUUCCCGGUUUUUUUCAUUCAGUUGGCGUCAGUUUUAACCGACGCAACCAAAGAUUAUUUCGACGCAAUGACGCUUAUUUCGACACAGACUGUCAUGUUACGUCGGUUUGAUCCGACGCAAUAUUAGGCUAUUUCGACGCAAUGUCACUCUAUUUCGACGCAAGUUAAAAACCUGUUGUGAAUUAUUUGUAUUAAUGCGAAAAAAGGAUGAUUAUUUUUUCUUAUUUACAGUUCACGAAAUUUUUUGAGUUGUUAAUUAUACUAUUUUUCUUUUUAUUUAACAAUUUUAUACUUCUAAAAACUAUAAUAAUUAUAUAUAUAUAUAUAUAUAUAUAUAUAUAUUAAAUUUUUUAUUUAACAAAUUUCAACGAUCGAACCGUCAAACAUGUUUGUAUAUAAUUCGAGAUCGCAUACGCGAAGAAUUGCAAAAAAAAACAUUCUGAGACAAAGUAACGGGAAAAACUUAUUCGACGGUUAUUAACGAAAAAUCACGAUUUAACGAUUAUUUUAACUCCGAUUUUGAUGAUUUUUUAUAUGUACACUCCUUCACCCUAUAUGAAUACACUGAAUGAAUGCGAUCUUCAAUUUGAAAUAUUUACACUAGUGGAUAUCACAAAAUCUUGUGUUAUACUUAAUGAAAGUAUGAAUAAACUCUUUAAGUGUUAGUGAAUCUAUCGUUUUGAUGGAAUACGAAUUCUAAGAAACUAAUUUCAAUGAUCGAACCGUCAAACAUGUUUGUAUAUAAUUCGAGAUUGCAUACGCGAAGAAUUGCAAAAAAAAAACAUUCUGAGACAAAGUAAUGGGAAAAACUUAUUCGACGGUUAUUAACAAAAAAUCACGAUUUAACGGUUAUUUUAACUCCGAUUUUGAUGAUUUUUUAUAUGUACACUCCUUCACCCUAUAUGAAUACAGUGAAUGAAUGCGAUCUUCAAUUUAAAAUAUUUACACUAGUGGAUAUCACAAAAUCUUGUGUUAUACCCAGAUUAAUACAAAUUGUUACGUUAUAUUUAAUAUUUAUGCAUGUUAUAUUUCAUAAUUGUAUGUUAAUAUGAUGUUUAUAUGUUUUUAUAAUUUAAUACAACAAAUAAUUUGCAUAAGAAAAAUUCAUUUUAAACGAAUUAUGAUAAGAUAAGAUAGGAUGUUUGUGGUGAUUUUAGAAUAUUUAUCAUAUUACUUUAUGAACUAGUUGGUCAAUUAUUUACAAUAAAAAUCAAAAUUUUAAUUAAAAAUUAACAGAAGAAUGUUUGAUCAAAAAUUUCAAAGUUAUAGAUGUUUGAUUAAAAAAAUUCAAAUAUAAGGCAUCUAUAUCAAAAUGAUCAUAAAAUUGUAUUUCUGUUUUUUAUUAAGUAUUAUGUAUAAGUUAAAUUUUAUAUAUUAAAAUAUUAUAUGAAAUAACAUAAUUGCUUAUUUUUUAAUUUUGGGUUAAACCUUUUUUUUUUCCUCCUGCGUUUCCAUUUUUUUUUAGUUAAACUCUUUUUUUUUAUGUUGGGCGGGAAUUUUCCCGCUUUUUUUUGCAUGGGGAAAUGGAUUGGAAGAAUUAGGGUGGAUUUGGACGUGCGAAUGAACCGAGCAUCGAAAUAAUAAAUGGUUGCGUCGAAAUAAUAAAUAGUGGCGUCGGUUCAAACCGACGCAACUACUUAUUAUUUUGACGCAACCACUUAUUAUUUCGACGCCUCGUUUCAUGCGUCGUUUAAACCGACGCAACCACUUAUUGUUUUGACACAAGCAUUUAUUAUUUAGGUGCCUCGGUUCAUUCGCACGUCCAAUUCCGAGGCCACUGCAAUAAAUUUCUGUCAGAAUAACGUCGGUUCAAACCGACGCAAUUGUCUUAUAUUUCGACGCUAGGAAAAUCUGUCAGACUAACGUCGGUUGAAAGCGAUGCAAUAUGACCCUAUUUCAACGCCAGAAUCAAGUGUGUCAGAGGUUGUGUCGGUUUGAAGCGACGUAAUGGUUGCAUAUUUCGACGGUAAGUUUUUUUGCAUAUUUAAGCUUCUACGACCUAUUUCCGUCUCUGUCAUUUCUCAUUUCACUCCCUUCACUCCCUCAUUUCACUCCCUCUCCUUCUCCAUCUUCUCUGUAUUCCGCAUUUCUUCCGUGAUUCCUUUACUUUUGCUAUGGAUAGUAGUAGUGAUCAUCAACGUUAUGAGGAACUUCAUGUGGAAGAGGAGGAAGUCGAAGCUGGUUAUUUUUCCAUAUUAUUAUUAGUUUCGUUUUUUUUUUUUUUUUUUGUGUUUAAUCUUCUAUUAUUCUUAUAAACUGAAAAUUUACAUCUGUUUCCUACUUUUUUGGUGUGUUUUAAUUGUGGUUUUUUUAUGAACAAGGAACAUCUCAACGGAGGCGAGGACCCUCAGUUCCCAAAUGGACGAAACAACUUUGUUCGUUUGAUAUGUCCGGAAAAUGCAUUAGUGAUAAUUCUAGUGCAUUUUCAAAAUAUGUGGCAUCGGAGGUUAGAGACCACAGAAAUCUCCCAUUGGCGAAGCAUUGGCGUAAGAUUAAGGAUGUAGAUAAGGAAGUUUUCUGGAAUACAAUUAAGGUAUUGGUAUUUUUAUUGUUAUUAGAAAUAAAAAGAAUAAUUCAAUGAUUGUUAUAAUAUUUGACUUGGUUGAUUUUUUUUUUUUUUUUUUGAUGUAGGGAAAUAUUGUUUUUGAAGAUGCAGAUAUACCAAAAAUGCCUUUGAUCCGCUUUAUGACGCUUAAGGUUGCUGAGCAUGCACAUAAGGAGUUUAGAAAUAAGUUAAAAAAAAGUAUUAUAUCGAGAGAGCAGCAGAGGAGCGUCGCCAGCCUCCUCCUGAUGUGAAUCCUACCCAGUGGGGUAGUUUGUUGGCAUACUGGAGUGGAGAUAAAACAAAGGUAAUCGAUGUAGUUUAUUUUGUUAUAACUAUAAAUUUGUGUAAUAAAUUUUUUAUUUUUAUUUUCAGGAGGUUGCUGAAAAAAACAAGAUUAAUCGGCAAAGGAAAACAAUGAACCAUACUACUGGUACAAAAUCUUUUGCAAGAAAGCGGCAAGAAUAUGUAUGGAUUGUACAAUUUGAAGAAAUUUUAUUUUAAAUAUUCUAUAGUUGUUAUAAAUUUUAAUUUUAAUGAGGUUUGCCUAAAAUUGUUUGUGUGAUAUUUUAUUUUUGGUAAAGCGGAAGAAGCAUGGGAAAGAAGCCGAUCCCGUAACCUUUUUUCGUGAAUGUCAUACACAAAAAAAUGAAACUUGGAUUGAUGAGGAAUCGGAGCGUACAGGGGUAAUUUAUUUUACUGUGUUAGUAUUUCAUUGUUAUUAAUUUUUAUUAUCUAUAGCUUAUUUUUCUGUUUUACGAUUGAAUUUUUAUUUUUAAAAAUUGUAAUGCUAGGCAACAAUGGAGCAAUCUGCAAACUUUGAUUCAGUCGGGGCAAGAGGAUAAUGAAGAUCUUAGGACCCAAGUGUAUGUUGAAACAAUGGGUCUUGAGAGGUAUAAUAGAGUCAGAGGAUACGGUCAUGGGGUGACUCCUGAUAUGGUGUCCUGUGCGUCUUCUCGUCUUCUACAUCAAUUUCCUCCAAGAGGUCAUCUAGCAGUGCAAUGGCAUUGCCGAUGACUCAAAAUAAUGAGUUGAAAUUGAGGAACGAAAAUAACAAUAAAUGGAUUUCGGACAUAGAGAACAAGCAAAGUCAGAUGUUUGCGUGGCUUUUCCAAAGAUUUCAGCCACAACCACAGCCACACCCACCGUAUAGCCCGGGAACCCAACAGUCAGGCCAGAGUCAGCCUCCUCCUCCUCAACAGACGGGUCAAAGUCAGCCACCCCUUGCAUAUCCGUAUGCUGGCCAUAAUCAGCAACCUCUGUAUCCUAUGUAUCUGAUGCCUAUGCAGCCCACGGCAUACAUGCAGCAGCCGCCUAUACCAUACAUGCAGCAGCCUCCCAUGCCUUACAUGCAGGAGCCGCCUUAUCAAGUGCCAGUAUAUCGACCCGAGAUGGCUGCUCCUUAUUCUGAAUUUCCAGCUGGGGGGUUUGCUGAAAUGCUUGCGGGUGUUGGAUCUGAUGUGGAUUUGUCAAGGAUGUUGGUAUCAAAUAUAGGACCUCAAGGACGAGAAGGAUAUGUGCCACGUUCAGGCGCAGAUUCGGUUCCGUAGUUUAUUUGGUUCGCUUUCUUGUCAGUUAAAUAUGACACUUUAAUCGUUCUAUCUUUUUUGUUUUUUUAUGUUAUGUUUGUAAUGUCGGAUUUAGUAGUUGUUAUGACGGAUAAGUUUUUGUAUAUUAAGUGGAACGUUAGAUGUACAAUAUUUGUGUAUUUUGGCACUAUUUUUAUUGUUAAUUAUUUUCAUUAAUGUAUGUACAAUAUUUGUGUAUUUUGGCAUUAUUUUUCUUGUUAAUUAUUUUCAUUAAUGUUUAUUUUGGCCUUGGAAUUUAUUAAUAUAAUUAUAUAAAUUUUUUCUAUUACAAUGAAUUGAAGACGAAUGCAGUUUGUCGGUUUUUUUUUAUUAUUAUUAACAAAAGUGGUGUCGGUUAUGACCGUUAUUAGUUUGCAUAUUUUAUUUAUUUAAUUGUUAUUUGAUGUCGGUUUAUGGGUAUUAAAUUGAUUUAAUAUUAUUUCAGUGUCGUUUAAAAGCGAUAGUAGGAUGGAUAUUUUACAAUUAAAUUGCUAAUGAACGUCACAUUAAAGCGACGUAACCUGUAUGUAUGCGUCGCUUUAAACCGACGUUAAUUUUAGUGUCGCUUUAAAGCGACGUUGUUUAGUGUCGGUUUAAGCCACGAAACCGACGCUAAAGCCCUUUCGUGACGCUAGCAAUAGUGUCGCUUUGAAAAUGCGACAUUACAUUGUUUUAUGUUGGAUUUUUGCCAAAAUUCCGACAGAAAUUGGAUUUCUCUGUCGGUUUUUGCUCCGACAGUGAUAGCAUAUAUUGGAGUAGUGAACACAAACCCAGAAUUCUUUUGAAAUCCUUGCAGAACCCCGUCGGUCGCAAGCCAUCGGUCGCCGAUUUGAGCGGCAACAAUUUCACCGGCGCUAUCCCAGAAUAUCUCAGCAAUGCCGAAGAACUCAGUUACUUGAACAUUCGUUGAACCCAUUUCAAUUAGUCAUUUCGUCGAACAUCUGGCGCGCACCAAAUCUGCAUAUUUUUUCCACUAGAUCCAGCGACUUCACCGAAAAAAUCCCAGACUUUGUCGGCUGCAAAAGCCUGUUCAAAUCGAACGCCAAUGAAAUGACUUUAAUGGUUCCAUCCCAUGGGACAUCGACCUCACCCAGAACUUUCUCUCCAGCACAAUUUCGUCCAACUUCAAGAACUGCAGCACGUUGGAGAGUUUCAACGUUUCGUUUAAUUUAUUGGGGGGAAUAACCCAGGUUCUGAUAUUUGGGGUUGUGAGGUGAUGAGUUUGGUUGCAGGAGUUGACGAAUGGAUUGAGGGUUGAAAUUGGUUUCUAGAGAAGAGGAGAAGGUAUAAAUUGAAGAAAGUAAGGGGUUUGGGAGAAUUAGGGCUCUUGAAAUGCUCCUUCAAUGCCUCCACCUUCAUUUUUAAUUGUUAAUUUUUAAUUUUUUUUAAUUUUUUUAAUUUUUUAAUAUUUAUGUGGGCUCCUAUGACACGUGAUGUUUAGUCACUGUCCACGUGAGCGCUAUGUCACCAGUUAACGGCUGAUUUAAUAGCAAACUUAACGGAUGUAUGAAAAUGUCCCAAAAUUAUGACUUUAUGUACCACUCUAGGAUGAAAAAAAAACUUCAUGUAUUAAAUGUUGAAAACCAAGAAACUUCAGGGUAGUAAACUGAGAUUAACCCUUUUAUUUAUUACUUUUAUGUCGAUUUGAAUUAUCAGAUCACUGUGGCAUGGCUAUAUUUGGUUAUAUUUAAGUUAUUUGUUCAUCGUUUGCUGCACCGGUGUUAGUACUCGUCCAGACCAGGGCCAGUCUUUCAUGUGUAUGUGCACAUCACACCGUACGCUCACUUUGGAUCCAUUAUAGGUGCCAGUCCUGUCGUACAGGUUGCAAUAGGCAACUUCGACUCAUAUGUGCUGAGCAUAGCGCAAGUCUUCACGUGAUUGUAGUACCAAAACGUUUACUAUUAUUACACCUAGUCCUUUUCAUGUCAAAAUAUCUCUGCAUGAACUCGUGUGUCAACAUAUGUCGAUGAGCACCUGAUAUGAUAUGUUGCUUAUGUGAGAUUUUGUUAUUAUGGAUGACAUGCCCUUAUUUACGAGAUAUUGUGCCGUAAUGAAUUCUUGAGAUUUUGCAGGUUACGGUAAGUAUUUUCUUACUAUAUGUAGUAUGCAUAUUUUGGAAACUAUACUUAUUUUACAGCGAAGGGUUAUUAUGUUUUCGAAAAGGUUUUUACAAAGAUUUGUUUCUAGGCCCACUUACCCUUAUUUUCCGUCCCUCCAGGUUUUAUCGCUGAACUUACAUGUCGACACGGAUUUUUGGCAAAUCUUGGUGUAGACAUUCGAUGGUAUAAUUCUCACCCUAGCUUAUUGUACUAUACUUAUGCUCUGACAUUACGUGUGAAAUUGGUUCAUUCCCACUCACAGCGCACUCUAAUACUGGGGCAUUUUUAGGUUUAAAUUUAUUCAUAAUUCCAUAUCACUACACUUUAUGGCUCGUCACCCUCCAGGUGUCAACCAGCACAACUCAAUUCGAAGUCCAGGUGGACAUUUUGGGUUGGGGUGUGUCAGUUUGGUAUCAGAGCAUAAGUUGGGCAGUAUUGCGUUCAUCACAUGCAUGAUGUAAGCAUUCUCGGUUCUUGAGCCUAAUUUUCGAAUCUUGCCACCUCGUCGACUACGAAAAACGUGUUAAGUUUUUCUAAGUUUUGGAUGAAUUGGAUGAUUUAUCGUCAUUCUAGAACAUUGUGUUGGUAGACGUUCCUAAAUUUUAACAAAGAACCUCACUGCCAAGGAAAAAUCCUGUUUUUGGAUUAAGUUGAUGGCCCUGACGUAGGGCGAAUGUAUCAGGAGUCACACAUCACCAGAGAUUUACAAGUCAAUCCCAUCAUUACUCUCCUGCCAUCAUUACCAAAUCUUGCGAGAUAGGAAACCACAAUUAGUUUUGAUUCCUUGGCAGCAUCCGAUCGCACACCAUAAAUUAGAAUUCCUACGAAGUUUACUUAGUCAAGAUUUCAGAAUUGGCUUGAGCGACAACCUGGUGCUAAAGCGGUAUCACUCGACAGAAGAACAUCUGAGGGACAAUCACUUUUGGUCCCUGAUAGCACUAAUCUUUUCAAACACACGAACGAUCAUUUCGGAUCUUCAGAAGGAAGAUCGACAUCCGUUUAAGUCCGUUCUAAAGUAGAUUAUUAUCAAAUUCCUUUUUUGUCUUUUGGACGUUCCCACCAAUACUAGUUUCUCAAAUUUCUUUUGGUGAUGUACUCAUUAUUUAGACGAGCAUAGGCACAGGUGUACGAAUUGUUAUACCUACGGUUAGUAGAAAUCCCCGAAAUAGUAAGUAUGUUUCCUUAGAAUUAAUGAAACCACCUCAUUGGACCAGUUCCUUACCAAUUGUCCAAAAUUAUCCACCUGAGCGGGCUCUAACCUGUAAUCAACCUACAGUGGCGCUACUAAUUAACGACAUCAGCUGACAUUCUAGAAUGGUCAACCAGUAUUCAGGCAGUAUAAUUUCUGAUACCGGGCACAUGUACUAGUAUCUGGGAGUGAUACUCUUAUGCCAGAACGCUGGUUUAUAAUUUCAGGGUAACGAACAAUAACAACAUAUCGUAAUUAUGUUAAUUAGCGGUGAGACUAAUAAACUGAUUAAUAGUGACUACUUGAGCCAAAGAAACUUAGGAGUAAGCUUUGUAUUAGGACAGUAAACUUAUAGUUGUUUUUACCUUAUUACCUAUCUAGGUAAGCAUAACCUCUCCGACUAGCCACCUUUUCAAUCACUUCUAUACGUAGACAGUAGAAUCGAGGUGUGAAUUAAUUUUCCAUUGUCAAAGUGAGUUGAGUAUCGAGAAAACUGUGAAGACCUUUUAGUUCGCGUCGUAGUGAAAGGAAGUAGUAUAGUAUGUUUCGAGAACGUAUAUCUUUGGCAUCAUUUCUCCAAAUUUUGCCUAGGAUAUCACCAAAUGGUGAAAUAAAGUACGCCAUCGAUCCAUUUUCUCGUACUACACCAAUUUUCCUUGUGUCUUUUUGAACAACUCCUACAAUUGAGAGAACUUAGUUACAUAAGCUUACCGAUUGGAAAUUUAUCAAACCAAACACCUUACCUAGGGAACCUCAAACCUAUCUGUGAAGGUGAAAGGCUGAACCUUAGGAUCGUACCUAGAUCUUUGCAACGUAAUUAGGUGACGAUUAAAACGGUUAACCCAUAUUUCGAAUUGAUGGUCUACCCGACCACUUUUGGAACUUGAGUUUUCUUCCAUAGCUUGUUGAAUCCAUGGUAGUCUUACAGACAACUUUCCCACCUACUUCAGCAGCGAGAUCAAACUUCCUAAAUACCGACAAUUAGCUUUAUACAAAAUUUCUCAAAUGUGUUAGUUGUCUAAAUUGGUAGUUUUCUUGGGAGACGUGAUAUCGGUAGACGAUAUUCUUUUCUUUUUCCCAAAAGGUUGUAGUGGAAGAAAGUUGAAAUUCUCACAAGGUAUUGUGAAUUUCGAUAUAUCUUUGGUCUUGACGAUUUUAUCAACAAUUUGUUAGCGAUUUUUUUGCUAUAGUGUUUUUCCUCACUUAUCGACCGGGAAAGUUAAUUUAGUUUGAGAUGUUGAAUAUGAAUAAAGUAUCUGACAACUGAACUGUUGUCUCAACUCACCAUUGCUUUACACCUUUCGAUGACAUUGAUCAUUUCAAAUCCCAAGAUGACGUGUUCUUUGGAUGUUUUGGCUGUGUAGAGGCAACUUGACGAUGUAUCGCUUAUGUUUCCUAACGAUUGGAACCAUAUGAAAUGAACUACCUUACUCAUGACUUAGAGUCCACAAUUAUCACCUUUGUUGAUGCAUAAAAUCAGUGAGGACUUUGGUACAACAUAAAAUGUUAAGUUUGUGACAUUCGCUAGAUUGCUCCGGUCACUAGUGUGGAUAAAUAUGUAAAUGAAUAGGGACAGGGAAACAAACACAAGAUGUAUGUGGUUCACCCAGAUUGGCUACGUCCAUGGAGUAGAGGGGUUCUCAUUAAUAGUGAAGGGUUUACACAAGUACAUAGGUUCAAGCUCUCCUUUAGUGAGUACUAGUGAAUGAUUUAAUACAAAUGACAUUCAUAAAUAUUGUGGGAGAAUGAUCUCCUUUUAUAGAAGAGAGUUUGUAGCUUUGUUUUGACAUUGACACGUGUCGUGUUAUGAUUGACUUUUGAUGUUAACACGUGUCGCGCUAUGACGCUAUGAUUGGCCUCCUGGUUGAAGGGAAACUCUUCUGGGUCCUUAACGGUAUAACUCUGACCGGUGCGCAGUAGUUUCGGGAUUGGUCAAGUAUGGUACAAACAACCUUCAUUUGAAAACCGGAUGACAUUUCUCUGCGAUAAGUGUAUCCAGAAUCUUUAUCAACCCUAGACUUCUCAAAUACAUCUUCAAUUGAAAGGAACUAGAUUUCUGACAUUGGUGAUGGAAGAACCAAAUCAACGUUUAUAAUUGCGCUAUCAUGCAUCAUCUCGGUUGUGUAGGCGUAAUGACUGUUUACCACAGUGAAAGACAUAUCUACCCUUGAACAUUUCCAGCAUUUUCUAUCCCAUUCUAGUUAGAGCUCACAAGCAUCGAGUUGAUAUUAUUUCCGAAUUAUCAAGAAAUUUUUCGUGUGGUUAUAAUCACUUCUUGAAUCCAAAUGCAACUGGGAAAUAUCACCAUAAGCUCCUACUACGAGGUGUCUUGUACAUGUGGAUAUUACGAUGAUGUUUCGGUGAUUAUCAACCGACUUGACAAGUUAGCUUACUUCGCGUUGGCCCAAAGGGACUACAUUUUAGAUCACUUGAGAAAAUUACUCAUUCUUGAAAUUAUCAGAUUAUUCUGAUGUUUAGAUCAACAUCUACUUUGACUGUGGUUUCAUAUUCACCUUUUGUGCAGGAAGGCAUUCCAAUCACCCUUGGGUAUGUGUCUACCCUAUUGCACUUUGUGCUAAUUUUGAAGCAAAUAGACCGUUUAGGUGAAUAGCCCAAACAUUUAGAUUUUAGUUGUGACUAUUAAUUCCUAAAUCACCCAACAAAUACUCUGAUAAGCGAAUCCUUACCGUUGGUGAUUGAAUGUUCCAGAAGUUACCAUUGUAACGAGAUGUUAUGCAUUAAUUUCAAUUACCUAGUAUCCAAAAGUUGAUGGACUUGUUUUGACCCUCAGAUAUUUGAGUGUUCUUUUAGCCUUCUCAACACAGUUUUUCGCUAAAUUCGAGAGGAAUUCAAUAUAAAGCUGCUCGCUAAGGCAUUGUGAACUACAUUGUUUGACUAUUUGGUAUGCAUGUCACUACUGUACCUCUGUAUAACACAUGUUUCAUUUCCAAGUCUUGGGAAUCCUUUUGAAGGUUAUGAGUACUAAGUUUUUGUCUAGUAUCACAUUUUUACCCUCACACUAACGACCAGUCUGAGCGAACUAUCCUGACCUUAGUGGACAUAUUGCAUUUUGUCUGUUCUACAAUUAGCAUGGUUGUAACACAUAGUUAUCUUUAUUUUAGUUGCUUGUAACUCCGGUUACAAUUUUUGGUUUUGGGUAUGGCACUGUUGAGACGUAGUAUGGAAAUUUUAUGCAUAGCACAUGAUUGACAGAAGAGUAUUGUGAACAAGUAGUUGAAUGAUCGAGAUUACAAUGUAACAAAUUGUGUGCUAUUUGCAUUGUCGCCUGAGAUGGCAGUACGUGAGCGCGAUUGAGGCUCUAAUUGGACGAUUUAUGUGUAUUUCCCAAUGAGAGGCAUGAUGGUAGUAUUUCACCCUUGGGAAUUUGUUCCUUACUUAUCGAGACAAUUGUGAGUUGUCGGUAUUGUGGGUUGCAAACUGUAAUAUCGAUAACUUAAUUGUUAAACUCGUUAAGCAAGUGGACAUUUAGUUCUGUCUACGUUAGUAUUUUUAUUUAUUUAUACAUCUAGUUAUUUAUUUAUCGUUUGGGCUUAACCCAAAGAUACAACACACUCAUCUUCGGAGUACAUGAUGCUACGACUGCGUAGGUGGAAAACUUUCUAUUUUCAAUGUUAAUUUCAGUACAAUUAUUUUAACUAUACGUUAUUACAUAUAUAUGUAUUUUGACGGGAUGUUAUUAUACAUUUGUAAAUGCUCUUGGCUUUAUGUUUUAAUAAAAGGUAUUAUAUUAUAGUAUUAUGCUGAAGGAGAAGGAAAGUAGGAGUUUGGGGGCAUGAAAGAGGAAUCACUGCACUCCGAUCGCGACGGAAUGACAUUCUCUUUUAUGCAACCACUCUAACUUGAUAUCUUCCAUUACAUAUUUAUUUUUCCUAUUGUCUUUUCAUUACUUUUGUAUAACAAGUGAUUUCAAAUUUUGGAGACAAAAUUUUUUUAAGGUGGGUAGAUUGCGACAACCCGUCCCUACAUUGACAAUUUUAUUAAUUUUAAAUGAGUAAAUUGACAAAAAUGCCCUAGAGGUGAGGGUAUUGACUUUUGUUAACCAACUUAUAGUGAGACUUACAAAAUAUUCUUUUAGCGUAUUCCUGUAGUACUUAACAAUACGAAUGUGUGGGGGCAAGUAGAAUCGAAAUUGGAGUUAAGAUAGGGGUUUUAUGGAACUAUAAAUCCGAAAAGUACUUUUGUAAAGAUGACUGUUUAUUAUUUUAUAUAUUUCUCAUAAUUAUUAUAAUAUUAUUUUGCGAGAAAUGAGGGAAGAGAGAUCAACGACGGAGGAAAAAAGGCAGAAAACAGAGGGGGCUGCUGCCCAAUAUGAGGAAAGAAAUGAGGGGGCUACUACCCAAUCAGAAAGAAGAGAAAGAGAGAGUGACCAACCAAAGAGGAGAGAAAGAAGGGGAAAGGAAAGAGGUGCAAAGCACCCAAACGUGACCCAUACACCCACACACCCAACCCGAUUUUGACCCGGAGGGUUUUCCGGCCAUUCUCAUCCAUUUUUCAGGGGAUUUUCACCCAUUCACCACCACCAAACCUUAUCACCACAUCCCAACAUCCAUUCCUAGCUAAAAUCGACACGAAUUGGUUGAGAUUUCAUGAAGAAAUACCCCGUAGGUGCCGCAGAGGGCAUUUGAAGUUUUUUUGAGCCAGUCGUGUGCAAUACACGCUCGCAUGGCCGCACAUCCCGACAACAACAAAUGGGGGUGGCCCACCAGCGCAUGAGCACUGAGAUGAUCAGAUGGAUGCCACAUGUUCGUUUCUAGGCUGUUGGAUUUCAAACAGCUAGUUUUCUGGACCAUUGGAUUUCCAACGGUAAAAAAAAUUGAAAUUUAAAAUUAAUGGGUACUGACGUGGCACAAUGAAGACCGUUCAAUUUUCAGAUUAAUAGUCCAGAUUUUUCAACCAAAAAACUUAAUAAAUAAAUAAAUAAAAAUAUCAAAAAUAAUUUUAUAAAGUUAGAAAUUAAAAAUAAAAUUAUUACUUUUUUAUUAUUUUAUAAUAAAAAAUAACAAUAUUUUAAUAAAUUGACUAGGCUAUUUUUUUGUUAGAUGUAGAGAUGCAUUUGGCCUAUUACUAUAAAUUGGGGUCUAUCACUAUUCACUGAGUGGAUUAAAUAGGAUGGGUGCUGGCACAUCUUUUUAAGGGUAGACUUUCUCUUAAGUGUCGUGUGGUAAUAAAGUUUCAGAGGUGUUUUGCUUUGCAGAAAGCCUGGGGUAAUGCUAAAAUAAUGGUGAUGGAAUUAUGAUGAGGUAAGAAGCCUAGAUAAGCUAGGCUUUUGGUCAUGAUGGGAUAAGUCAGGAUAGGCUUUUAUCUUGUUUGAAAAGUCAGCCAUUUGGAUGAUAGGCUUCAACCUAUAAAUUAAAUAAGGAAAUAGUGAUGUGAUACAGCAGGAGGUUACCAUGCAUGCAUAGAUAAAGAUUAUGAAAUGAUGGUGGGACCAAAUAUCCUUGGCAGGAUGCCAAGAAUUUUAAUCAAAUGGCAUCACUUACAAGAUUUGGAGAUAAAGUGGCAGUACAUCAGGUUGCUACAAAUGAACACGUGGCUUUAGUUUGCAUGAGAUGAUUAUUUGGGGUUUGAGAGAUUUUUCAGUGUGAUCGACACACGAGGUGGUACACCACAUGUCACUAUACAAAUGGUGGGAUAUGUGUGUUAAAAAGUUAAUAACUUAAAAAAUAAAAUUUUCAACCACUUACAUAAAAACACGUGGUGUACCACUCGUGUUCCGGUCACAAUAAAAAAUUUCUCUUGGGGUUGAGCUUUGAAUUAAUUAAAUGUGUCAAAAUGAGAUAAAGAUAAGUCAAACAACUAAAACAUGGGCUUUGGCCUGCGUAACGUAAAUCGUUUUAUGAGUUUGAAAUGCAAUUGGAUUCUGCAACAAGUGUCAGCGGCCAAAGCCAGUAUAGCCGCUGGAUAAAUAGUAUUGGAGCCGUAGAAUCAGCCGACCGAUGAGCACUUUCAAUUUGGAUAAACAGCACUGCUUCAAGACCAACUAAUUAUUUAUCCAAGUCUCAGUCAACAAGGAUUUUCGAGUCCUUGUUGGUAGAGGUCAUCUCAUCAGCCUUCUUGGCGAAAUGAGGUGUUACCAGGUUACUACAUUCAGCACAUUGAAAGCCGAAUUUGAUAUUGAACUUCGUAGAACUAGUAGCCUUGUCUUCAGGCUCUAAAACCCCGAAGGCCUAGACGUGUUCCUUUCUCGGCCGCAGUCACAAAAUCAAGAAGUCAGCAGCGCGCCCAAUGCCACAUCAACAUAUUUUACUCCCCGACUGAACUCGGUCGACGAGUUGGCACACCCUGCACACAACUAAAGGAUGUAGUUAGUUUAUUAAUUACUCGGCCUGCGAGCCAUGUAGGCUUGAUAAUUUUUAAGAAAAAUAGAAACACACAUCCACAUAGUUAUAAUUUUUGUUUCCAGUUAGGGUUUGAUGCUUUCUUUUUGCACAAUCAACACUAAUAAUUUCAGUUAGAUCCAGAUCCCCUCCUGACCUUUAAAAACUGAGCUUGCUGAGCAAACAAUCUUGGCCGUUUAAAUUUGAUCCAACGACUACAAACAGAGAGGUCCACUAAAAGUUAUAAUAAUUGUAGUCGUUAGAUUAAAUUUCAACAGCCACGAUUGCCUGCUUAGUAGACUCAGUUUUUUAAGGUCAGGAUGAGAUCCGGAUCCAUUUUAGUUAACUGAUUUUCAUAUUAACCUUGGGUGGACAUGACUGAUUUGAUAAAGAAAAAAUGAAAUGUAUUCAACACCCUUUAUAUACACAAUGCGGCAUGGACUCGGAUCAUCUCUUGACCUUUCUGUCCGGAUCCGAAUGAUCAAUUGAUCCUAGCCUUUAAAUGCACAUCAUACGGUUAUAAUUAAUUUUAUCGUUUUAAUGGGCUUCUCUUGACUCUCCUUUUUUUUUAUCUCCUCCCUCAUUUCUUUUUCUCUCCUCUCUCAUUCUAUCUUUUUCUUUCCCUUUCACUUAGUCUUGUUUCUAGGGGUGGGCACGGGCCGGACCGAGCCUAAAAUUGAAGGGCCCGGACUAGACCCGCUUGAAAAUACAAUAGGCCGGGCCAGGCGAAUUUUAUUAUAUUAAAACCGAGAACCGGACCUAACCCAGCCCAUAUAAAACGGGCCGGUUCCUACGGGUACAAACUCUUUUUUUCCCCUAAUUUUCAGUAUCCAGAUUUUUCCCAGUAUCAGCCAUCGCCAAAUCCAACACCUAGAACCUAUUCGUGACCCUUUUGGAGGGCAAAACCCUAACCCUAACAUUCACAACCCCAGAGAUCCUCACCACUUCCAUCAAGCACCUCCUAUACAAAAUCUUCAAAUACAAUUUCGAAUUCAUCAAAAAAAUAAAAUAAACUUGAAUCCCUAUGAGAACUAGAGACAUCGUCUUCCUCACGGAUCGAACUAGAGAUGUCGUCUUCAAGCAUUUCUCUUUGACCCUGAAGCACAAAUUGAACCAGAUAUGUCGUCUUCCUUACGGAUCCAAGACCUCCACCCUCGCCAUUACAAAUUACAUCGAAUCAAAACAAAAUCAGAAACCUGCAAAAUUCCUAAAUCAGAAACCUAAGUUCCACUGAUCAUGCUUCGUAAACCCAAAACAAAAAAUUGAAAAUUUAGAGAAUAUAAAUACAAAAUUUAAUUCAAUCAACCCACGAUGGUUUCGGAAAUUCACAUAAAAAGGGAGAGGGGGAGAGGAAGAGAGAAAGAAACUUACGAUGUUGCCAACGAUUGUUAUACGAGCCGAGCUACAACGGAGGCCAUGGAAGCUCACGCGGUGAUAUGGUUGGAACGAGGGUGGGGUGUCAGAUAGAUCAAAGGAAGAGACUCGGAAUGGUGUUGGAGAGAUCAAGGGUGAGGGGAGACGGUGAGGACGAUGGUGAUGGUGGCUGGCUCGGAAUGGUGUUAGAGAGAUCAAGGGAGGAAACUCGGAGUGGUGUUGGAGAGAUCGAGGGUGAGAGGAGACGGCGAGGAUGAUAGUGAUGGUUAUGGUGGAUGGCUCAGAGUGGUGUCGAAGAGAUCGAGGGUGGGGUGAGUUUGACAUUUAAGUGAAUAGGUGGGUAGAGAGAUAGACUGAUAGAGGGUUAUUCAUUUAGGUGGGCAAUGAACGGUCCGGGCCGAGGGCUCGUUUUCUCCAAUUUUUAAAACCGGCCCACCCCGUUAUUUACAAAGACCCGCCCCGUCCCGUUUUGUAUUUAUAAUUUUUUGACCCGUCCUGUACCCGUGGGUCCAGGACCCGUUUGCCUACCCCUACUUGUUUCCGGAUUGUUGCAUCUCGUCUCUCUCAUCUCACAUAUGAAAAUUUGAAGCAACAUAAAUAUUAUACCAACUGGACUACCUUUGGUUCUGGGAUGUCGAAAGAGCCAUUUUGUUGUUAGUCUCAAACAGAAAUCAAGUAACUCAACAAAUUAGACACCCCAAGAUCAGAUCUUUAUCACCGACCUUCAACCCAAACCCCUGAAUUCUUUUCUUCACCCAACCAAGAAAAAACAAAACCCCAGGAGCAUAAGUAGAGAAAAAGACAUAAGCAGAGAAAGGAGAGAGCACAACACCUAGAAAGAAAAAAGACAUAAAAUCAAGACACAAAAGGAGACAAGAAAACCAUUAAAAAGAAAAAUUAAUCAAGAAAAAAAAACCAGAAGGACAGAACAUAGCAUGCAGAUGGAGAGAAGUAAAAUAAAAAGAGAGAAAGGAAAGCACCGCAAGCCUGCAUGAGGAGGGAGAAUAAAGAAGAACACAGAAUGAGAGAGAAAGGAGAGAGCACUAGCACGCAAAAAGAGGAUAGAAAAAUAGAGAAUGACAGAGAAGAAACAAUUAAAAGCAAUUUAAUUAGUAACCAUAGGAUUGCAUCGAACGGCCAAAAUCAAUUGGUCCGUCGGAUCCUGGUAGAAAGUUCCGGAGAUGAUAUGAGUCCAAUGGGGCACUGGGCAUCAAAGAACAAAUCCUUGGAGUACAAGUAAAUUAAGUACAUAUGUGUAAGAAAUAAAAUAUUUGGUACUUAAGAAAGAACAGGACUUGGCUGCUGAUUCUUUUAGCAGCCAAGUUCUAUACCCUAAGAAAUCCUAUUUAGAAUAUCCAACAUUCAUGAAGGAAUAAAUAAGUUAGUAAAUAAUAUUUUUAAACUACACCUACUUCAGUAAUAAUCUCUCUAAAGUUAUAAAAUUUGUUUGCUCCCAGCUUUAUGGGCUUUACUACAUAACAUAUUAAUGCGUGAAGUACCCAUCUUUCCAAUCACUUUUUGUCAUUGAUCACCACUUCGUUGGUUUAAUUUAUUAUUGCUAAAAUAACCCAAUUUCUAAGAUACGGUAUUAGAAAAGACAAUCAAAAACCUAAUUUGGAAGCAAAAUACAAUAAUAUAAGGUAUUUUGUUUGUGAAUGCAAAAUCCAAACUUGUUUCUAAUUUGAAAACCACCCUUGAACAGAGACACAUGUAUUUUUAAAAUGUAUAUAACAUGAAAAGUAGACGGCGAAAGCGAGGGUUUCUCAGAGAAGCAAACAGAUCAUAAGGUCAAGAUUCGGCAAACAAUCCUAAUGGUUUCCCAUGAAUAGCUAGGGCGGGCCCCCGUUUCAUGUGGAGGCUAACGACAUUCGAAGGUUCGCAGUAGGAUUCCCUUGACUCGUUUUUGCUUGCUGGGCACGAAGCUUCAACUAUAUAGAAGCGUACAAGUUUCAGUCAAGCUCCUCCUUCUUUCCAAACCCUCUGUAAAAAGGUGCAAAGAAUAUUUUGCAGAAGAUUAAUUACUUCAAUUGCUACUAAGAGACUUUAUACAAAGAGAGAUCUUGCCGAAGAAGUAACCUAGCCUACAUUCUAGGUUUUACAAAUAUUCACAAAUCAAUUACAAACAAUUUACAAAAUAGUUUCCUAAAACUAAGCCAAGAUAUCAAGAAUGAUAUCAUUGACUUCUCAACACUCCCCCUCAAGUUGGAGAGUGGACAUUGAGAACUCCCAACUUGUGAAUGAUAUUUGAGAAAGUUUCCUUCCCUAAUGGCUUCGUGAGUACAUCUGCAAGUUGAUUGGAAGAAGGAACAAAUCUCGUAACAACUUAACCAUCUUGUAUCUUGUCCCGGAUGAAGUGACAGUCCAUUUCUAUAUGCCUAGUUCGCUCAUGAAAAACUGGGUUAGCAGCAAUGUGAAGAGCUGCUUUAUUGUCGCAAUGGAGCAGAGCCGGUCUUUGAUGUAGUAUACCUAGGUCUUUCAAUAAAUAUCGUAGCCAUGAUAAUUCACAACAAGUUCCAGCCAUGGCUCGAUACUCGGCCUCCGCUGAUGAUAAAGACACAGUCUUUUGUCUCUUUGACUUCCAAGAAAUCAACGAAGAGCCCAAAAAAAUACAAUACCCUGUAGUUGAUCUUCGUGUUGUUGGACAACCUGCCCAGUCCGAGUCACAAUAUGCAUUUAAGACCAAAUCAUUCUCAGAAGAGAAGAACAAACCUUGUCCAGGUGUAUUCUUGAUAUAUUCAAAAUCUGAAGGGCUGCUUCCAUGUGUGGUGUGCAGGGCUCAUGCAUAAACCUACUCAACACAUGCACGGAAUAGGUUAUAUUUGGCCUAGUGAUUGUUAGGUAUAUCAGACGCCCCACCAAUCUUCUAUAUUUUGUCAGGUCUUUGAGGAUUGCACCAUUGUCUGAUAACUUAAGAUUCUGUUCCAUGGGAAAUUCGACGGGGCAAGCUCCCAAAAGACAUUCAUCUUUCAAUAUUUCUAAAGCAUACUUCCGUUGGGAAAUAAAGAUCCCUUUCUUAGAACGUGAUACUUCAAUCCCAAGAAAGUACUUCAAAUUGCCAAGAUCCUUGAUUUUAAAAUGACCAUUAAGGAACCGUUUAAGGGCAUUGAUAACACUCGAAUCAUUACAUGUAAUCAAAAUAUCAUCAACAUAAAUUAGGAAGGCUGUAAAAGACUUGCCUUGUGUCUGGGUAAACAAAGAGUAGUCAGCCUUGGAUUGUACAUAACCAGUGGAUUGAAUCGAGUCAGAAAACUUUGCAAACCAUUGAUGAGAAGCUUGUUUCAACUCAUAUAAAGACUUGCUAAGGCGACAAACCAAGUUCUCCCCAUGUCGCCGAAGACCUGGAGGAAGAGUCAUAUAAAUUUCUUCAUGAAGGUUACCAUGAAGAAAAGCGUUGUUAACAUCUAGUUGAUGAAGAAACCACUGCCGGGAAGCAGUAAGAGCCAAAAAACACCGAACCAUGACCAUUUUGGCAGUGGGAGAAAACGUGUCAUGGAAAUCAACACCUUCAAGCUGGGUAUAGCCCUUGGCAACCAAACGUGCCUUAUAAUGCUCAAUGGAGCCAUCAGAACGAUGCUUAAUCUUGUAAACCCAACGGCAACCAAUGGUAGUUUUGCCACGAGGAAGAGCAGUAAGAGACCAAGUGCGGUUAGCUUCCAAUGCCUCUAAUUCAGAAGCCAUGGCAGCUUGCCAAUGAGGAAAACGAGCAGCUUCCUCAUAACUCUGGGGUUCAACCUGUUGAGUAAUAUGGGCAAGGAAAGAUUGUUGUGCAGUUGAGAAACGAUGGUAAGUAAGGUAAUUAGCGAGUGGAUACCGCGUACCUGGAGUGGGACCAGACGACGAAGACGAUGGAGGAAGAGGUUAGGUAAGCUUGAGAGUAAGACAAUCAUAAUCACGUAACUUGGGUGGCGGAGAAGAAUGACGGCUAGAGCGACGGAGCACCGGGGUAAGAGCUGGCGCUGACAGGGUGAGGUCAGGAACGGUAGAUGCAAGAAGUGUUGCAGGCGCAGGAGAUGCGGCAUCAGCGGAAGGGGAUGACUCAAGUGGAAUCAUAGGGUCAGAUGGGUGGAUAACGGAGGGUGACACGGGACCAAGUAAGUGAGGUGAAAUAAGUGGUGUAGGUGAAGAUACACGUUGAUGGGAAGAUGGAAAAGGUGAGGUUUGAUAAGGAAAUAUAUUUUCAUGGAAGACAACAUCACGACUGGUAAAGAUUUGGUGAGUGGUGAGGUUAUACAGUUUGUAGGCUUUCUGACCAAUGGGAUAUCCUAUAAAAAUGCACUUGUGGGCAUGAGGAGAAAAUUUGUGAGUAACAUUGACGAUAGUGGCAAAAGCAAGGCAACCAAAGACUUUAAGGUGUGAAAAAGUAGGAGGUUUAGAAUAUAAACGUUCAAAAGGCGUUUUCUUGGAAAGAAUGGGUGUGGGAAGACGGUUAAUGAGAUGAACGGCUGUGAGUACACAUUCACCCCAAAAAUGGAGAGGAAGAUUAGCUUGAAAACGCAAGGCACGGGCGGUUUCAAGUAUAUGUCGAUGCUUGCGUUCUACGACCCCAUUUUGUUGAGGCGAAUAAACGCAAGAAUGUUGGUAAAUCACUCCAUGAUCUUUAAAGAAAUCACGAAGGGAAAAAAAUUCCCCACCAUUGUCAACACGGAUUUGACGAAUAGAAGUAUUGAAUUGAGUUUUGACAAAAGAAAAAAAAUUCUUAAGAAUAGAUUGUGUUUCAUUUUUGUGUUGCAUAAGGAAAAUCCAUGUGAAGCGAGAAUAAUCGUCUACAAUGGUUAAAAAAUACUUGGCUCGAGAAGUAGAUGCAACUUUAAAGGGUCCCUAGAUAUCACAAUGAAUCAAAACAAAGGGUUUAUUAGAAGAAAUAGAAUUAACAUUAAAAGGUAAUCGAUGUUGCUUGGCUAAAGGACAAAUAUCACAAGCAUUAUUAGAUGCAAAAAGGAAAUGUAACAAUUGUUUGGACAUGAAAUCUAAACGAGGGGCUAACAAGUGACCCAAACGCCGAUGCCAUAGCUCCGUAGGUGAAAGCACAAGGUUGCAGAAUCGCCGAGGAUGCUGAGGCCGCGCAAGAGCCAAGGCUACCAAGUAGUACAGCCCGCCUCUUCGCUUACCCAAACCAAUCACUGUCCUUGUCGUUAGGUCCUGCAUAACACACCAAGAAGGAAAAAAUGUUACUGAACAAUGUGAUCCACUCGUAAUACGACUUACUGACAUCAAAUCUACUUUAAAGGUAGGCACACAUAGCACAUCUUGCAAUCUAAAAGUAGAACUCAAAGGAAUGUGACCAAUGGAAAGUAUGUGGGCUUUCUCUCCACUGGGUAACAAAACAUGAGACAUUUGCUCAUUUUUAACACCAUUAGUAAGCAAUUCUGGUGAGGAAGUGAUAUGAUCCUUUGCACCACUAUCGAUUAUCCAUCGAUGGAGAUGCAAAGAGGGAUUCAACAAACCUGUCUUAGCGGUAUUGGCCUGUGGUUGUUCAUCACUGCCCUGACCAUUCAUGAUGUGAAGAAUCUAUUGGAACUGGGCAUCAGAAAGCCCAGACAUGACUGACUGCAUCUCCUCUUUGGUGGCUGCAUUUUUCGUGACAUGAUUCGUCGAGGAAGAACCCCGCUCCUUCUUAAGACGAUGGUUCCCUUUCUGUGGUUUAACCUUAUGCAAACGAUGGCCUGGUGGAUACCCAUGGAGUUGAUAGUAGGUAUCAAUGGUAUGGUAAUCUUGAUCGCAAUGAGUACAAUGCAAAGGUUUGCGAUUAGAAGACUUUGAACCACUUUGACGCACAACCAUGGAUGCUGUGCCAGUAGUGACUCGAGAAGAGGCAAGGCUUCUUUGCUUCUCCUCUUGGGAAAUUGAUGCAUAGGCUUGACGAACAGUUGGAAGAGGGUUCAUCAACAGAAGCUACCCUCGAACAGCACUAUAGGAGUCAUUAAGUCCCAUGAGAAACUGCAUCAACUUGUUCCUCUCAUUUUGUGCUCCACAAGUGCAAGAAAUGGAAUCACUGUAGGACGACAACUCAUCCCAUAAGCUUUUCAUCUUCGUGUAAUAUGCAGCAAUAGAGAGUUGAUCUUGUGUAAGCGAAGAAAUGUCCCGUUAUAGUUGAAAAAUUCGAGGAGCAUUACUUUGACAAUAGCGCUCGCGCAAUUCCUCCCAAAUUGCAUGAGCGUCAGUCAUAUAAAGGAUACUGUCAGCAAUAUCCGAGUCAAUGGAAUUAAUAAUCCAUGCUACAAUCAUGUCGUUGCAUCUCUGCCAUGAAGCGUGAUCGUCCGGCUUGGUCUUGACAGAAGGUUGCAUGACAGUGCCAUUAAGAAAGCCAAGUUUGUUUUUGGCACUGAAAGAGAUCUUCAUAGCACGAGACCAAGUUGAAUAAUUAUCUCCAUUCAAGGGCUUCGAAACCAGCAUCAUGGCUGGAUGAUCAGAAUGAUGAAUAAAAAAGGGUUGGAAACAUUAGCCUUUGUAUCGGAAUUGUUUCCAGAAACAACGUCGGUGGCCAUGGCAAACAACGGAAAAGAAUAUGCGAAAAUAACAGAGAAAAAAGGCAGCGGAAGGAACUAGGUUUUCAGCCUAGCUCUCGAUACCAUGUAAAAAGGUGCAAAGAAUAUUUUGCAAGAUUAAUUACUUCAAUUGCUACUAAGAGACUUUAUACAAAGAGAGAUCUUGCCGAAGAAGUAACCUAGCCUACAUUCUAGGUUUUACAAAUAUUCACAAAUCAAUUACAAACAAUUUACAAAAUAGUUUCCUAAAACUAAGCCAAGAUAUCAGGAAUGAUAUCAUUGACUUCUCAACACCCUCUCCCUUAAUUAAUUUGCUCUUUAUUUCUUGCUUUUCUUGCUUGCUUGGAUUUUGGGUUUUGCGGCUUUGUUUCUUUUUAGAGAGAGAGAGGAUGAAGUGUAGUAGUGAGUUUUCUUCCAAACCGGACAGGAAGACAGUGGAGAGAAACAGAAGAAUUCAAAUGAAAAGUCUCUGCUUCAAGCUUGCUUCACUUGUCCCUCCCCAACACUUAAAAACCACCAACUCCAAGGUAAAUAUAGAUCAUUGGGAAAUUUUAUUAUAUAGUACUACUAUAAGUUCAAUAUAUAUAUUAUUCAACUAUAUGUAUAUAGUACUAAUAUACGUUCAAAUAUAUAUAAGCACAGUACUAACAUAUAUGUUAAAAAAAUAUUAUAUGUAAUUAAUUUACCUAUAUGUAAAUUUAUGAUUAGCAAAUAAUAUAUAUUUUGUAGGUAAAUUAAUAAUGAAUCAAAUAACAUUCUUUUAUUUUGUAGGUAACUUAUUUUUCAUAUAUUAUUACAUAUAUUUGACACAUUUUAUUAUUAUAAGAUAUAUGUACAAAUAAUAGGUAAAUUAGAUUCAAAUCAAAUAACAUUGCUUUAUUUUGUAAGUAAAUUAAUUUUGAAUCAAAUAGCAUUCUUUUGUUAUGUAGAUAUUUUAUUUUGUAUGUAUCAAUAUCAUAUAUAUUUGGCACAUUUUAUUAUUAUAUGUACAAAUAAUAGGUAAAUUAGUAUUAAAAAAAUAAUAUUGUUUUAUUAUAGGUAAAUUAGUUUGCAUGUAUUUUGCAUAUAUUGUCACAUCCCGGCCCGAGCCCCUACCACAUCCCGGGCUUGACUCCACCAUAGCACGAUAUUGUCCGCUUUGGGCCCAGACCACGCCCUCACGGUUUUGUUUUCGGGAACUCACACGAGAAUUUCCCAGUGGGUCACCUAUCCUGGGAAUGCUCUCGCCCGAACUCGCUUAACUUCGGAGUUCCGAUGGAACCCGAAGCCAGUAAGCUCCCAAAAGGCCUCGUGCUAGGUAGAGAUGGGAAUAUACAUAAAAGGCUUACAGGAUCCCCUCCCAUAGGCAAUGUGGGAUGUUACAUAUAUGGGUUUGUUAUUAUGUAGGUAUAUUAUUUUUCAUGUAUUUUACAUAUGUUGGGUAUAUUAUUUUUCUUUUUUUAAACAAUCUAACAUUUUAAAAAUUUAAUAUUAGGUGCACUAUUUGAAUUAAAUGUUUUUUUUUGUAGGUAAAUUAUUUUGCCUAAAUUUUACAUAUAUUAGGCAUUUAUAUAUGUGUGUGUGUGUGUGUGAAAUAAUUUACCUAUAUUAAUAUGUAAAAUAUAAUUUUAUUGACUUAAUUAAGCAUGUAUAAUAACAUACUAGACAUGUUUUAUGUUAUUAUAUAUUAGGCAAUGAAUUUAUAACAGUAAUUUUUUUUUUCUUUCUAAAAUCAUUCAUUCUCCCUUACCAUCCAUAUGCAUGGCAUUAAUUAUGUACAUCAACAUUCAAAUAGGGUUUAUCAAAAAAAACAAAAAACAAAAAAAAAUCAAAUAGGGGUAUUUUAGGCAUCCGAAUUUUUUUAAAUGUGUGAAGUCAAAUAUAGUUAAUGAAUUUGCUGAUGUGGAAUCUAGUCAAUGAGUUUUAUUCAAAUAAAAAACUUAUGUCGGGUUUAAUGCGGAGAAAAUUAAGUUUUAGGGGUUAAAGUCAUAUUUUCAGUUUUUUGUUUUUUUGUUUUUUUUUUGUUUUAUCUGUACACCUAGCUUAAAAUUUAGAUAUAAAUUGUGUAUUUUACUCUAUGUUAUUUUGGUUACAAAUUAGGGUUUGGUUAUUGUAAAAGGAGGUAGAGAUCAGAAACAGUCAAUUAAUAUAUAUAAAAGUAAAACCAUAAACGGGACGGAAAUGAAAAUGAAGAUUGUGUAUUGUGACAAGAUUAGUUACAAGGAAAUGAAUUGUGUGUCAGAGAGAGAGGGAGUAGCGGCACAUGUAUGUAUUAGGUUUUUUUUCUUUCCAAAACGUAUGUAUUAGUUAAGUAAGUCAAAUUGACAUUCCUAGUCCAACUUAGAUUCAGUUGUAUAAAUAUACUUUAGCUUUCUAUAUAAUUGAUUGAUCUGGUGAAAUAUACGAAUAUUGGAGCUUUCGAUUUCCGUCGUUCUCUCAAGAGUUUUACCCUAUUUUUGGUUUUCUUCAUAUUGUUCUACAGGGACCAUCAAUGGAGGGACUGCUUCUUAGUUUUUGGGUUGGAAUAAAAUUUCCCUACAUUAUUUAGGACAUGUUAGUUUGUUAGUCUGAAUUCAAUAAUCUAGUAAUGUAACAUAUCAAAUAUUUAGGAUGAGAGAACGCUACUCCUUAACUAAAUAUAUUUCAAUAAAAAUCAAAUUUCAUUAUCGGCUUUAUUAAUUGCAAUAUGCCUUUCUCCCAUUGAUCAGGAUACCGUGUCACAGCAAAAUCAGCUUGAUACUGCGGCAUCCUAUAUAAAGCAACUGAGAGAGAGAAUAGAGAAUUUGAAGGAGAGGAAGGAGAAAGCAAUGUGGUCACAAUUAGGCAGUUCUAAUUCUGACGUUGGUGCUAUUGCUGCCGAAAAUGCCGUAAUGACGGGAUCAAGAUUACCAGUUCUUGAAUUAAGAGACUCGGGUUCCUGCAUAGAAGUUAUGCUGAUUAGUGGGUUGAAUAAGAACUUCAUGUUUUAUGAAGUCAUCCGUGUUCUUGAGGAACAAGGCUGAAGUUGUCAGCGCUAGCUUUUUCACUGUAGGCGAUAAAGUUUUCCACUCGAUGCAUGCUCAGGUACUAAAACAAUCAUCCGAGAAGCUAAUAUCGUCUAAUCCUUUAUUUUGAUCUUAAAAAAAAUGUACUAAAACAAUUAAGGUCAUUAUGAAAUGGACUUAUCAAUUUUAUUUUGGCAUAAUCGGAUAAAUGGUCCCCGUGGUUACAAGGUAUUCAGAAGAUAGCCUCUGUGGUAAAAAAAUUCGGAUUUAAACCCCUGUGGUCUAAGUCUGUUAGGAUUUACGCCCGAAAUUAGAACUUCUGUCAUUCCUCCGUUAGUAGCUUGUAGGUGGGUCUCACAGGUAAGACUAAGGUGGUCAUUUCAUCAUUUCCAUUUCAUCUCUUCCAUUGAUCUCCUUUCAGAACGAUCAUGAUGGCCACAACCGCACCGCCAAACUUGUUGUCGAUGUCUCCUCUUCCUCGCCACGAAAACAAAUCAAAAUCUUUCAGACCCUCAAAUGGUUACACAUCUUCCUCAAACCCUCUUCAAAAACCCCUAUGUUAUCUCCAAAUUCGGGCCUUUCUCGUGCCCAAUUUUGUGUCUCCGACUCUCUGGCCACACCCGCCAUCACCGGAGUUGCGGACAAGAACGCCAAGAUUAACAAGUAAUGCGAAAUGGGUAAUCUGAAAUCCGCCAUGGAAAUGGUGUCGGGGGCUCAAAAAUCCAAGCUUGACUUGGAGGCUUACUGCUCAGUUGUGGAGCUAUGUGCUGGAAUGAUGUCGCUGCAAGACGGAAAAAGGGUUCACUCAAUUGUCUGUGACAAUGGUGUGGAAGCUAAUGGGAAACUGGGUGCAAAAUUUGUGUUUAUGUAUGUAAGGGAUGAAAUGGAAAUGAUGAAAUGAUCAUCUUAGUGUUACCCGUGAGACCCACUUGCAAGCUAUUAAUGAAGGUAUGACAGAAGUUCUAAUUUCGGACAUAAAUCCUAACAGACUUGGACCACAGGGGUUUAAAUCCGAAUUUUUUUACCACAGAGGUUAUCUUCCGAAUACCUUAUGACCAUGGAGACCAUUUAUCUGAUUAGACCUUUUAUUUUUUAUGCUUCUUUGUAGGUCAAAAUUUCUAGAGAUGGAGUAGACAAUUCAACGGUAUGGCAGAGACUACAGGAUUUGUUGUACUGAGUAGCUAGCUUUACCUCUUGAAAACUGAAGAUUUAUAAAUAAUGUUUUAGCAACUGCAUCAUGAAAGAGCUCCGGAAGGAGAGGCUUAAUUAGGAUAUAGAAACUGAUGUUCCCUGUUUCCUGGGCGAGCCAUUGAGUUAAUAAUUAACGAAUCUAUUAAUAUAUACAGAUGUGAUCUGGUGUUAACUUUUUGUUUAUUGUCCCUUUUCUAAAUUGGUCUCAAAGUAUUGAUUCUUAACCAUCUUUUUAGAAAAUAAUUAGAUAAUUUCAUGUUUAUACACAAGAUUACACAUAGAAUAGAGGGUGUUGAAUCCUUAAUGAUGCUACAACAGCAUAAUAUUCUCUCUCAUGGAAUAAGGAUUAAUUAAUGAUCAUAAACAAGUUUCAAACUCGCAUCUAUAUAUCGUCAUUGCCUUACAUUAAUAGAGGAAGUGAAGGUUAGGGUUUUGAGAGGAGGAACGUGGUUGGAGACAAUGGCGUAGCCACCCACAAGGCUAAGGUGGGUUGUAGCCCAGCGAGGUUUUCUGUAAGAGUAGUACUAUCUAUGCACUCAUUUUUACUUCUCAUAUACCCUUCUCGAUUUUCGGUUGUUCAAAUUGAAUGAGUUGGAGAUGAUCAUUGACAGAUAAUUAAUAAGGCUAUGUUGGAAGUACAAAUGGGUUUGCGAAUAUAACUAUUUUUUUGUAAAAUCAUGUUUAUAGCUUACCCAAUUUCAAUAGAGAUUAUUAUUUAAUGUAUAUUUUAUAGAGGUUAGGUAAUAAAUAAUACGUUUUAUGCUAAAAAUUAUAAAUUAAUUCUAUCUCCAGCCCCUCUUUAUCAUAUUCUUUAAAGAAAAGACCAUUUACCCUAUGUAAUUUAGCCUUUGUGCUUUUUACUCAAGAAAAGAAAAAUAAUUUCUUUAAAUCCAUAAUUAAAUCCUUAUCUCCGCAAUUCCUUAAUUUCCGUUGCGAUUUUCCAAUAAAUGUCACAUUUGGUACUUUCUUAAUCUCUAUAUUUACUUAUUCUUGAUUUAAUUAGUAGGUUAAUUAUUUAUAUGGUCCAUGAAUUUAUCGGUUAGGGUUAUGAUUUUGAGAAUAGUUUAUAUUAUAUUGUUGUUCUUUUGUAUUGAUUAUUAUAUAAGUUUAUAUAAGCAAAAAAUAAACAUAUGAUUUUAUAGUACUAUUUUUAAUUAGCCCAUCCAAAGAAAAAAUCCUAGCUCCACCCUUGGUUGGAGAGAAGAAAGGCGAGCUAGGGUUUUGGGUUUGUGCAGCAGAGAGGCAAACCUAUACCAUUUAGAAAUAGGGAACUUUAACGAAAAGCACCCGGUACUGUUCACUUUAACGAAAAACCACAUUUUUAUACUAAAAAGUCAAUCCUGGUACUAUUCACUUUACCCUUUAUUUUGUCCUUAUCAUUAAAACUCAAAGUUUUCAAGCCCUUUUCAUUAGUUUUCCUUUAGAAAUAUGUGUAACCGUGGUGCAAACGUCCAUUAUCUAUAAACAAAGGGAGCACCCAAAAUGGUGAAGCAUUCAAAUACCAUAUAUUGUCUGUCCCUCAUGAAUUCAAAAUUUGCAAUUGAAUUAAAAAGAGUUAGCCAAAGGCGAAUUUGAACCAUAUUAUUGCUAGCUCAUUGUAAGGCUUAACCUACUCCCCCACCCUCAUAGUGUAGAUAAUAUCGCUUGUUAAAAAAAAUAAAAAUUCAACACACGUUGAUUUUGAUGAUUUAAACUUUAAAAAUUUAGGAAAAAAAUAACAAAAAUAGAAAACCCCCAUUAGUGGGUGGUUUAUGAUUUGUGACAUCCUUUCCCAAGAUUUAUCGUAUUUUAUUAUCAGUAGUAGUGAAAUUAUCAAAAUGCCCCUGAGAUGCCACGUAGGCCUUCCACGUGGAACUCAAUUUUCCUUUCACUUUUCCAGUCUUAUUUUACUAUUUUCAAAUAGUACUUAUUUUUACGAACACGUGGUUGCAGACGGAACUCAAUUCGGAGUUAUAACGAACAAGUUAUGUUCGAAACUGUGUAAAAAUACGUACUUAAGGCAAAUCCUAAACUUGGAAAUUUCCCACAUGCAACGCACAUCCUUGUUGGAACAUUAUUGAGUGUUGAGUGGGUCUUCGUGCAAUGGGUGGACCCUUGCAAUUCUUAUUUCCUAGAUAAAAACUCACCUAAUUCUAAACAUCCAAAUAAAAUCCAAAUUUGAAAAAGAUUGCCAAGUAGAAAAGUAAUUGACCUAUUAUUACAAAGGUCGUAGCUUUCGAAACAAAGGUCGUAGCUUGCCCAAAUGUAUAUCCUUUUUUGGCACCCUCAACACCUUCUCUACAUCGGCCAGCUCUCGCCCAGGCAGUUUGAUGGUGCCUUGGGUCACUGCAUGAAAAAAAAUGUUAGAAGCAAGUAGAAAUCACAACAAAUAGCAAACAAUGCGAACAAUGGAUGCAUUACAACCUACAGUCUAGAAAUGAGUAGGAACACAUCGCUCAGGUGUGACACCCCUAGCAUGCUCUUAAUCCUUAUAAAGAAGGCACCAACGGUUUUUCCAAGUACAGUACGCCUUUUUCUUACCAAAGACAAUACGCUCCCUCUCACUUCGACACGCACACUCGGCAUAACCAGUGCAUAACUUCACUGGACACAUCUUAUAGCAAUAGCACCACUGAUGGAAGGAAGGCUCACAUAACCCACACUUCAUCCAAAUAAUAUAAAACCCGAUCAAGGUCUCCCAAAAACCAGGGUUGAGUUGCCCAGGUGCAUAUCCAAUGAGAGAUAGCCUAUGUUGCAACUAUGGGUGCAAGGGUAGCUUCACCCCUAAUAAAUUCACUAGUAUUUGGGUGUAGAACAUGACGUGACCCUUGGGCAGCUCAGUGAGCAAUUCUUCAUAACGCACCAAGCACAUUCCUACACUACAGGGUAUGCUACAUGACUGCCUUAGGGCAUCAAGUUGUUCUUCGCUAUCUAACAAGUUUUUAUCUAAAUGGUCCGUUGGGAACUCAGAGCGAAAGAUGAGUAUUACGUCAAGAGCAAUCCCCUCACCCACCGACAUGAAUGAGGAAGAACCAAUAUUGGCUAAGGUUACAUCCUUCAACCUACACUCCUCACUUAUCCCUUCAUCGGAAGCCUCGGGAGAAAAACGUGUAAUGCAUGUUUGACGAUUAUGAAGAUCAUCCAAUGUUUCUUCUGUACAAGACUCUAACAAAGGCCCUAAAGAAUCUGACAUUGCAGGCUCAAACCUAGAGCUAGAGCUAGGGAAAGCCUCAUCACUAGAACCUCCAAGCUCUGACAUCUAUAACAAAUAGAAACAAACUCUAUCACAACGUGAAAGAUCGAAACCUAAGAAGUUCCUAGGGCAUGAAACAAAGCUCAACCAGUUCAUCAUGUUCUUAGCUAAAUGCAUGAAUACUCAAACAAUUCAACAAGAAUGAAAGCAUUUAAUCUAAUGGAGAAGACUACCAACCUGAAAAUGGUGCCAAGCACUGCCAGAAUCACUCCCAACUAGAGAGCACUUUGUCUUCAAAAAUCACUACAAAAUGAGCAAAUGAAGGCAAUGUAAAGAGUGGAAACUUAUCCUUCUUAUAUAGUUCAACAUGGCCAAAGAAAUUCAAAAUUUAAAUUCAAACCAUGAGAAAACCCCACAUGGAAAGUCUUCAAACUUCCACACAAGCCAGGGAGUUUCAAAUUCCAAAUUUCCAGUUUCCCAAAAAAAAAAACAAAUAAACAAAAAAAAAGGAGUUUUAACGAAAUACCCGCGGUACUGUUCACUUUAAUGAAAAACCACAUUUUUAUACUAAAAAGUCAAACCUAGUACUAUUCACUUUACCCUUUAUUUUGUCCUUAUCGUUAAAACUCAAAGUUUUCAAGCCCUUUUCAUUAGUUUUCCUAAAAAAAAAAGGGAAACACAACAACUUCAUCAAUGGAGGGCAACUACAAUUCUUAAAAGCUUCACACACUCUUGAUCAAGAUAGUGUGAAGCAAAACCCAUUUAUGGUGCCAACAAAUAUUCAUCAAUAGAGGGCAACCACAAUUCUCAAAAGCUUCACACACUCUUGAUCAAGAUAGUGUGAAGCAAAACCAAUUUAUGGUGCCCAACAAAGCUUCAACAAAUGUAGGGCAACUAUAAAUGUCAAAAGUUUCACACACUCUUGAUCGAGAUAGUGUGAAGCAAAACCAAUUUAUGGUGAUCAACAAAAAGCUUCACUUACAAAGCUUGAACAUAAAAGCUUCACCUACAAAGCUUCAACCACAAAGCUUCACCUACAAAGCUUGAACAUAAAAGUUUCCCCUACAAAGCUUCAACUACAAAGCUUCACCUACAAAGCCCCAACAUAAAAGCUUCACAUACAAAGCUUCAACCACAAAGCUUCAACUAUCCAAGCUAGGUGCCCAAACAAAAACCUACAACCAAAAACCUACAAUCAAUAAACCCACACCCAUUACACUACAACAUACAAUAAACUAAAAAAUCACAAAACCCAAGAUUCUCUUGAAUAUGUACAAUAACACAUGUUUAAACAUAAACGAUUUUUGUUUACAUCCACAAGGUCCCUAUCAUAAACAGACAUUCAUGUCCUAUUAACAUUGUUGAUGCACAAAAUCAAUGGGGAUUUUGCUACAACAGAAAGUGUUAAGUUUGUAACCUUUGCUAGAUUGCUCCGGUCACAAGUGUGGAUAAAUAUGCAAAUGGAUAGAGACAGAGAAGCAAACGCAAGAUGUACGUGGUUCACCCAGAUUGGUUACGUCCACAGAGUAGAGGAGUUCUCAUUAAUUGUGAAGGGUUUACACAAGUACAUAGGUUCAAGCUCUCCUUUUGUGAGUACUAGUGAAUGAUUUAGUACAAAUGACAUUAGGAAAUAUUGUGGGAGAAUGAUCUCCUUUUAUAGAAGAGAGUUUCUAGCUUUGUUCUUACAUUGACACAUGUCGUGUUAUGAUUAGCUUUUGAUGUUAACACAUGUCACGCUAUGAUUGGCUUCUGAUGUCAACACGUGUCGCGCUGUGAUUGGCCUCCUGGUUGGAGGGAAACUCUUCUGGGUCUUUAACGGUAUAACGUUGACCGGUGCUUAGUAGUUUCGGGAUUGAUCAAGUAUGGUAUAAACAAACAUGAUAGCUCCUUUUUUAAUAUUAUUAUUCCUAUGUAUGUGAUAUUGCAUACCACUACCAGAAAACGUGAUAUCACACAUACUUCUAUUAUAUAUAUAUAUAUAUAUAUAUGAUUUCAAACAGAUUAUAAUAGAUUAAAAACAAGUCAAAAUUCCAAGUUCAAUGGUGGACAAAAAUACAAGAAAUUCACCAAUAGUGAAGGUGCUACAAAAACUUAAAUCUUCUCUAGACUUUUAAACCUCAACAGCGACAAGGGUAAGCUUCCAAGCACCAAACCCCUUCACAGUCACGACAAAACCUAAUUUUCAGGAACAAACCCAGACAUUCUGUUAUCCGCAAAGCCCUGCUACCCAAACUCUCGAAGCUUGUAGAUCACAAAUGGCACCCAAGUCAGCCACAUACGAAGGCCUUUUGCAACUCACAACCUUCCUCUGAACUUCUGCGACCUACAAAAGCUUCAACAACAGUCUAAUCAACAACCCCUUGUCUGGAAAAACUCACGAAAAAGAUAAGAGCAUCUUUAUCUUCUUUUUCAACUCAUUGUUUAUUACUUUAAUAUUAUGUUGACUAAAAGCAUAUCACAUACACACCAUUUUAAUCCAUUAAACACAUGGGUAGGCUGAUCACAUUCACCUAAAACCCUAUUUAAUCCAUACACCCACUACACCAUUUAUAUUACUAUUGUUAUUAUUACAUGACAAUUGCUAAUCACGUGGCAUAGACUGAUCACAUCACAUACCUGAUUCUCACAAUUAUUAUUUUAUUUGACAAAACCAGUUCUAUGACUUGUCUUCUUGUUAAAUAAAAUGCCGAUACACAAAUAAAUUAUUAUUUUAUAAUUUUUACUAAUGUUCUAUUGAUAUAACAGUUUUAUCAUGGGACAUGGCAACCGUACCACAUACAUUCUAUGGAACCAAAAUUAUUGAUCGAUGAGCCAUGUGCUUAUUUUGACAACUGGGCUACUAGCAAGACACCUCAUUCGGCAAUUCUUCUGGCCUGAAGAGUUGGGGGACUUCCACUAUAUGCUACUACACCAUGGUACUCGAUAGUUUUGUGACUACUCAAUGACUUAGAUCUUUGACUUAGAUCUUUCAAGUCCCCAACCGAGAAGCUUUCCUUUCUCAGGAAAUUAAGGGAGCACUGUGGCAACCUAAAGGCUUCACCCAGAAAGCUUCAACAUACAAGCUUUAACAAAAAAAAAAUUCAAAAGCUUAGUGAAGUAUGCCUUAGUGUAUUUAACACAAUACAUUGAAUGAAAAAAAAGCUUAUUCAUUGAUAUCUUCGAUAAAUUACAGCUAUGUGCAUACACAUGAAUCAAAACAAACAAACAGGAAUGAGUCUUCACAAAAGUUGUUCAUGAGAAGCCUCAGGACUCGGCAAAGCCCCAAAAAGAGAAGGCACCAGAGAGUGAUUAUUUGGAGCCUCAGCACUAGGCAAAACCCUAGAAAGAUGAGGCACCAGAGGUUGAUCAUUUGGAGCUUCAAUACGUGGUAAUGCUCUAAAAGACUGAGGCAAUAAAUGCCUUUGGAACAAACCCACAAACCUUUGGUGAUCACUUAAAAUCUAACUCUCGGAUUCCUGCAGCCGGUCAAGCUUCAUAUUCAUGCUCGUGGAGUAGUUAUGUGCAAGUGUGUGCAACUAUCUAUUUUCAUGCUUGAGCCCUCUAAUUUCUUGUUUGAGACUUGCCACCUCAAUCGUCAAUGAUUCAACUUGGCGGGUUCGAGCGAGUAAGCGCUGACCCAUAUUGGAUACAGAACCCGUGCAUUGAACACUAAGAGACAGAGAAUCCUGAACAGCCAACACAUUGGACCGUUUGGAAAAUAUCAUGUUAUCUUUGGGAGUGAGAAGAUUCUUGGCCACCACCAUAGCAGUAAUGUCAUUCUUCAUCACAGAGUCCCCAACGGUAAGAGGACCAGUAGGGGAUAAGAAGGAUACGUACCAUAUGUUGUCUUGAGGAGACAUGGAUGCCUCUUCCACAACAUUCAAGUCAAAACGACGGUCAAAUGGGCAAGCCAUUUCAGAAAUGAUGAAGGAAAAAUAAGGUCCAAUAAAUCUCAGAAGUACAAAAGUAGGGGGAAAUUUCUAUGAGCAGUAACUUUCUGAAUGUACUUCCUGAACACAAUUGGUGCCCUAAUAAAAGAAAGGGCAAUAGUACUGCUUGUUCAAAAAUUAAAGAGGCACCGCUCUCUGAAUUUUGAGAGUCAGAUUUCCCUGGAUAAAACUUGUCUGCAAUCUACAUACGUUGCAGCCUUCCGGAUACCACGGGUAACUUUGCCAAAUAUCUCUGACAAAGUUAAGACACGUGAAUUUUGAAGGUCCAGCUACCAUACUAUUACCCACCAGGGUAAAGGAACAACACCACUACUUGCUAAUUAGAAAAUCCCUAGAUGUGUCGACCUCCGUCCUCUGUGGUCAAGCAUACUUACGAGUAUACCUAAUUUUUCCUCAUCUCCAAGAUUGCGUCUUCAACAGAUUUGCUUGUUCAAAAAUCGAAGAGGCAACGCUCUCUGAAUUUCGAGAGCCAGAUCUUCAACAGGGUUGUUUGUUCAAAAAUCGAAGAAGCAUCAUUCUCCGAAUUUUGAGAGCCAAAUUUCCCUGAAUAAAAGUUGUCUGCAACCUUUACACGCAACAUCAGCUUUUUGGAUACCAUGGGUAAUUUUGUCAAAGAUCCCUAACAAAGUUAAAACGCGUAAAUCUCGCAGCUCCCACUACAUCGUUAUGACCAAGAAGGGUAAAGGAACAACAUUACUACUUGCUGUUGGGAAAAUCCUUACAUAUGUCGACCUUCAUUAUCAAUUGCCAGGCAGACCUGCAAAAAUGCCCAACCCUUCCUUACAUUCGAGAGGGAACUCCCAACAAAACCUCUCGAAAUACUCAGCUAUUUUUCCCACCGAUAAUACCUCUGCAAACAAGUCACACUAAAGCAAGAGCAUCUCAUAUCAUCAGGGUCAAAAGCAAGAGUAUCCAAUAUCAUGUUUUUUCCUUAUCUUUUCCUUUGCCCUUGCUCUUACAUGCAAGACAAGGAGAAAGAAAACAAUCAGUCGGAACCUAAAAUCAAACUUCCAAUUUGGAACAAAUUACCCGGAACCUUUGUCUGGUUGCUUACCUAGCAUUACUCUCGAGUACUCAUCCUCAACUGUUGUCAAGGUCACAAAUUCCUUAGGCAAAUACCUCGGAACCAUUCAAAUGCAAAUGUUACUCACCAUUUAUGCUAUGCAAAAGAUUGAAGUAGAGGGUUUAAUGAUGAGCUGGAACAUGUCACUACAGCACAACGCCUUUCUUGCAGAACUGUAUAAUCCAGACGGAUGAGUUUAAGUCAAAUCCAAACUCGGCACCGCCGCCUUAUUUGAAUAGCUCGAGAAGCUUCAACAACUUUUUGCUGGCACUGUCGUCGAAGAGCAAAGUCUCACCAUACCACAUCCACUACUUUGUCAACAACAAAAGUAUCACAUGUCAUCAGGGUCGAACGUACUCUAGAUUUGACGGACUUGUUUUGACCCUCAAAUUCUUGAGUCAGCUCACUUCUUUGAAGGAAACUAGAAAACCCUCCAACCUAGUUCAAGAAUAAGCCCGUGGAAAGUCAACAAGUACAACAAAACACGUGCCGAUUCAUCCGUUGCUCCUUCAAAAGCAAAAGUAUCUCAUAUCAUCUAUUCUCCCUGUCAUUUUCUUUGUCUUUGUUGCUGCUUGCAAAACAAGGAAAAGGAGAACAAUCAGCCAUAACCCGAAAUAAACUUCCGAUCUAAGACUAAUUACUAAGAACUCUAAUUGCUUACCUUGUCUGUCACCUCUUUCGACAAAUCUCCUAGCUCAGCAACUUGGGAGACUUCUACUAUAUGGUUUGUAUAACACUUGACCAAGCCCAAAACUACAAGUAAGCUUCAAGUGAAAAUGAUGCAUUACCUUGUGCAUCAACAUUAGUUAAAGAUACUACUCCUGGAUGAAGGACAAGUACCUCCAAAGAAGAUGCCACAUCUGCCUAGGGGAAAACUAAAGAGCAUACCACUUCUACUUAUGGGACAAAGGCAAGUGAAAAUGAUACCACAUUUCGGUACUUAGAAGUUUCGUGAUUACUCAGUGCCUUGGAUCUUACAAGUCCCCAACCAAAGAGCUUUCCUUACUCAGGAACUUAGGGGAGCAUUGUUUGUACCAUACUUGACCAAUCCUAAAACUAUUGAGCAUCAGUCAGCAUUAUACCGUCAAGGACCCACAAGAAUUUCCUUACAACCAUGAGGCCAAUCACAACAUGACACAUGUCAACAUUAGAGGCCAAUCACAGCACGACACAUAUCAAUGUCAGAAUAAAGCUAGAAACUUUCUUCUAUAAAAGUAGAUCAUUCUCCUACAAUAAUCCUUAAUGUUAUUUGUACAAUACUUCUCUUUAGAACUCACUUCUGAGGAGAUUGAACCUAUGUUUUAGUGUAAACCCUUCACUAUUAAUGAGAACUCCUCCACUCCGUGGACAUAGCCAAUCUGGGUGAACCACGUACAUUUUGUGUUUGCUUCCCUAUCUCUCCCUUCACAUACUUAUCCUUACUAGUAACCGAAGCAACCAAGCGAAGGUCACAAACUUGAUAUUUUCUGUUGUACCAAAGUUCUCGCUGAUUUUGUGCAUCAACAGCUUUUAUAUAUUAUGACGUGACAUGCCAUGUUUAGCUUUACAAAUAGACUUUUCGUACACUUUAUGUUUUUAAUAUUAUUUGUGAGCAUAAACUUGUGACAUGACAUCCUUGCGUUUUAUCUGCUCAUUAUUACAUGUUUGCACAAUGUCUCUUAGUUAUUUGUAUUGUCCUGGGCUAAGGACCAGUUUCACAUGUAGUUCAUAUGCACCAUUUACAUUUGCUUUGGAUCUAGAGUUAGGUGUCAGUUUGUCCUUUGUAUUGAUGUGUUAGACUCGUAUGUGAUGCGACUAGCGCAACUCACGUGAUGUAGUACUAGAAUGUAAAACCUACACCCAGCCUGUUCCAUUGUCUUAAUACCUCUGCAAUGGACUUGUAUGCCUACAUAAAUUAAUGAGCAUUGAUUUCUUAUGAUAUCGAUUUGAGAUUUAUUGUUGAGGAAACUUAUUAUUGUACCCUACAUCUUUUACAAAACUUUAUUUUCAGACCCACUCACCCUUAUUUUUGCCCUUCCAGGAUGUUAGUGGUAGAGGAUUUCGUGACAACGAGGAUUGUUGGCAAAAGCUGUUACAUAGGAGACUUCUCUUUUCAGUGUAAAUGUCAUUACUCUUCUUUUAUUGCAAUUUAUCUAUGCUUUGACAUCACUUGUGUGAUAUGGAUUCAAUCCCCACUCACAUGCGCACUCUAAAUUAGUCACUUUUAGGUUUUAAUUUAUUCACAUUUUUCACAUCAUUACACUUUAUGGCUUCGUCACCUUCGGGUGUCCAAGUGGACAUUCCCGAUCAGGGUGUGUCAUGAUUGAUUUCCAAUCUAUUUUCCAAUAUAUUUUUUAAUAAAAUAUAUAAAUAAAUAACCUAAAUUUGCUAGUUUAUUUUGUAAAAAAGAAAAAACAAAAACUUAAUUUAAUGUACAAAAGAAGUGAGUGACAAGAUGUUAGUAUAUAAUUAAGCAAGACUAGAUUUAGUAGGAUUCUAGCAGCGAUACUUACGACCAAAUUUUAGUAGGGAGAGAGAAACAAACACAGAACCUCGAGUGCCAAAGUAAUUUUUUUUAACUACUUGAACUACAAACCCCUUACAUACCCCCAUAUAAUACUUGAAAACGAUAUUAUAUUGGGGUUUAUGUCUCCCACUGUUUUUUUUUUUUUAAUCUAAGACAACAAUUAUGGCGUGCUUAAUGUGACCUCAACAUGAGGUGAUAAUUAACGAAUUUCUCAUGCUCUUGAUUUAAUUUUCCAUACAACCAAUCACUUUAGAACCCUGCUUAGUUACAAGCCCACUACAAAGCUCGACAUCUCCCACUAUUAUUAAUUUUUUUCUAGUUAUAAAGUUUAUGUAUAACUAAUCUGUUUUAAUGUGCUAAAUAAUCAUAUGAAAAAGUGUUUAUUUCCCUGUCUACCAUUAGGUUUAGUUUUUCUGCAACUAUUUUUAUUAUGGGGUAGACUCCUGAUUUAGUGCAUGUAUUAUCACUUGAGUGAAAAUUAGGCUCCUAAAUUAUUAUUAUUUUUGUAAAAUAAGUCACUAAAUUCAAUAAAAUUGCUAAUUUCAUCCCUACUAUCUUAUUCAAAAUUAUUUUAUCCAAUUUUUCAUCAACUUAACCCACAUGAUACAUUCUAGAGGGUAAUACCCUCAUUUUCUUGCUUAUACGCCACUAACGCCUAAUUUACUCUCAAAAGUUAACUUCAUACACAAUAUCUUUGAGAAAACAAAGUCCUUGGACUCAUGUAAAACUACCAAUCGACUCUUCAAAAUGUAACACAUGCUAGUCAUGUGACUUAAAUUAACGAAAAAUUAAAUAGAAUAGCUUAGUGUAAGGAUUAAAUUUUUCGUAUAAAUAAUUUAGGGACCUAAUUUUCACUCAGUCAAUCAUUUAAAAAGUAAAUCGGCAGUUCACCCUUUAUUUUAUAUAUAUAUAUAUAUAUAUAUAUAGUUUUGUACGUGUAAGUGUAAACACCUCAGCUGCAUUCCUGAUUUGUAGAGAAAAAUUACAGAUGUCCAAUAUAACCCGAACACUUUAUUUUCCAAAUUUUUUUGAGAAAAAAAUGAUAAAUGAAGUGUUUAUCCUUUAUUAUAUAAAAAUGUGAAAAUAAUAAUGAAAUUCUGACACACGUUUCAGCUGUCAGCAAAUUCUUCACUUAUCUCUCGAAUAUCUACUGAGAGUCAAAUUUAACAACAAAUAAUUUUGCUUCAGUAAGAUAUAUAUAUUUAUAGUUAGUCUUCUAUAUAGUUUAAAAUUUUUCUUUCUUACUAUUGUUUCUCCAUUACGAUUUGUCUACGAGUUAAAAUUAGGCACGGAUCUUCUUUGUAAUCCUGUACCCAAGUAGACAAACUUUUGUAGAAUCAAAACAUAUGUAAACCUACUUUCCACUGUCCCAAUGGCUGACUGUCUAAGUUGGACAUGCAAAACCAGUAGUACGUACGGCAGCAUGAGUGUUGAAUAGUUGGGCAAAUUUUGGAUAUGAGAGUCAAAUCAUAUAACACGCUUAGCUUCAGGAUUUUUUUUUUUUUUUUAAAUUUAACGAAAAGUAUCUGAUACUAUUUACUUUAACAAAAAAUCAUAUUUUUAAUUUAAAAAAUCAAUUCUGGUACUAUUCAUUUAUAACACAUUUUUGUCAUUUUCAUUAAAACUCGAAGUUUUUAUGUCAUUUUUAUUAAUUUUCCUUCUUUUCUUUUUUCAGCUAACCAAUGCAUGCGAAAUUUGAAUUAUUAGUUCUUGUUAUUUUCGUUAAAACUCAAAGUGCUUCCCAAACAAAGAAAACAACUUCAUUCUUGCCCGAGUGAUUUGAAUUGGGUUAUACGACAACGUAUAUUUGAAAAGAAAACAUUAAGUUUAAUAUACAUAUAUGUGUAAAAUAUACUUGUACGGACCAAAUGGCUACAGAGUUUAAUUGUUUAUCAAAAAAAAAAAAAUAGCGCGGUGACGCUAAAGAGUGGAUACAUACUUUGAGUCGUGGACAAUGUGAGAUUUUUUAGUAUGAUCGAAAUACGGGAUGGUACGUAGGAUAUGUGUAUUAAAAAGUUAAUAACUUAAAAAAAUAAAAUUUAUCACUACUUAUAUAAAAACAAGAGGUGUACCAUUUAUAUUCCGAUCACAAUGAAAAAUUUCUUGUGGACGAGGAUUUAAACCAAAGCUAGGGUCAACCUUCACAAAUACUCCUUCCAUGACGUUUGGAAACUAAAUGUGACACCAUUAACCACACCAUUUUGGCUUUUAUUUUUAUUUUUAUGUUAUGUUUACUUAUAUUGAUAUUGAUAUAUCUAUCGAUAAUUCUAUAAAUUUACAUAUCGAUGGAUAUAUCGAUAUCAAUAUUCGGUUGCCUUCGACAGGAAUUAUAGAAAUUUGCAAUGGGGGUGGGGGUGGGUAUAUCAACUCAUUUAGAUUUAGUCGAAAUUAGAGAGAAAUCUCUCCAAAAAAAAUCAAAAGUUCGAAAUAUGCAAUGAGUUUGAUCAAAUUUUUUCCAUAUCAACCUUAAUCUUUGAAUAUUUCGACGGAACUAUCAAUAAUUUUGUGGAUAUUUUAACACUGAUUUGAUAGCAAAUCUGUGGUCGUUGGAGAUGCAUCCACAUUGGAUCACUGCUGAAAAUACCAAAGGCAAGAACAAAAAUAUAUCUACAAAUUAUAUGGUCCCUUUUGGAGAUAUCAUCCUUCAAUGUUAUGUCGUAAUCACUCUUUCAAGCGAAAGCUUGAUAUUAUUGAGGAUCUAAGGUUGGUAAAUCUCUGCUUUUUAUAUCAGAAAUCUGCCAGACCACACCGUCCAUGUUAUAUAUGCCUCACAAAAUUAGCGUUGCUACAAGCUUCUAGAUAUGCUACAAUCACAAUUUUUUUUUUUUUUGUCAAAUAGUAGAUUUAUUAGAUUAGAGUAUUUUCAAAGAAGAAGUCAAACUCAAUAUACUAAAUUUCAAUUUGAUGGCUGACUUGAUAAUUUGACAUAUUGUCAAAAUUUUACUUCCACCCGAUAUGCCAAAUUUUAUUGUUUUAUUUAUGUUUUUUUUUAACAAAAAUAAUAAAGUUGGGUUGUUGUUGGUUAAUAAUAAAAUAAUACUUAAAUAUGCUAGCAUUUAAGGUAAGGUAAGUGGAAUGUCUUUGGAAAUAGCAAAAACUAUAUUUGAAGGUACUGUCAAUUUUGACAUCACUCUAUCCAUGUCAACUUAGCCUUCUUUUCCAUGUCAUCUUUGAUAUUUCAAUUGGAGUAAAUGGUACGUCAUUUGUUACUGUUAUAUGUCUAUAUGGCAUUUUUGACAUCUCCUUUGGAGAUGACCUUAGAUGUUAGAUUAAAGAGUCGACAUGGUUCAAACUCACGUCGUGGUGUAAGCCAAACGCUCAUCUCUACCACUAUAAUAAAAUGCCACUGCGAUGCAAGGACAACAUAAUUAUACAUAACUAAAUAUUUAGUUAUUUGAGCCUUCCGUUCUGCAGUUCAGUGGCACUCACCUUCUCUUAGAUAGGAUAUUAUAAGUUGAAUUCCAUGAAUUAUGAGUCUAAAAUUUAAUUAUGACCAAUACAUUGUGUGGUUUAACUUAAAGUUUCGUUCUCCAAUGCCAUUCAAUUAUAAACAUUAAAAAAAAAUUAAUUCUUUGCAACCUAAUGGGCUGGGCUGAGUCAAUCUACUGACAUCCAAUUCAUUGCUCGUGCUGCUCUGUUACUAUGUGAACCCUAAAGCACUGCAAGGUCUACAAUGAGGCCCAGUCCCACUUAGUAGAAUGGCAAGCCACAGCCCAUUGUGGAGGCUAUCAAUUUUGACAAGACAAAAUUCACUUACUCUGGAAUUUUUUCCGUAAUUAUAAAAAUUUAAUUUUUUAUUGUGAUUAUUUUAGGUUUCUUUUAAUAUAUGCAUUUUACCAAAAAUGUUGUAUCAGAUUAAUUUAAGAAGUCAUAUUUCUACACUAUUUUUGUUUUAACAACAAAAUAAUAAGAAAUAACAAAGCUCCUUAUAAACACAUAAACAAAUCACUUGUUAAGCGGCACUGAAUUUUCACUUUGUUGAAAGAUGUUCUUAAUUCAAACCUCAUAAACCGCUAUUGUUAAUUCAAGAACAAAAUCGAGACCUCCCAUGUAUUGUAUUUUUGUGUCAUCUAAUCCACUCGUAAAAGGAAAAGCCGCAUACGAUCCAUCCUACGCAAGUACCCUUCCCAUUUAGGACACGGUUCUAAUCAUGUUUGGUCUUUAGCUUUUGGAUUAGUACCAAUUGGUGAUGGUGGUGGCCCAACUUCAAUGAGUUCAUGAACACGUAACCACUCUGAAUCCAACUUCUCUACGUUUUUUGGAUUUUGAUAUUUGUGAUCUUCCAAAGCGAAAGCGUCAAACGAACGAGAGAUUUUUCAAUUUAUCGUGAUAUCAUGUGUCAUAAUAUAAGUAAAUAGAUACUUGAAAAGGAAAAAAAUUCAACCACUUACAUUGUGAUACUUGAUAUACCAGACCGUGUUCCGACACAUCAAAAAAAUUUCUCCAAACAAACAAGUAAACGACGCCUAAUUGGAAAAAUCAAUUUGAAUAUAAAAGACGAACAAGCAGGUUGGUUCGAAAUCGCCAAUAGAAACUUUCACCUUCAGUUUUAUUAUGUUUCUUUUUUGGUGAUGACCUUAUAAACUUUAUGUUAAUUGAUCACAUCACGGAUUCAUACGUUCACAUAAUUUAAAUUAUGAAAUAUUAAUAUUUUAGUUAUUUUUAGCCGCCUUCUGAAUUCUAAUCCAAAUUUUCUAGCAUUCUCAAGAAAAAAUAACAUGUAUCAUUUUAAAUUGCGAUGUAACAUAUGUCAUUUUAAGUCGUUACAUCAAACAAGCUUCUAAUAUCAUUACUAAUUCAUAACAAAACAAAAUUGGUGUUGAUAAUGUGUAUGUUCUCUUAAACUCAAGUUUGAAAUUCUUACUCAGUAGAUUAGAGCAAUUUUUUUUUUUUAAAAACAAGCAAUAUAAAAAGAGGAAAAAACGCAAGCCCAAACUUGAAUCACAAACUCUUUGCAAAGAUAGCGGGUCGUGGCCACGAUUUUUUUUUUUUUUGAACAAAUGAUAUUAUAUACACUAAAGGAAUGGAGUAGUAAGCUCCUCCCAAUGAGAUAGCGAUAAUGUAAUUCAAAUUUAUCUUUGAUAAGUAUCAAACCUAUAACUGUAGUACAAAUGGCAAGACUUUUGUUAACUUAUCAACAAAAAUAAAAAUAAAUAGGUGUAAAUAAAAAGAUAGGAGUUGGGAGAGAGGAAGGGGAGGUUGGGACCUGGGGAAGGAGACCAGAGUGGGUCAGAAGACUCAGAAGCACACGUUGAUUGUAGGCAACACCAUGUGCUCACAUGUCACAUGCCACUCUUCUUAUUCAUUCAUUUCAUUUCUUACCCCCUCCCCUCCCCUUUGCUCUCCUUCCUCCUCCUCCACAGCCCCCCUCUCUCUCUCAUAGUCACAGUCAAUACUCAUCAUUUCCUAGUCAAAACACAAAACAAAACGGAACCCAACUCGUUCAAUUUCUGAGCUUCUGAGGGUGAAAAAACCAGAAGCUGAAGCAAGAAAAAAAUGAAGGAAAGCUCAGAUGGGUUUGUGAGGGCAGAUCAGAUUGAUCUGAAGAGCUUGGAUGAGCAGCUGGAAAGGCAUCUCAACAGGGUCUUGACUUUGGAGAAGAACAAGAUCAUGAGAGACCCUGAAACCAAUUCCAACAGCAUC
Molecule: long non-coding RNA, 116982 nt
Filed under: Malus domestica (apple)
Lineage: Eukaryota; Viridiplantae; Streptophyta; Magnoliopsida; Rosales; Rosaceae
Description: long non-coding RNA (MDOM_LNC006309)
Source: RNAcentral